RNAcentral lists this long non-coding RNA (96838 nucleotides) under Amborella trichopoda. RNAcentral's name for it is "long non-coding RNA (ATRI_LNC002766)". The record is from RNAcentral. Lineage: Eukaryota; Viridiplantae; Streptophyta; Magnoliopsida; Amborellales; Amborellaceae.
AACCAUAAUGUUCAAGUCAAGAUGAGCGAUGUGCUGCAGCCCUACCAAAACCAUUUUCUUUUAGAAAAUCCCAUUUUGUUUUUUUUCCACUGGCUCCCAAUCCCUCUCUACCUAAAACCCCAUAUUGCUCUUUUUCCAUGAGCCAUAAAUCUCUGCCUCUCCAAGAUCCCAUUUUACUCUUUCUCUAUGCCCCCGAUCAUCGUCUCCCAGCAAGCCUCUAGCUUCCUUUCUAGAAUUGCUAAAAUCUUACUCUUUUGCUGGCUCUUCAUCGGUCCAUCUCCCCCUUUAUAAACACCAUUUUUCAUUUCUCUCUACACAAAUAUAUAUAUAUAUAUAUAUAUAUAUAUAGAAGUAGUUAGNNNNNNNNNNNNNNNNNNNNCUCUCUACACAAUAUAUAUAUAUAUAUAUAUAUAUAUAUAGAAGAUUAGCAAAUCCAAGAAAGAGAGAGAGGCAAUGCAUAUUUCUCCCUCCACAAACUUCUGUUUUCCUUUCUCUCUCAAAGAUACUCUCCCUUUUCUUUUGGGAAAGGUUUCUAUGCUUUCCCUACAACAUAGAAGUUAUAUCUUUCUUCUACCAUUCAGCCGUCCAAUUUUGAUCAAGAGAUUCACUCAUCGUUUGAUCUUAGAUCCGACGUCUCAAAGUAUUUUAUUUUAGUUUAUUUUAUACAAUUUGUAUGAAUAUAAAAUUAGGUAUGUGCCAUCUUUUCAUUGGGGGUGCACCUAUAAAAAAUAUUAAAAAUAAAUUUUCUAUAAAAUAUAAUGACCAAAAUACCCAUUGAAACUUUCAGGGAUAUUUUGGUCAUUUUAUUUUAUUGAAAAUAUUUUUUUUAUAUAUUUUUUCGUCAUUGCGAGUUCAAUAGAGGAAUGGACGUCCAAAAUUCGGUGUCAAAAUAGUUUAUAAAAAAAUUUAAAAUAAAAUUGUAUAGGGACGUGGCAUUGUGCUUGGGGCAAUCUUAGCCCUCCAUUCAAAAUGGACGGUUGCAUAAGGAGGAGGAUAGAACUUCUAUACUGUAAGAAAAGUAUAAAGCUUGCCCUUUUUUUUUAUCCACAAGCACAUUUGAAAACAAAAUUAGGUCCCAUCUCAAUAUAGAUGUCUUGGUUUUUUUGUUUCUCUCUAGAAGUGAACUUACAUAACCAGCAAUGCUGAAUGAAGAAAGAGAGAGAAUCAUGCUCUAUCUUCUCUCACUAAUUCGACCCAUCUAUUCCUCUCUCUUCUCUCUCUUAGAAAACAAUUUAUGCUAUCUCUACUUAUCUCUACUCUCUAGAGCCUCAAAACAAUAAAAAAGAAAGAUGAUCAUUGUUUUGAGAAUCUGAAAAAAGGGAAAGGUUUUUAUGUUUUUCUUAUAGCAUAGAAGUUCUAUCAUCCCUUUGCCAUCCAGCCGUCCAAUUUUGAUCAAGAGAGCCACUCACCGUUUGAUAUUAGAUCCGACAUCUCAAAGUAUUUUAUUUUUAAUUUUUUUGAUAUAAAUUGUAUGAAUAUGAAAUUUGGCACGUGACAUCUUCUCAUUGGGGCGCACCUAUAAAAAAUAUUAAAAAUAAUUUUUUGAUAAAAUGUUAUGAUAAAAAUACCCCUUGAAAAUUUUAGGGGUAUUUUAGUCAUUUUAUUUUAUUGAAAAUAUUUUUUUUAUAUUUUUCGCUAGUGCAAGUUUAAUAAAAGAAUGUAUGUCCAAAAUUUGGUGUCAAAAUAGUUUAUAAAAAAAAUUAAAAAUAAAAUAGUGUAAAGACCUGAUAUUGCGAUUAGAACAAUCUUAGCCCUUUAUUAAGAUUGGACGGCUGGAUAAGGGAGAUGAUAGAACUUCAAUGAGAAGCAUAUAAAACUUGCCCCCUGAAAAAAAUAAAAAUAAAAAUAAAAAUAAAAUAAAUAAUAAUAAUAAUAAAUUAAAAAUAUCCAAAUUGAAAUACUUUCGGAAUGUCCUCAAAAGAUAAUAAAAAAAUAAAAAUCCAUUUUCCUACCAACUUGCAAAACAAGCAUUUUUCUAAUUCUAGGUAUCUUGUUAUACCAAAUUGGUACCACUAGUCCAUUGUUAUGAGAAUAUGAUAAAAAAAACAAAAUAUCAAAAUCCUAGUUGCAUCUCUUCAAAGUAGCCAUGAAUAAAUGUAAACUAUGCCCAACAACAUAAUUGCAUCUUGAACGCUUAAAGUUUACUAUUAAAAAAUAGUGUAGAAUUCGAAUUGAUCUAUGAACAACUAAAAAUCUUGAAAAUUGACUAUUCAAAAAUAUAUUAUUUCAAGAAAUCCAUUUUUUCUAUGGAGAUUAUCAUUUUGAGAAAAACAAAAUAAAAGAAAAAUUAGCAAAAAUAUAUUAUUUCAAGAAAUCCAUUUUUUCUAUGGAGAUGACAUUUUGAGUAAAACAAAAUAAAAUAAAAAUUAGCAAAAACAAGCCAAAAAUUAAUAAAUACCGACCUGCCCAAGGGGGAGGCAGGGGUUAAGAUGACCAUUUUGAGUAAAACAAAAUAAAAAAGAAAAAUUAGAAAAAAAAAGCCAAAAACAAAAAAAAUACGGACCUGCUCACGGGGGAAUUGGGGGUUGAGCCUGGUUUUUGUUCACGAUUUGAAGAGGUGAUUGUUGAUGAGGGUAAAAAUUCCAUUAGGCCAUCGUUGAGGCUCGAAGAAUGGGGGGAUGGCAAAAGAACGACGAAGAACGGGGAGAGAGAUUGGCAUCCGAUAGAGUAGAAAAGCCUGAAGAAUGGGGAAGAACAGGCAAUGAGAGUAUAAUACCUUGAAAAAUAGGGAAGAACAGAGACAGAGGUAGUAAAGGGCGGUGUGGUGGUUUUAGAGAGAGAAAGGCGGUGCCCUUUUCCCAGUGGUGUGAUUCAGAGAAAGAGAUGGAGGUGCCUCUCCAGCGGUGAUGGUGUGUUCUAGAGAGAGAGACGGAGUGUCGUUUUCCCAGUGAGAAGGAAGCUGGGGUAUCGAGAGAGAGAGAGAGAGAGAGAGAGAGAGAGAGAGAGAGAGAGAGAGAGUAGUUAGUAGUAGUAGGUAGGUAGUAGAGAGAGUAACGAAGAGUAGUACGUACGUACGUACGUACGUACUACGACGCGUACGACGACGUCGUCGUCGUACGUACNNNNNNNNNNNNNNNNNNNNNNNNNNNNNNNNNNNNNNNNNNNNNNNNNNNNNNNNNNNNNNNNNNNNNNNNNNNNNNNNNNNNNNNNNNNNNNNNGACGACGAGACGACGAGAGAGAGACGAGAGAGAGAGAGAGAGAGAGAGAGAGAGAGAGAGAGAGAGGCAAGAGGGAUUUUUGAUAAACGAGGGGUUUGGUUAGAGGAGCGAAAUCGGAAAAAGAGGGAUCUUUAUCCGGCGAAUUCAAGCUCGCGAAGCGCUGCUCUCCAGGUGGGUAGAUGGAAGGGUGCAUUGCUCAUUUUUGAGGAGUUUGCACUUACUACACCCUCGACGCAGAGCGUAACCAAACAAGGAAGUGACGGGCGGGCUGGAACCUGAAAUGCCCGGUAUCCCAAGUUCCAGCUGCUAAACACGCCCUUAGGGUUUCUUUCAUUGAUGAGUGAAGAAACUUCAGAAUGAAGUUGCUAUAGCUUUCUAAUUCUGAAGAUUUUUAGGAUUUUCUUUCUCAUAACACAAGGAUGGAACCCACCUGUGCAGCCAAAGCCAUGGAGUGGAGUGUGGAGCUCGAGAAAGGCCUUCGUUCUAAAAGGCGUGGUACGAAAUGUUGGCCCACAAUUCUUGUUUUGCAUGAAUAUUUGUUUAUCAGCAUUUUUCGAUUCUUAGGAUUUCAUAACGCUCCUUAAAUCAGGGGGUCGUCAUGAAUUCUGAAAUUUAGGUUUUGAGCCAUUUCUUUGAUUUUUAGGUUUCAUGGAGGGGAAACUCUAGAAUGUCUCUAUAUUUUAUUAUUUCAAUUUAGUCAUUGCUUGGUUUACUUGUGCGUUUAUGUGCACCUAAUCUGCGAGUAAAAUCAUUGAUAAUUUCAUGAGCUCUUAAACUCUUAUGUCAUGUAAUAUUUUUUUCAGUUUAUUUCCUCAUUUUGUAUGAUUUUCGGUAGUUUUUAGUUAUUGGGUCUCUCAUUUAAUCUUUAUUUAUUCUCACAACUGUUUUUCCUCUUUUGUUGAGUAGCUAAUGAUGUUUCUUUUCCUCCUUCGUAUGGUAUUUUUUAUCAUUCAAUAAAUUUCAAAAAACUGAUGUUUUGGAACUCUGUUGAAGUAAAUAAUUGACUUCCCAAUUGCUAUCCCUGCAAUUGGAUUCAUAUCUGAGCUUACCAACCUAACAAACAUGCUCAUCAUGUAGUGCAGGCCACCAAUUAGGACUGUUUGUGUGCAUUUUGACCAUUUCAUAUGUGAGGUCUCUCUGUGUAGUAUAAACUAUUGGGUUGUAAUCCGAGCCGAUUCGUUGUAAUCCAAGAUGAUUCUAACCCAAAAGAAAGUUUGUUAGUAUGGUAAUACAGGUGAUCGUACCAAUAAUAAUACAAUUAAUUAAUUCUGAGAUAUUCUAUAACCGAGUGUCUUUUAUCGUGAACAUCAUCCCCUGCUAAUUGUUAGUCCUCCAAUUUAACUCCAGGCUAACCCAUCCUUCAAAAAAAAAAAAAGACAAAAAAAACAAAAGCUUGUUAAUUAUUUGAUAUGACUCAUCACAUCAUGUCAAGACAACUGAUAAGACCUUUAUUUUAAGUGGUCCCUCAUGGCAUAAACACUGGCUUCCUAGGAAAAAGCUAUUCCUGAAAUCACUCUACCUCAGAAAAUUUGUUCUUUCUCUAAUGCAGGAGACCCCAUUGUUGCUAUCCAAGCAAUGGGACCUAAGCUCCAAAAAUGGAGCACAGAGGCAUAUUGCACUGCCGAAGUAUCAAAUAUGUUUGGUUUAGUCCUGGGUGAGGAUAGGGCAUUUGCGAACUCCAUUCUACUUCGACUUGCAGAUGCAUUCAAGACUGGAAACAAUCACACCAGGGCCUGUAUAUUGAAAGUUUUUCUUGUAGAGCUGAAGAAUCGGAGAAAGAAAGGGAAGUUAUACGAUGGUAUUCUUUCAAGAAAAAGGGUACCCAAUUACUUAGAGAUGCUGAGAAGGGUAAAGAUAGUGUUUGACAAGGGGGGUGUUGAAGCAAGAGCACUAGCUUUACGAGUCUUAGGUUGUUGGGCAGAUUUGGGAAAGGACAGUGCUGAAAUGCGCUACAUGAUACUAUCGGCCUUGGAAUCUCAUCAUGUAUUGGAGGUAAGAUUAUAUGCUUUUGGCAAUCAUUGCUUUUUGUUUAUGUGUCUUUUUUAAACCCACAGGUGUGUGUAUGUGUGUGCGUUUUGGGGUUGGGGAGGAGGAUUGAUUUCAUGAAUUAUUUCAUAAUAAUGUAACAAAGUUUCUUUUUGAAAACCAUUUGGUGGCAUUUGUUUGGCUUGAAAUGUUUUGUCAACACACUAUCUUCAUCUAAGAAAUCAAACUCAAGAAAAAAAGAGAGUUUAUGCUGUAAAAGCGGUUUUUAUUGUUAUGUUUAUUUUUGGCGGUUUUUAUUGUUAUGUUUAUUUUAGAAAACUAGGAAUGUAAGCCCGCCCAUUCGAUGGGAUGGUUAGCACUAAUUAUUUAGAGGAAUUUUUGGACCCCAAAUUGUAUAGAUGACCUUUUGCAUAGCUGGAUGAACAUUAUAAGAAAAAGAAAAGAAUGACUUGAGUUCAUAAAGCAGAAAUCUUAAGUCCUGUUGAAUGGUUUGAGUUCAUAAAGCAGAAAUCUUAACUACUGCUGAAAUGGAUUGCUUGAGUUCAUUAUUGGAACAUGAUUCCAUUGGACCUUUUCUAGGGCACAAAUUCAAGUAUUUUUUUCCCUUGAGAUUGUUUGUCGGGAUGAAGAGGCGUAUGCAUGUUCAAUCCACAUAUAUUUGAUUGGGUUCUGAUUUAGAUCUACGAACAUCAAACAAUGUAUUGUCUUCUAACCGAGCAUGGCUUAAGUCAUGUAGAAAUUUGUCUUUUAAUGUCCUAAAUGAGUGUUCAUGAAUAUGAAUGGGUGUGUUAGUAAUGUAGCGGUGAAAAAUAACAAAAAUAAAGAAAUUGAAAAUCUGAUGCAUCGGUUGAAAAACGGAAGCUUACAAGCCAAGAUUCAGACUCGCUGGUGAAAUUCUGACUCUUAAUAAAAUAAUAUUCAACUCUGAUAGAAAGCUCCUAAUGCAACCACUAUACAUAAUCAUCAUCAUCAUCGUAAAGAUCCUGUUUAGAACCCAAUAAAUACUGAUUCUAAUUGAAUUAGCAGUUCUAAUUAAGACAAAAUUUGUAAUGAUGCUUUUGCCACUAAUAAAAUAAAUAAUUCCAUAAGGACAUAAAUUACUUUUCCGUACUCCCCUUAAAAUCCUAACAAACUGGAAAACCUUGAAAUCCCUAAAAAGGCUUAAAAACCCUAAAAUGAAGCUAAAAUUCCCAAAAAAUACAGCCCUAAAGUCUAGUAAAAAUAAAAAAUUAGAGACAUCCUAUCCUGCAUCAAACUACCUUGAUUGGAGAAAACUCAUCAUCAAGUUUGGAAGUGUCCUAAAAUGAGGCUUGCAUUGAAUCAAUUUUUAACCUUCUUCUCUUUACUCGAAGAUUAUAUUAUUAUUUUUUACUCAAAGAUUCUUUUUUGUAGGAAGAAAUUCUCAAGCAACGGACCUUGAUUGUAUGUUUAGAAACUGACUCAAACAUAUAAAAUUCGGCUAUCGUUGAACGCGCAUUGGAAACUAACUCAAUUUUCUGUAGUUUAGAGGCUUUUCAUAAUGUGCGUGGUGGGUUUAGACAUCGUAGAGCUCUGAGUCUUGAUUCCAAUGAGUACCAAUAAUAGUGAAUUUGUGCUACUAGAAAAAAAAAAUGCUCAGUUGAAGGUGCAUCACUCAAAAUCAGUACAUUGCUUGAUUCUUCCCAACUUUUGGAAUGAGGUUCUCUCGCGGUAUGUUGCAUCUCUGUUAAUUACUCUCUCAAUUGAGGCUCAUGAUAUGGGGCUUAUGAAUCGACCAUUCUUUUGCUGCAUUACUUUGAUGCCAAAGAAUGAAAACGGAAGAAUUCUCCACCUCAUAAACCUUCGUAGCUUUUGGAAUCCUAACCAAGCUAGAAAACCCCUGAAGCUCGUUUUUACCAUAUACCCGAUCAAACACUUUAUAGUUUGUAUGCUGAAUCCAUAACCCCUAUAUUUGCACAAAAGUUCUUGCCCAAGUCUUCCACAACAAACCCUAAACUUUCCUGGUUUUUGUCGCCACCAUCAUGGCUAUCAUCUUCUUCACCUAAGGUUUCCUUGUUCACUUCUCUAUCUGGGUUUUCUUCAUCAUUUUCAAGGUCUAAUCUCUCCUCACUAUCUCCAAGAGAAAGGGUCCCAAUUUCCUCAGGUUCUUCCAAAGGUUCUUCAUCUAAAAUUGGAUUACCCACUUGAUCUCGUUUUGCAUCGUAGAUCGACCCAAUUGCGAGAUCAAAGAAAGGCCAUCGAAAUUGAAAGUUGGAAGACAUACCUGUAAUUAAAGUUUCCUAAUGCGACUCUGAGUCAAUUAUAUGAUUUUUUCCUUUUUCCUCACUAUGGGUACGGGUCAGAUCCCGCAAGUCUGAUCAAACCUAUCUCAAAGAGUAGAAUGAAUUGGGAUUCUGUCCCUUUAACUGUGGAAGCCGCCAGGGGCAUAGUCGUGCCAUCGCUUUCCUCUACUGAAGUCGUUGGAAUGAUUCGUAAUAAGAUAUUGGCUACAAUUGAGGAGGUCUUAUUGAUAAAAUUGCCAUUUAUCCGAGAUCUAGGCAUCUUUAGCAAUCCACUUUACUUUAUAAUUCUUCUCAUUUCCCCUCAGGGAAGCUGAUCCCACAAACAAAGGAAUUGUACAAUACAAAAUUACAAAAAAACAAUAAAAUUUUCAAAUAAAACAAAAAAAGGUGGACCUUUAAGUCAAAUUGGUUCUUUUGAGCCUAAUUCCCUAGAUUAAAGAAGAUGAACAUUUGUCGCUACUGCAACCUUAGUUAGCCUUCGUGAUUUGAAAGAUAAGUUAUAUUAUACAAGAUACAUCGAUUGGCCAUCGAGACAACGUACAUCAGCUUCCUUGUUGUGGGCUUGUCCUCUGCCCUAAUGGUAUUGAGUUGUUGCAAGGCUCCCAUCUGUGGCUCUGCUUUCUCCUCCACUGUCUUCAAGGCAUAAGGGUCUGCCUUUGUGAGCAGUUGAACUAUUUGCUUGAUGGCCUCUUGUUCUAGAUGACUGGCAUAUUGGUAUCUACAGAACCUCAGCGAGAUGACCGCUUAUCUAGGAAGGAGAGGUUGAUUGAACGACUCAUCUCCUUAGUCCUGUUUAACAGAACUAAGUGACUUUGUCUCCUUCCCAGUUCAACAUCUAUGCCCUAUGGCUUUUCCUAAUUACACGCUACCAGCCUUCCCUGUAGAAUAGAAGAACAUAAUCAAUAGUCGGCUAGCCUAGCGCUCCACUUUGUUUGCGAGCCACCCACAAGGUUCGUUCCCUUUCAUCCACUGAGCCACUCUCCCUUCGGGCCCGCCCAUUCUAUGAGCAAAGAGAACCGCUUACACUCUCACCACCUUCUGCAACUCUCCUUAACUCAAUGAGAUAAGCCACUACAGUUUCUAUGAAUCAUUUUAGUAUUGAUUUUGAUUCUUUAUUUUAUUUUUGAUUUCAUUAUAUAUCUUCUUUACUUUAUGAAACUUUUGCAUAAAUACGACUCUCUUUGCCAAACUCAGCUGGAGCUUGUUAAAGUUAAAGGAGAACAAGUUUUUUAGCAGACUCGGCAAAAGACUAUCCAAACAGAAGCAUAUAGAAUGCCAUCCAGGGUUCUUGACCCUCUAACCUUUGGCGAAGCUACAUCAUAGGUAGGGAAGUCCUAGAGCUAGGUAUGGAUGGCAACUGGGCAAGGGAAAUCCAAUGUUGUUCUCAGUGUUUUAAAAAUCGGCGACCCAAUCCAGAAUCAGGCGAUCCGGAUCGGGUAUCGUCCAACCCAUGCUGGAUCCAACGAAAAAACGGGAUCGACCGAUUCUCUACAUUAAACCAAGUGGCACAAGAUGCAUCCACAAGCUUACGUUACGUUAUGGACUGCCAACUGGCACAAGACGUAUCACGGGGUCUCCUGCUUACGUUAUGGACUGCCAAGUUCGUACGUGGCACAAGACGCAUCCACAAGCCACAUUCAUACUUCUGCUUACGUCAUGGACUGCCAACUUUAUGUCAUGGCUUCUCAGCACGCGUUGCAUGUGACAGCCAACCGUACAAGCCCAAGGCUUUUAUUAAGCCUUGCUUGUCCUAAAUUCCUCGAUGUGGGAGUUGCUCCAUUCCUUAGUGCUCCAACCGUCUUCAAAAUAGCGUGUAGUUUUCACCAAGGUGCUGUUGUAUAAUUAUAAAUAUUUCUAGUACUAUAAAUAAAGAAAUUCUAUUUAAUUAUUUAAUAAUAUUUAUUCAUUUUUUAUAAUGUACAAAAAAUAAAAGUACAUAUAGUUAAGUUUUAAUUGCAUAUAAUUACAUAAAGAAAUUCUAUUUAAUUCAUUUACAAAAAUUAGUAUAAUUUUAUUGAAAGUCAUAUUGUUUAUUAUCUUAAUAACUAUUAAACUUAUGUCAGUAUAAUCAUAUAAAUAUGAGCACAUUAAAAUUUAUAGGGGAUUUUAUUUUGUUUUUAAUUAUAUGAUAUGGAAGCAUUUUCUAAUAAAUUUUAAUCAUGUUUAUUAUAUUAUUAUAAUUAACAAUUAUACAUUGAUAACUAAAUCUUGUAUUUUAUUUAUUAAUUUAUUUAUAUUAUAAAUUUUGUAAUAUAUUAUUUUUUCUUAUAAUUGUAAAUAAGAUUUUUUAAAUUAGAGGAUAUUAUAAGACAUUUUAGAUUUUUUUUAUUUGUAAAAUAAAAUAAUUAUAAAAUAUAAAGUUAUAAACCAACAACUUCAAUUUCAGUAAAUACUAUUAUAUUUAGUUAGGUUGUAAUAAUUUUGGAUGAGUAAAACGAAAUAAUGAAUGUUUGAUACUUUGCUGUGAGACUAAUUUCACUUUAUGCGUAUAGUAAAAUGAUGAAAAAAUAAUAAAAUAAAAACCUAUAAUUCUAAUUUCAAUGUAUAAUAUUUUAUUUAGUUAUGUUUUAAUAAAUGUUUGAUGAGAAUCUUUAUACAGGGAAAGAACAUCUCAAUAUUUGCUUAUUGACACAAAAAAAUAAAAGUUAUUAAUAUAGUACCCUCAUUUCUUAUUGGAUUCCUAAAAAACAACAUUUAUAAUAAUUUUAAUAAUUUUUUUGACGUUUUUUUUAAGGCCGAAUCCAAUCACUUCGGUCGGUUCUAGAUCCGAAACGCCGAUUCACUGAUCCUGAUGGGUUUUUGGGGUGCCCGAUCCAUGGCACCGAUCUGUUUUUUAAACCACUGGUUGUUCUGGGAAGAUGCAUGGUUCGGAGACAACUCCCUAGUUCCGGUUUCCUAAAGCACUUAUUCUUUUUCUGAAACCAGGGAAUUCCAUACUCUAACUGGAGAUUCAAGGGCCCUACCUUUUCUAUUAGACUAGUGCCUACAUCAUUCUGUUUGCAGCCUUUGACUGAGAUAGAUGUGUGGCCCGCUUGGCACAGAUCGGUUUAAAUAGGCACUUGUCAUAGGAAAAAUCGUUGUUCUGCCCUUGUUUGUGAAGAAGAGCUUCAUCCUUUCCAUGGUUAUAGAGAGAACCCAUGGACUCAAAUCCAUAGGGUCAGAUCAGACUUUGUCUGGAAUGUCCAAACAUCAAUUGGAGCAGUUUGGACCAACCCAGUGCAUCGCCUCCUUGGACCUCCUUCAAUUUGACUGUUUUUGACGUAUCUCAUAUGAAGUUCAUUAAUCCUCUCUUUAAGUCAUAUAAUUACUUCCAUGUAACUUUGACAUGAUCACCAUGAGCUCGGCUUCCUUAACCUCCUCUAGUAGCCAUCUUGUAAACUUGUAGCAUAUCCUCAAGUGCUUUGGAAACAGAACUUCUCUAAUACCAACUUAUGUACUGGGAAAAAAAAUCAUAGGAAUAAAGAAAUUACUGUUAUAAUGAAUUGGUUGAAAUAAGGGGAAGCUUUGGUGAAACUUGGACUCUAAAUAAAAGAAUAUCCAACUUUGAGAAAACCAUAAUGCAAAUCUAAUGAAUCCUAAUUCUAAUUGAAAUGGAAUUCGUCAUUAAAAUGAAAUUCAAAAUAACACUUUACCCCUAUGAAAUAAUAAUUCCAUAAGGACAUAAACUACUUUUCCAAACAGUCUUUGAAAUCCUAAAAAAAAACUAAGAAAACCCUAAAACCCCUAAAAAAAAUCUUUCAAAAAACAUAAAAAUAAAUCCAAAAAAUGCAUCCUUAAAAUUUAGUUAGAAAAUUGAAAAAUAGGGAGCAUCUACUUCUUCUCAAUCUUUCAGACAUCCUUUCGACCUUUGAAUCUAUAAGAAGCAAGGAAUCAUGAACUACCAUGCGGUAUUUGAUAGCAGGGCUGACUAUGGUUGUUGGAAAUGUUUGUGAUUUCGAAUCGUUUUUGGAAUCGGAGUCGCGGAAUCACAUGUAUCAGAAGUUUCAGAAUCUAGGAAUCGCUGCCCGUACGAUUCGGAUUUGAGAAAAAUGAUUCUCACUAUUUGAGAAUUGCGAUUCAAAAAAUUAGGAAUCGUGUUUCCUAUUUGCAAGAAUCGAUGUCCCUUCAUGUUCGAAUCGCGUUUCAUACCUAUAUGGAAUCACACAUGAUCCCACUUGUUUUGGUGGUUGCUGAAAUCGUGAUUCCAAUAAAUAUGGAAUCGUGAUUCUUAAAACUAAGGAAUCGUGAUUCCUAAAAUUCUAGAAUCGUUGUCUCCAUCAACUUGGAAUUAACAUUCUCACCAUUCUGGAAUCAUGAUUCUCCCCAUAUUUGAAUCGAGAUUCUUCUCUUACUAGAAUUGCGAACCAAUUCCCUCCGGUAUAUGAGAAAAGUAUUUAGAAAAUAUAUAAAUUUACCCAUUACUACGAGAUCGAAUUUUGGUUUGUAUAUACUCAGUUCAAGACUCCAAGUACUAAUGUCAACCUUUAUGAUAUCUUUGUGGACAAUCCCAUGCAAUGGACUCGGUCUACCGAUAACCCUAUUAUGCCUACAAGUUCUGGAGCUAGUCUACAACAUACAAGGAGUGAGAACAAGGGCAAGCGCCCUUUAUCUCCUUUCCUUAAUUAUAAAAUAAGCAUAUGACCGUAAUUCUUCUUUGUUAAAUGUAGUUUGAGUCUUUUGACUUUUGAAAAUUGAGUUAUUCAUUUUUUAGUCAAUUUCUCUGAUAUUUAAUGAUUAAUUUAACCUAAAACACUACACAUGGCACUUCGCUCAUAUCCUUAUUAUCUUCUUUUUUUACUUAAAGAAAAGCAUUUUUAUCCUCUGAAACGACGGUGCCGAUCAUAUAUUAAACAUUAUUACAUUAGUAGUUUAGUACCCACACCAUUUACCAAAUAUUAUUAAAUUUGAAGUAAUAUUUUUUUAGUAUUAUUUAUUCUUGGUAAGAGUUCUUAAAAAGUAACAUGGAAUGAAGGAUGGAAAUUAGUACAUAAAAAAAUAAAAAAUUUGACAUAUUACUUAUAUUUAAAAUUUUGAUUUUAUUGUCGUGUGCAACAACUUCAAAUUCUCUCACGUUCUCAUACAUGUCGCGCUCACUCAUGAUUGAGCACACAUUGAAGGGUUUCUGCUCUCUCUAUGCUCACAUAUUACACAUAUUUUAAAUUUUGAUUUUUUUGUUGUGUGCAACAACUUCAAAUUCUCUCACACUCUCAUACAUGUCGCGCUCACUCAUGAUUGAGCACACAUCGAAGGCUCUUCCUAUGCUCACAUUGCUUCCUGACAACAUGGAUUCACAAUUCCUUAAUACUUUGAAUCAACAUUUAAGGGCCGUUUGGGUACACUUAAUAGUAAGGAAAUGGAAAGAGAUUAUGCGAUAUUUCCCCAAAAAUCAGGAAAUCCGUUACCUGCGGUGAUAGGUGAAAAAUCUAUUACGAGAGUGGCGGGUAAUGUUGGGAAAUCUUUCGCGCGUGUUUUUGCCUGACGUAUCUCUCAUUACAAAAAUCUUCUAAGCACUCUCUUCAUAAUAACUAGGUGAUUCCUCCCUUUUUAAGCUCGCCCCUUUAUCUGAAAGGGGGAUCCCUCCUUUUUUAAGCUCGUCCCCUUAUCUGAAGGCAUCGGUUGUCAUAUUAAAACAAAAAUAAUAAAAAUAAAAAUCAGUAAUCAAUGAUAAAUUACACAACACAAUCAUAAUAAAAAAUUUCACACAACAUAAUGGAUUCCUCCCUUUUUAAGCUGGUCCCCUCAACUGAAGGGAUCAGUGUCAUAUAAAAACAAAAAUAAUAAAAAUAAAAAUCAGUAAUCAAUGAUAAGUUACACAACACAAUCAUAAUAAAAAUUUCACACAACAUAAUCCUCAUAAGAGAUUACUGAAAUCUCAAUUGAAAUAACAUACCUCUUUAGUCUCCUCCAAUACCUCAAAAUUUUAUACAACAAUUACCGAACCUUUUAGUUUACUCAUCAAACUUCUUCCCAUUUUUUAACUCGUGUCCUACAGAUUUUGAAUUUAGUAUCAUAAAUUUAUUGUUUAUUUUAAAUUAUAUAGAGAGAUAUUUGAAAUACUUCUAUACAAAAUAAAUAAAAAUAAGGCUUAUCAUAAUAAAAUCAUGUUAUUCCAAUCAUAUUGUUCCUAUGACUUAUCAUGUUGAAACCAAUGUCAUGACAGAAAACAUGUGAUUGCAUAUAAGUGCCAAAGGCACUUAAAAUAAGUAGGAAAUAGUGUCAUGACUGUAAAAUGGUACAAGUUAUUAUUAGAAAAUCUUUUUGGAAUGGUGAUAAUGUUAUUAUUAGAAAUCUUUUUGGAAUGGUGUGAUGAUGAUUUUAAUUUAGUAUUUUAGUGGAAUUUUGUGACAAAAAAGAAGGAAAUGAUAAUUCUGCAUUUUAGUCGAAUUUUGUGACAAAAAAGAAAGAAAUGAUAGUUUAUAGGCACAUGCUGGUGAAAUGUUGGUAAUGCAUUUCCUAUGUUUCUUCCAGACUUAACCAAACAAUAACAAUGUACCAGGCUGCAUCUAAAUACUACCCAAACAAUAACAAUCCAUUUACAGGUAAUGUAUUACGCCAAUAAUAUAUAUUUCCAGCUAUCCAAACGGCCCCUUAGCAUAAGUAGAAUCACAUUGUUGUGUAGCAAGGAACCACGAUGUCUGCGAUAUAGAAACUUGACUCCAAACAACAUGGAUUCGGAAUUCCAAAAAUUUUGGAAUCAACGUUUCUCACAAGCGGAAUCGCAUUCUUGUGUAGCUAAGAAUCACAAAGUCCUCGAUAUGGAAUCUUGAUUCUGGCAAUUUGGAAACGUGAUUCAUUUCUUUUAGAAUUGACUUUCGCACGGGGAAAUGCCAAUCGAGAUUCUAAAACGGAAUCGCUACCCUCAUAGGCGAUUCGGGUAACUAUAGGGCUGACCUUAGAACCACUAAGAAGGGAUUGGACUGGCCCUAGAUCAAGUCUUGGAAAGAAGUCAUUUUCAGCUUUACCUUACAUCAAUUAUGUUGGAGUUGUCAUUUAUUAGAUGAAUAUACCAGAGUAUAUUUCCUAAUAGUACGCUGUAAUAAUAUAAUGGAUCCAAAUUUGACUUUUUAUUAUGAGAAAUUUCCGCCUUCAAAUUUGGUUGCUUUGCACUUCAUGAUGAGCAUUACAGUAGGUACUAUAGACAAACAUAGAUGGGGAGAGGAGAAGGAUAUCCUUUUAUGUUUGUUAUCUCCUACAGUAUACUAACUGGAAACUAGCUCAUGUGGUUGCCUAUAGCAGUACAACCUGAACUGCCCUAUGUUCUAGUGCAUAUGUAGGAGCAGUUUGGAAGUGUUUCUCAGGUUUAACUAGCCAUAAAACUCCAGAUAGCCAAAUGCUGUAUGUCUCUUCAAUGGGCUUUCUACAGCAUUGAAUGUGCUGAACAUUGCAGUUUGUUCUUUCAUAUUCUUGUUUUUUAAAAUUGUUUUCUCCAUUGACUCAUAAUUAGUCAUACGUUGAUUGUUGUGUCAUCUCUUUGGUAGCUCUUGUAUUUCUUUGGAAAUUCAAGUUUGUUUCUAGUGUUGGGUAUUGAACCACUGUGUCGUCUUCCAGUGGUGAAGGAAUCUUAGAGGAUUGAAAUGCCAUAAAAUUGUUCUUCCAUGAGUUCAAUAGGGGCUGAAUGGUAAGAAACUACUCAUAUUCAGCUUCUCCGUUUGUGUCCCGGGUAAAUAUAGAAACAUUGGGGGUCAAAAUCAACAUUUCAUAAAACUAACAAUGAAUGCAUGAUGUUUGAUUCCUUAUUCAUGAGUUUUUUAUUUUCUUUUUUUGAACAUGUGCAGGUUAAGGCAUCAUUAUUUGCUGCUGGUUGCUUUUGUGAAUUAUCAGGUGACUUUGCACAUGUUAUUUUGAAGUUACUUGUGGAUAUAGUGGCCUCAACAAGAAGACCUCAUGAUGUGAAAAUAGCGUCUGUGCGUAUUUUUGCAAGCAUGGGAUGCUCAUCUUCAAUUGCAAGAGGUGCUUAUGAGGUAUUAUGCCUUUGAAACUCUGGAUGCUAUUCUAAACACAUCUAAGAGGGAUGGAAUCCCAUGUGAAUGCUUGCUUUAUUGCUUGCAUCAUCAUCAUCAUCAUCAUUGUCAUCAUUAGAGUCUUAUCCCAACUAAUUGGGGCCGGCUACACGAAUUAUGUUUCACUAUUCUGUUCUUUCGAGGACCAUACCCUCAGUAAGGUCAUAAGUCCUUAUAUGUCUUCUUACUACUUCCAUCCAUGUCUUUUUGGGCCUUCCUCUUGUUCUUUUAGAUCCUGCCACUUAAAACAAAAUCACACUUCCUAACAUGUGCUGUAUCGAAGGUUCUUUGUACAUGGCCAGCCCACCUAAGUAUAGUUUCCCUCAAGUGUAUUGAGCCUUCUGUUUGCUACAUUGCUUGCAAAUGGUAUUUAAUUACCAGCAAAUACUAGCAAUUUUUAACUGCAUUACAAGAGAAGUGUAAUUUAUUUGAAGUGUAAUCUAUUAAUUUAUGUUUCUACUUAUUUAUACACGGUUUUGUUGGGGUUCCAAACCCAAACUUCUAGACCUAUUUCUCUAUACAAAUACAUGCACACUUGCACCAUGAUGCUAUCAACAUCGUGUUUUAGAAUUAGAGAAUCUUGAAUGAAAGUCUUAUUAACUAGAAAUAGGGAUUAAUCCCAUUAUAGAUGGCUGGGCAUACAAAGUAUAUGAAUAUUCAUGUAGAAAAGUAUGACAAAAGUACCUUCAAACUAAUUAACAAACUGCAUAGACUAAAAUGCAAGAGUAUUAUAUAUCUUAACAACCCUCUCAAAUGUGCGCAUCAGUAGAAAUGAGUUACAGUUUGCUCACUUGAUUAUCAUGUUAACAUUUGGCUGGGCAUACAAAGUAUAUGAAUAUUCAUGUAGAAAAGUAUGACAAAAGUACCUUCAAACUAAUUAACAAACUGCAUAGACUAAAAUGCAAGAGUAUUAUAUAUCUUAACAACCCUCUCAAAUGUGCGCAUCAGUAGAAAUGAGUUACAGUUUGCUCACUUGAUUAUCAUGUUAACAUUUAGUGUGAGAUUUGGUAAACAGGUCACCUAGUUGAACAUCGCAGGAAAUAUAAUGGAGAAUAAGAAGGCCUCAGUCAAAUUAUUCUUGAAUGGGAUGAUAAUCAGCCUCAAUAUGGUUGGUUCGAUCAUGAGAUAUACUGGAUUGAUGACAAUUCUAAUCGCAUUGAUAUUAUUCCCAUGGAGAGGUGUGGGCAAGGAGCUCCUAAAUUAAAGAGAAGCACUUGAAUCUGGAGAAUCUCAUCUGUGACAAAAGACAUACUGCAUUAUGCAGCUUUCGCAGUUAAUUUGGAAACAACUUGUUUCUUAAGAAGUGAGUCACAAAGAUAAUACAAUACCCUAUGGUUGAUCUUUUGAGUGUCUAAAAUUGCCUAAGCCCAAUCUGAGUCAACAUAUGAUAUAAGCGAAAGGCCAUAAGAUGCUGAGAAAAAGACACCGCAAUUAAGUGAAGAUGCUGAGAAAAAAAAUAUUACAACUAAGUGAUGAUCUGACAUAUGGAAUGAUACUCUGGACAACAUCCAUAUGGGUUAAGCGAGGAACCUGGACGAACUGGCCAACAAAAUGAACUGGAUAACUGAUAUCUUACUUGGUAAUGGUGAGACAUUGCGGUCCCCCAACUAACUACAGUAGGGCACCCUAUAGGGUAGCGACUUCCUAUCAGAUGCGGAUAACCAAACAUUACGUUCUGUUGGGUUAUCUACAAUUAAAGUCAGUGAAAGUUGGCCUGGGAGAUAAGAUCACGAGCGUACUUUCAUAGAGUAACAAUGAUCCAAUGAUCCCUUGAGCAGACCAAGUAAUCUCUAAACCAAGAAAUAUGUCAUGCCUAUCAUUUGCAACUAAGAAGGGGAAGGGGAAGGGGAAGGGUUGGGCUCAGCAUAAUUUUUGUGGGUAGGCGAUGACAGGCACCAUCAAUUACCUGAAACAUCACCUAACAAAAAUUCAGGGUGAUGUACAACCAUGUGGCAAGGUGCCUGUGGCCGUUAAGGAGCAGAUAUGGAAGGCAAUGGAGGUAGCAAAAGGGAAACAAGUACGCAAAGAGAGGAUUUUUGAGGAGAUAGGGAGGGGAUAUUAUUCAUUUUAUGUAGGUGAUAACUCGACAAAGUUUGAGGCUCAUAUGGAGUAGGCUAGGCAGGCUAGUCUAGCAGACUUUCAUAAGAGGCGCAAAUCGACAAGAUAUUUGCUAGACAGGCAGGAGUUUCUAGAAGUUGUGAUACUGAACUUAUAGUGCCUCUCGAGCCUGUGGUGCCUGGCAUGAGAGUGUGGCCUUGGGCUACUUGGAUCAACUUCUAGUAGACUGAGAUGGUCAAUCUCAUCCUACCAUUUUGCUGCAGGUCGACCAUCUACUACUUCCCAACCUUGUCCCGACCCCGACCGUGACCCCGAAGCCGACCCUGAACCUGACCUUGACUCUCUAGACUUGGCCCCUGUAUGCCCCAAUAUCAACAGACGAAACUCAAAAGUCUUGGGGGAAUAAACCCUAGGAUAUGGUGAAGAAGUCAAUUGCAAUGUAGUUUUAUCAUAUUGCCAACCCAUUUCACGCAGCUAAGUCCCCAUAUUAUCAACUCAUGAUAACUGCAAAGCCUGAAGCCUGGCUGGUGUGAAGUCUCCAAUGGCAGAUGAGCUUGCAAGGAAGCUCCUAGACGAUGAGGUUGGUGAAGUAGAAUUAUACAUUCAAGAUUUUAAGUAGUCAAAGGGUGAUUCAGGAAUAUGUCAGAUGGUUGGGAGGCUGGGAAAGGGAAGCGCAUAAUGAAUUUUCUAGUCUGUUGCCCCAAGGGAACAAUUUCCCAAUCUAGUGUAGAUCUUUCCACAAGAGGAGGACGGGAAGGCUCUUCUUCAAGAAGCUUGAUACGGUAGAGAAAGAUGUUGUGGAGGACAAAGUGGUGCAGUAAAGGUCCUCCCUAAACUACCUUGUUACCGUUCUCUAACAUUUGAAAUAAAUCAAGAUUAAUUCUGUAAGUAAACAUUAAUAGUGGUACUGAUCAAGCUUUUAGUUAACUCAACAUUCAACAUCCAAUUACUAAAUUUUGUAAGAUACAAAACAACAAUAUAUUUAACUCCUUUCAGAUGGGGUCCACUAAUUGUAGGCUCUGAAGGAGGUUAUACUAUAAAAUCUAUAGCUUUGUUAUGCCCCUCAUAUAAAACUGAGGUUGAAUGGAACCUAAAUCUAAAAAUUUACAGGUGAGAUUUUGAGGAACCCAACAUGAAAUUGCUUAAACAGAAAGGCAUCAUUAUUGGUGUUUAAAAUAGGGAAAACAAGGAUUCUGUCGGAUGGUUCAAUUGAAUUCUAACACACCCCCAUUUAGGGAAUUUUGGGGUUUGCUUACAAAGUAACAAAUAAAUUUUUUCAGUGAAAGUUGCCGUAAAUUUAUUGUCUUGUAUGAGUUUUUCAUAUGUGCAUAAUACUUGGUUUUGUUAAUGGAAAACUUGGCCAAGUUGAUUUGAGUAGUCAAUUAGAUUGGCAGAUUUUUAGCUGGGUCAAGUUGGUCCAAGUUUAUGAUCGAUUUACUAGGACGGGAACUUCCUUGGAAAAGACCAUGCAAGUUGUUUUUGUUCUGUUGUUUAGUAACAUUUUCCCCCUUUUAUUCUAUAAUUUGCUGCCUUUUUUUUUUGACUUUGAGCACUGAAAUUUGAUUGCACCAUGUUUGUUGGAAACAUUUGGAUUCUAGUGAUUACUUUUGCUAUGAACAUACUUCAAAAUUAAAAAGGGCUAAUAUAUGUAUAAAAUAAGCCCUUUUAACUGGUGGCAUAUGUCCCUUAUGCCUAGUAAUGUUCGUAACUGGCGGUAGCGCUAUUGAUUGUGCUCUGAAGAGUACUCUAACUAUGUUCGUAACUUUACUUUGCGAUCCUUUCCUUGUUGUUUGACAGGCUGGUAAGAAGUUGAUUUUGGAUAGUCCAAAUGAGGAAAUUGUCACUGAGAUGUUAUUCUCUCUCUCAAAACUUGCUUCUAGGUCAAUUCUUGUCCUGGAUGAACAGGUAACUGUUGUUAUAUAUACUGAUUUGGUGAAAUGUAGGAUGUUUUGAAAAUCAUGUUCCUGGUUCUUUUCUUCUUAAGAGUUACAUCAAGAAGAAUUCGGCUUCCAAUUGAUUACUAAGAAAAUGAUUUUUGUUCUCAUGAUGAGAUGUACUGCACGAUCAUCCUCAAAUUCAUACCAUCCCUACCACACCUAUAUGCAUAAACAUUUGCAAGAUAAGUAUGCUUUUCAGAGUGUUACUAUGGAGAAGGAUUAGGUGUGCUGUUUGCAACGGAUUAUAGUCUGAAAAUUGGUUUUACAAGUUAGUUGUCUCUAUAAUUUGUUCUUGUGUUGGAUGCAGGUGGAUUUGUUGGUAUCCCUCCUUGGUCGGAAUCCUUUCUCUUCUAUUCAUGCAGUGGCUUUGAGAUGUCUUAGCUUCCUCUCCCCAAAAGCAUUUUGGUGUACCCCAUUUAAUUGUAACAUAGUCAAAAUACUGAUAAAUAUUGUCAAAAAUACAAAUAAUUUACUCGAUGAAGCACUUACAAUAUUAAAGAAGGUAACCAAUCUGACAUCUCUUUUUAUCGCAUUUUGAAUGCCUUUUUUAAGCAUUGACUGGAUUCUUUGGUUACAUUGAAACUUGCAGUCGUGCUGUUACAUUUUGUGUCACAUGGAUCAAUCCGAGAUACUGGAAUUAAUAUUGGUAGUCGAAAAUGCUUCUCGCUGUCAUAUUGUAUCGAAGAGAUAUGCAGCCCUCAGCCUUUUGGUUGAUAUAACAUGUAAUCUCAAAAGAAUGAGGAUACCAUUCUUUUGUGAUUCUCCAGAACUUUUAUCUCCUCAUUCUAUCGCAGAGAAUGUGGCUCUUGUCCCCUAUGGGAAAGCUUCAGCACCCUUACCGUGGCGUGUUGCUCUGUUAGUUAUUGAUCAGAUAUCCUUCCUGGUAAAAGGGCUUGAUCCCAAUAAAGCAACUAGAGAUCUCUCCCAUUAUUCUUCCACUAUUAUGAACGGUGUAUUUUAUGGAUUGAAACAGGAAUGUCAGAACUUGCUUAAGCUCCUUUUACUCCUUGUUGAAGAGUAUCCUCGGGUAGGUCUGUUGGCCAUUGAUAGAUUCAGAUGGUUAAUGGAAAUUCUAUUAGGCAUGCAAGUUAAUCCUGAGCUUGCAGGUUCUGAAGAUGAGAUUAUUCAAACCUGCAAGGAGAUUCCAAUAAGAAGUUUAUGCGUUCAUGAGUUCAGUGAAUUCAAUGAUGGAAAGGAAAAAUUUCCUAUUGAUUCUGGGCUUAUGGCAUGCAUUAGUCGGUUCUUGGCCACAUGUCUUGAUAUACUUGAUACAGUGGAUUUUUUUGAUUGUCAAGUAGUUGGUACACUGCAACUCCUUGUCGGACGCUUAACGAAAGCGUGCAUUAGUUUGCCUGGAAUAUCCCCCUUUCUGUUGCGAUCAUGUCUUAUUUGGCAUGGUCAAGUCCGAGCACAGGGCAUAUCUCAUUUAAAUUGCAAGAUUAGCUCGGAAUGCUUGACUUUGGAAUUUGCAAAGAAAAUGAUAAUGAGCAAAGAAUUAUGGGUAGCAUACAAAAUUGGUGUUUUUGCUGCUUGUCAGGGUGCUUGGUUUGUGGCCGUGUUCACUUUUCAGCAAUUGCUUGAUCGGGUGCAGUUAGGUCCUUGUCAUUUUUGGCUGAAAUCAUUGGCACAGUUUGCAGAGGCAGAAAGUGGAAUCCAAUUGCUGCUCUUUCCAAGGAAUGACACUGAGUGGCUGAAGACAAUUGAAGACAAUAGAACAUUCUGCACUACUUUCGCUGAAGUCAUUGCUCAAGAGUCUACCUGCAAUUCUGAUAUGUUUUCUUGCUCUGAUAUUAUUGCCAUGGCACAUAGGGCAAUCUCUUCUUCAGGGGAAAUAUUGACAGGUGCUGUUACAUUGAAGUCAGCCUUUUAUUUUCAAAGGUGGUUCUUGAGUCUUCACGCAAAAUAUCUUGGAAUUUUAGUGAACAUAAUGGGGAUGUUGAGUUCCAAUAUUUUCAUUGAUGAAACUGUUGAAAAUGUGGUGACCCAGUUGGAAGGUGUAUGGGAAAAGAAAGCUCAAGAUAUGCUCACUUUGGAGCGUCGAUUUCUUCAGGCUUCAGAUAGUUUGAGGAGGUUAGCAGAAGAGCUUGAUCUUCUUAAGAUGUCUUUCAUGGAUAUGAACUACAAAGGCUUUAGAAGCAUAACAUAUGUUGCCUUGGGCUGUUCACUGCUAGCAUUUUGUGCUACCUUUGUUGUUUACUUUCCAAAGUUGCCUAAUUAUGAAACUUCAAAAUUUUCAAGAAACUCGAGAGGGGCUCUGGACCUGGUUCAAGAUCUAGCUCAACGUUUGUGGCAUGAAGACAGCAAGAUUAGCAAAGACCUCGAAUACUUCUCCACAAUUUUUGGGGAGGUGGAAAGUUUCACAGAGGCAGGGGUACGAAUGUCAAGUAAAGGAUGUAAAGAAAGGGCUGGUCUAGACAUUUGUAGGUUUUCUGUAUCUGGUGUCAUUAAUUUGCAAGCGAAAGCUCAAGGAGUAAAAGAUGAAUUCGAUUUAUUUAAAGUACACAGUGAAGGGCUAAAGCUUAUGUUAGACAUUAUUAUGAAGUGGAUUUUCUUGCCUUCUCAGAUUCCAUUUUACUUCUUUCAAACAAGGUAUAGUAAGUUAAUCUGUGCUCUAUCAUUUUAUAUCAAAUACCAUAGUCUUUGAUCAUUGAACUUUAAAAUCCGGUAAGAAGCUCUCUCUGUAUAUUUUAAGAGCAUAAAAAAAUGUAUACAAUUUAACUCAUGUAAUUUAUUUUAGUUUUCUUGUAGGUUUGUGCAUCAUUGUGUCCUUCGUCUUUACUUAUUUGCAUUGGUUGAUUGAUCCGCUUUGCUGUAUUCCCAUCGGGUUAUUUGUGUGUUGUACAAUAUGUUCUGUGCAUCUAUAUUCUGAAUCUCAGAAAGGCAGUGGAUUGGACUAUAAUGUCCCUCCAAUCUUAACUUCUUGUCAAGAUAAACAUGUAAAUACUCAAUGUACAUCAUCAUAUAUGAGUGUCUGAUAUCUACAUGUACAACUAUGUGUUUACAUAAUACAUAUACAACUAUGUGUAUGUAUGUAUACACAGGAUAGCAUAGAUUAGGAAUUUCAUAUCUCAAAGUUUGACUUAUUUUGUGUGUAAUCUUUCUUUUCUUUUAAGAAAUGUUUGUUAUGAAACAUAUUGCAGGCCCUGUAUUGGAGCUGAGAUCUUUGCAUCAAAUUCUGAUGGUGGAAGCCCCAAUGCAAUAAUAACCAUUCCCCCAGGCUUCCAACUAUCUUUGAACCUCUGCCUCCAAACAAAGAACAUGCCAUCCAAGGGUGUUUCUCGGAUAGCUAAGAUUUACUGCAUAAUUGCAGCCCGCCAGUCUGAUCAAAUAAUAGAAGGAAAUGAAGAAGCCAUGGCGCAACAGGGGUUGGGGUUUUGCCCUUCUAAAACAGAGGAAAUGUUGGUUCUUAACAAGGAGUUACUACUGUACAUGAAGAGAGAUGUUAAGGGUAGUGUUGGGAUAUCUGAAGGGCUAGAUAAUAGUGGGCUUGUGAAAUCUUUUGUGUGUUUUGAACCAAAUGGAAGGGGGCAAGGUUUCUCUACAUCUUUGCUUGAUGUUUCUAACUUUCCAGAAGGCACAUAUAGGAGUAUUUGGCACAGUUGUUGUAUUGAUAGUAAGGGUCGUUGCUGGAGUUUGCUGCCUCUUAACAUGGGUCCAUUCUUCAGUAUCAGGAAGCCUCCUCCCCCAGCGUGACCUCUUGUCAUUCGGGUCCGGGUAGAGGUAUACAAGGCAUAUGAAGCCGCCUCCAUUUUUCCUGCACGGUGUUUACAUAUGUAAAUAUUUUUCUUGUGUAAAUAUUUAAGCACGAACCAAUUGUGAAAGUCUUAGGAAAAUAUCGAUGAAACUUAGAUAAUAAACAAGGACGCGACCCAAAGGAGGACAAUAUAUACAGUAUUGAAACAAAGGAAAAUUUAUGUAAAUGUCUCAUAUCUUUUGAAAUUUAUAAAAUGUCCCUAAUAUUUUAUAAAAUGUCCCGAAUGUUAUAUAAAAUGUAACCAUUUUUUAAGGUUACAUCUAAUAUUUCAAUUUUUGUAGCUUAAAUUGAGCUCAAAUGUUGUUUGUCCAUAAUUCUCGGCAUCACUGUAGCAAAUGUAAAAAAUAGUUGAAUAAAAAUUACCCAAACAUCCAUUCAAAUUUUAGGGCUGUUUUGGUUGGCCAUUUUAUUUAUUCAAAAUUUUUAUUUUUUAUUUUUUAUCAGCGCAUUAUAAUGAGAUGUGGACAUGCAAAAUUUGAGUGUAAUCCAAUUCUUAAAUAAUUAAAAUUAAUAUAUGAUACAUGCUCUUCUCACAUUAGGAGUGUCGUUGAGAGGAUGUUGAGAUGGAUGAGUGGCAAGACAAGAAAUGAUAGAAUUUCAAAUAUAUAUAUUAACGAGAAUUUAGAUAUGGUUCCAUUGGGUGAUAAGAUGAGAAAAAGUACAUUCAAGUGGGUUUACCAUGUACAAUACAGAUUCAGUAAAACACCUAUUAGAGGAGUGAGUGGUGAGUGAAUUCAAGUGGAAGAUUAAAAAAAGCAAAGGGUAGAUUCAAAAGGACAGUGUUAGAAGUAGUGAGAAAAAAUAUGGGGACUUAUGACUUCAAUUAAAGUUUGACCAUUGAUAGAGUAGAAUAUCGGAUUAAGAUUCGUGUAGCCAAUCUCAAUUGGUUGAAAAAAGGUUUUGAUGAUGAUAUGAUACAAAUAUUGAUAAUAGUUUUUAAAUUUCAACAAGAAAAAAAAGGAAUAUAGAGGUGAAUUUUCCUAAAACAGAUCCAUAAAAUGCCUCAUCUAAAAAACUAAAAUUGUGGAUCCUAAUUGAUAACUAGAUUGGAGGACACAUUUAUAAAUUAGGUGAACGGGGUAACGGUUGAAUGUUUUCAAGACUUGAAUUUGGUUAGUCCUAGCUUUUGCAUUUAUUUUUGGAGAAUUUUAUUGAGUGAUGCAAAAAACAAGAAAUUAUAAUGGCAUUCAAGAAGCUAGCAAAUAAAGGGGCCUCAAAUACUACGGGUCUUACGACAAUUUGCUACAAAUAAUUGUUUCGGUAUCAGCAUACAUUUAGCAGUACAACGUCUCAAGUUUGAUUUCCAAUGCCAAAUUUUGGGGAUCUCAUGUCUUUCACCCAUAAACUAACCUCGACGGAAAAUAAAAAAAAUAUAAGUUGCGCUCUCUACAUCAUCAUCUAAGCAUCGACAACAUAAAUCUUGUUAUGCUAUUCCACUCCAUAUACCAAGAUUUAUGGUACGGGUGCAGAAAAAAUUUUCUAUACUGCCACACAACCCUCCUUCCUUACUCAUACAGGCUUGGGACUACAUGUUUGAAAAUAAAUAAUAUCUCAAAAUUGAAUAAAGGCCAUCCAAUUUUUUUUAAAAAAAAUCUAAGUAUUAGACAACUCAAAAGUCUUCGUUUUUUUUUAUUUUAUUUUUCUGAAAAUAAUCACCUAGUCAUUCUUGAGCAUGGCCCCCAAAAUUUCAGGUUGAAAAUAAACCUCCCAAACAUGUUUAUUGCCCAAUGGAGUAAUUGUGGGAGCACAGUAAACACGCUACUAAAACACAGUGGCUGAAAACUUACAUGAAAAUUGCAAAGUGGGACCAAUUUCCACCUGGCCGCACCGUUUAGAAUAUGGGUGGAUCAUUUUGGAAAUAUUAUAUUUGGUAUGCACUGAUAAUGGAAAACCAAAAUUUGAAAACCUCCCGCCUUUUCACUCGAUGCUGCAAAGAUGUAAGCAAUGCUCGUUCAGUUCUCUGCGUCUAUAAAAGGGUGGUCUCCACCGCCAUUCAGACCAUUUGAUUUCCCAGAGGCUCAGAACCUAAGACCAGCUCCUUCCUCGAAAACACUCUGAAACCCUAGAUCUUCGUCAAACCCUAGCUUUUAUUGAAGAAAAAUGGCAUUGAUAGGAAUGACAUGCCCUAAUUUUCCUCUGUUGCUUUGGUGCCGUAGCUGAUCGGUGGACUUGUUCCGGUUCUAUUGAAAAAACCGAGUUAUUUCUUUCAUCAGAUGUUUCUUAAAACUUAAACCGCAAAAAUCUUGCUUUUUCACUGCGGAAUUUUUAUAAUUAGGCUCUUUUUGCUUUGAUAUGUUCCCGAGUCAUCCAUCUUAGCGAAAUUUUCAGAAACAAUCUUCCUCCUGUAUUACUUUUCAUGCUUUGCUUUUGAUUUUCUUUGAUAAAAUUUGCAGGAUCUUGAAUCGGGACAAGAGAUGGAGCUUCUCCAACUUCCAUCAACAUCUGAUACGGUCUUCUUCAAGAAUCAGAGAAACGAAGGUUUAAUUGACAAAUUCGAUGUUUUGGAGGAGAAUACUCAAGAUGACAACAAUAAUGAUCUUGAGAAUAGCAUCAUUCAAUUGAUAUGGAAAGAUGAUAAUACCAGGCUCGUUUCUUUAAUGAAAGAAAUCGGGAAAAUCUCAGAUACAGGAAAUGAAGGAGCAGAGAAGAUCGAUGCAUGGAGUCUCGUAGUUGUUACUUGCAGCCUUGACUCUGUAUUGUGUUUGAGCGCCAUAAUCGAAGGCGAAACUGGAAGUCCCGUCAAGAUCAAUAAACUUGACAAGACAGGGAAAACGCCUCUCCAUUAUGCGGCUCAAAUGCAUUCCUCAAGGUGCGUCAACUUCUUACUUCACAAGCACGCUUCUACUGAUCAGCGAUCAAAAGAGGGCCUCAAAGCUCUGGAGCUCGCACUGCAUAGCAGAAGGUUCGUUCUUUGGAAAUUCGUUUUGUGGAAGCUUACGGAGCUUCCCUCAGAUUCUCGAAAAUGGCAAAGGUUUCGGUGCCCUAUGGCUUGUAAAGUUAGAUCAAAGUUUUCGAUAUGCUCUCUCUCUCUCUCUCUCUCACGCACACAGACUCGCUCACUCUCCCUCUAUACUGAGUUUAAAUCGUCCAUUCUUGUGUUUGUUCUCUCUCUACACGUGAUGUCAAAUCGUCCAUCCUUGUGUUCUAUCUCUCUCUGUUUCCACAUCCUUGUGUUCUCUCUCUCUCUACAAAGGUCAAGUCGUCAUAUCCUUAUGAUUUUGAUCUAUUUCUCUGUGUUAAUUUUAAAGUUUGCGAUCCGUAUGUUUUUUCCUCCCUCUUUCUAUAGUGCUUGCUCCGUUGCUGUGCAAGGUUCAUUUUCUGGAAGUUACGGAACUUCUUUCAUAGUCUCAAAAAUUACAAAGCAGCAAAGGUUUCAGUCUUUCAGUGGUCUAUCGCUCGAAAAAUGAGGUCCAUGUUUUCAAUAUGCUCUCUCUCUCUCUCUCUUAUAGUUCAAAUCGUCCAUCCUUAUGUUUGUGACUUACUCUCUCUCUACGUGACAGUUGAUUCUCGUGUUUUCUCUCUCUACACCUUGUGUUCCCUCCUUCUCUCUCCUCUCUCUAGAAAGCUCAAGUCCUCAAAUCCUUGUGUUUUUUAUCUCUCUUAAGCUUAAAUGGAAGUCUGGGAUCCGUACGUUUCCCCCUCUCUCUCUCUCUCUCUCUCUGGUGCUUGCUCUGUUUCUGUGCAAGCUUUGUUACAUGGAAGUUACGGAAUCCACUCGGAUCUCAAAAAGUACAAAGGUUUCAGUGGUCUAUCGCUUCUAAAGUUUGGUCAAAAGAUUUCCAUACGCUCUUCUCUCUAUUGAGGUCAAAUCGUCCAUCUUAUAUCGACUUCCUCUCUCUGUGUACGUGAUGUCAAAUCAUCCAUCCUCGUUUUCUCUCUCUGUUUCUUUUUUUUUAAGAUUGUUCUCUCGCCCCUAUGGUUGUCAAAUCCUUAAUUUUCGAUACCCUUUCUCUCUUCACUGAUGUCAAAUCGUCGAUCCCCUCUCUGUCUCUCUACUAAGGUCAAGUCCUCAAAUCCUCAUGUUUUCUCUCUCUCUCUCUCUGCCCCCGCUGAACCAGGAUGCAUGUCAACUGGACUGUAGACGAGGACGUGCAGCAGCUCUUAUUCCUCCUAAGCAACAAGGUAUCCCAAGAUUUCAGCUUUGUUUCUCAGGAAAACCGCUCAUUUACCUGAUCUUAUCUGGCCGCUCGCCAAAAGUCCUGAUUUCUUGAAUGGCUCAUUCUUAGGACCUGAGUUCUCUACAACCGCUGGUUUCGAGAACUAAAAACGUCGAAGAGAUCGCAUACAGGAACGCCAUGGAUGGGAAUAUUGUGGCCCUCGCCGCGUUGCUUUUCGUAGGAAGCGAGUCUCUGGUAUCAGCAAAGAUCGCAACGGGAGACGAAAGGGAAGCGAGUCUAUAUGAGUCUAUUGUAAAGCGGACGGUUUCGUUUGCUGCUAGUGGAGAUGAGAAGAGGGAAGUGUUGGUCAAAGAGAUAGAGCUACUUCACUUGUUUGACGCUCAUUUUCACAGAUUCACACGCGUUGCUCCGCUUAUCCGUGCUUCAGAGGUUUGCUCUAGACUUUCCUAUGUUUUUUUUUUUUUAUAUUUUGCUUGCUUAAUCAAUAAAACAAUGAGAAUGAGAGCGAUCAAUAUAAGAUUACAGCGGAGCAUUGGGUCGUAUAAAAAUAAAAAAUUAAAAAAAAAUAAAAGUAAUUUAAAAUAACAUAAACUAAAAUAACUAAUAGAAAUAAAGCCAAAGAUGAAAAACUACAUAAAAGUAAAUCAUUUUUAUUAUUCCUUGUAUAUUUCUGUAAAAUAAAAAAAGAAGAAAAAAAAUGAAGACCAUGUAAUAAAGGAAAAUUUCAAAACUGUGACAAAAAACAUAUAAAAACACACUUUUAAAUCAUAUAUUAGUUAUUUUUUUGAGAUCGACUCGGCAGAAAAAACUUCACACUCAUUUCUCAUUUUGAACCUAAAACAGAGGAAAUCUAAGAAGCAUUUCCUCUAUUACAUAGUACCUGUACAUCGGUUGCCUAUAUUGCACAACAGCUAUAUGGUUCAAUCUGUGUGUAAAACACAACCCGUGGGUGAUAGUACUUUCUUGAGAGAGAAACAGUAACAAUACCCUCACGAAAAAAUUGCCGGAUUCUUGUAUUGUGUUUUUAGGCUGGUGAUGCGACGGUAGUGAAACUUAUCCUUCAAACAAAAUGUGACGUCAACGAGACGGACGUUGACGGAAACUCGGCUCUCCAUUGGUGCCUUCGUGCGAGCUGGAAUUCACAUGACACUAGGUACGAAUCAACGGCCUUGAUAUUUUCGUAUCUGUUGGAUUCUACAAUCUCAACCGUUGGAUGAUCUCAGUGUCCUAGGCUUGUUACUGAAGGACGGUGCACGAGUAAGCGUGAGGAACCGUUUGGGGUUGACUCCCCUCCACGUGGCAGCCGCCCAUGGCCAUUUUCAUGCCUUGCAGGUAUGCUCACAAAGCCACCAAGAAAUUCUUUCGUUUGCAUUUUUUUAAAGAAAUUUAGACCUAACUAAAUAUACUUUAUUUUUUGAAGAAAGUCUAUCAAAUAGUACUUUCCAACUUGAAAUCGUGUGUUCUUUUAAGGGAAAUUUGAAAUAAACCAGAGGAUAAGUUGAUAAAUUAUUCAUCUCUCAUAGAUAUUGUGUUCUUUUAUGGGAAAUUUGAAAUAAACCCAAGGAUAAGUUGUUAAAUUAUUCAUCUCUCACAGAUAUUGUGCUAAUUUUUUUAUUCAAUUUAGAGUAAUUUACAUACGGACUCUAAAAUGUUUUCUAAAAUAUGAAAUGUUCAAUUUAUAGUUAGAAGUUACAAAGCAGCUCAGUCAACCUAGGCUCUUUUAUUUUUUUAAAAAGUUACCCCUCGGUCAAAAGGCAUCCUCAAACCAAAUUUUAAUUUACUAUUUUUAGUUUUUCCAUUAGUAGGCACUACCCUAAAGCUUGGGUCACUACCCAACUAAUGAAAAAAAAAAAAAUCAGACUAAGGAUUCCAUCCUCAAAGCAAGGCCAAUUUUGAAAAAAAAAAAAAAAAAACAAGUUGACCGACUUUCUUUGUAAUUUUUGCCUAUAGAGUGUUUAAAAAAAAAUUAAGGUUUGUAUGUAAAUCACUCUUUAAUUUAGUAAUUUAAACCUUUUCAACUAUUCCAACUAUAUAGGCAUGUAUAUUUUGAUUAUUACGUCAAAAUUAAACAUUAAAUAGUUAAUCUCUUGAAUGUACAUGCGAGCCAAUACCCGAAAUGUCCACCUAUGUAUCUUGAAGCUUUUUUUCUCUCUAAGUUGAUUGCCAAUGUACUAAGUUGCAUUGCUGGAAAGUGGAAACAGUUUUCAUUCAUAACCAAGGCGCAUAUAGUUUUCAGUUUGGAAUAGUAGGAGAGUGUUAAAUAUUAAGUAGUUAAUAAAUGAGAUGUAUUUUGAUAAAGGUCCCUAUAUUUAAAAGCUGAUUAUCUUUAAAGCUAGUUGAAAUUUCUAAUGACUUAUUUUUUUACGGGCUUUUCCAGCUUCUCUUGAGUAGGGAUCCUGAUGGUGUCGAUCUCGCCUCAGAAACGAGAGAGACACCGCUUUUUUACGCCGUUAAGAACGACUACAUGGACUGUGCUCAGCUCCUUCUGCGCUAUGGUGCCAAUCGCCAAGCCUUCAACCUACGGUACACGUCCUCUAACUCACCAAACCGCCAUUUUCUUCGGGGCAAUUAUCUCAGCCAAAGCAAACCCAAUUACUUCUUUGCAGGAAACAGAGGCCAAUAGAUUUGGCCACUUCUGAGGACAUGCGCUACAUGCUCAGCCAGAUGAGCUUUUAUAGCUGUACUCUAACCCGUCCUUAAAAUAUAUACGUUUCAAGGAAAACUAGAAGUACACUAUGCACCACCGGUGUAUAGUGUAUACUUCCACUGAAAUGAAAUAACAACGUGAUUGUAUUGUAAUAGCCUCACCCUUGUGUGCAGGGAACCCAAACGCAACGCACAUUGUCGAUGCCAUGCCUGGGCUUGGGAACGAGAGUUGCAGCCCUGAAGCGGAUGAAAUGCUCACCAGCUUGGAAGAUGAGUGCGAAAAUAGCAAAAGGUAUGACUAGUUAAGACUUAAGGAUGCAUGUUCGAAUUAGAGUGAAUUUAUGUAUGGACCUAAAAAUUUUAUGUAAAAUACAAAGUGAUCGUCUUAUACGUGGAAAUUGUAAAAAAAAUCGGUCAACCCAAUUUUUUUUUUAAUGUUUUUUUCAAAUUUACCUUUCGAUCAACCUAAAUUUUAUUUUCUUUUAAAGUUUUUCUUUUUAGUUUUUUUCGUUAGGAUAGUGCCCUAUGCUUUAAGGCAUUCUCUAAAUAACAAAAAUAAAAAAUAAAAAUAAAAUUGAAAAAAAAUAAAUCCAAAUUCAAGUUGACUGAAAGGUAAUUUUUUUUUAAAAAAAAUAAGUUGACUUACUUUUUUUUUUUUUUUAAAUUUCCACGGUAUUUUUAUAUUUUACCUAAAAUUUUAAAAUCGGUUCAGAACCUGAAAAGUGGGGGAUUUGCUAUCCGUAAUUUUUCACAUUGUCGUAGUGUUAUUCUAACGAUUUGGGUUCGGGUAACUAGCGGUUUUCUGACAUGAUGUGGGCUUCUCUAUCUUGGGGAGUAAAUACAGGUCUUCCCCUAUUAUGAAAACCGAGAUUUGUAGGUACUUCGAAGCGCCGGGUGGGUGCGUGAGAGGGGAUAGGUGCUUCUACGCGCACGGUGCCGAUGGGCUUAGACGAGCCAAGGGUGUUCCUUGGACUGGCGAAUACUGCUUUAGCAAGGUAAAUGGACGCUUAGAUAAUAAAGAAAAGGUGAGGCUUGUAAAAGGCCCCAACUUGAUACUAAUGAUGCAAGGCCGCACCUCAAAAUCAUGCAAAAAAAAUAAAUUUCAGUGUUGGAAAGUACUCAUGAUAGCAUAAAAAUAUAUUCUCACCGUUAAUUAUGAAAUUUCAAAGCCCCAAAAAUGAUAUAGAUCAAGUAGAUAAAUAAACAGUUAAAAAUUAUGAAAAACCUUUUUUGACAUGUUUUUGAGGUGGGCUUAAUUAAAUUUUAUAAAGUUGACACCGCUUGUAUAAAUAUUAAUAAAUGUUUUCAUAGAGAAAAGGGGCUGUUUUCAAAAUUGUUAGGGCGUAUUUGGAAAAUGAAAUCAAUUUCUAAGAGGGAAAGAUUAUAGAGAUCAGUUUAAUACAUAAAAAAAAAGUAUAAAAAUCUUAUUUACGUUUUCUGAAUGAAAACAAGAGCCUAAAAACUUAAAGAAUAAUACAGAUUAGCAUUAUUACAAAGUUACAAAUUUUCCUUAUGUUUGUUGCUUAUAUUUCCAUAAUAUUGGACUAAAGUUUUCUAGUUUGCUUGCCCAUUUAAUCUUAUAUCCAUGACGUUAUCCAUGCAAAACCUUGCCAACGGACGUAAAACGAUCAGCACUUUCUGCGAAACUCAUCAAUGGAUGGAAAAAGAUGUCUCAAUGGUUUUUAUAGAAAUUGGUCGUAGUUAAUAUCAUUAAUACAUGCCCAAAAAUGGGAAUUCCCCACCUGCCCAAGCAUUUUUAUGAUCCCUUUUACUUCCGAUCGUGCAGCGCGCUGUGGACAAUCUCAGCCGCAAGAUCUUCAUAGGGGGCCUCCAUCCAUCCAUUGAUUCAGGUAAACAAACAAACACGAAACUCCAAAAACUCAAUAAUGAGAAACUUCACCUUAAUUUCUCUCACCAACAUUUCCCAAAAUAAAAAAAACCCUCAGAAAUCUUUUUUUUUUUUUUUUGAGAAAAGUUGACUUAAAAAACCGCAGAAAUUUCACCGCAUUUUGGUCUGUGUUCUCUCCAGACCACCUGAGAGACUUCUUCGAGGCCAACUUCGGCCCAGUGGAGGACGCCACUGUCAUCAAUAGGCGGGCCGGAGCCCUCGUCCAGUCUCGGGGCUUUGGGUUCGUAACGUUCGAGCGUGAGGACUCGGUCGCGGCUGCAGUCGAAGCCCAAUUUGUGACCAUCUGGGGCAAGAAGGUCGAGAUAAAGAGCGCAAUUUCCAAGCCCAAUCCAGUGGCGAUCGCCUCCUCUGAGCCCUGGCCGCUGCCAUCCCUCGAUGAGGCCACCCCUAUUGCCAACCAUGACCACUUUGAGGUUCCAUGGCUGCGCAAGUUCAAAAAAUGGUUUCCUGAGUUCUUAGAGCAGAUGGCAAAGCGGAAUGGGGGUGAGUGGUACCCACUUUCUUCUCUUAAGGGGGACUUCAGAGCUGCCUGUAGGCUCGAGCUCAACCACGAGUCGCUUGGGUAUCUGAAGCUUAGCGACUUCAUGAGGUCCAUGCCUGGUAUUUGUGGAAUGAAGAUUGUGCCGAUAGGCAGGGGCCUGGCCACACACAUGGUGCUCUACCCCUUGGGUAAGGGGCAGAGGCAGGAUAGGCAGGACCAGCAGCUAAUGCAUACUGAUGAAUCCUCAUGGCCCUCCCUCGAUGCAGGGCCUGCACACCUUAUGGGGAGAGCCCUCUCUGCUGCAGCACUUGACCGCUCAUACGCCGAUGUUGCUGGUCGGCGAGACGUGAUCAAGCGGCCGGUUGGGUACGAGCGAAUGAAGGUCCUGUCAUAUGCCGAUGUUGCAGGGAGGGCAGUGAGCAAGACGCCUAUGGGUUAUGAGCUCUCGAAUGUCCAGUCAUAUGCCGAUGUAGCAGUCCAUAGAGGGGAGGGGAAGAGGGCAGCAUGGGACUCGGCACAUCGGUUGCAGCUCGAUGUGGAGGAGGCCGGUUCGAUUCCAGGGGGUACGCCUAGGAUUGCAACACAGGGGAUGAUGGGGCAGGAGGGGUUCGAGAAGAGGUUUGUGUCAUUCUUGGAGUACGAGGGGUGGUCGCUUUUCACGCCAUGGUACAGAGAGCCCAAGGAGUUAAUCUCGGCUUGCCAGGCUACCAAGGAGUUCUCUUACUUCACGGUGAGAUAGAAGAACAGAAAAAAAUAUUUACGCUUUUCCAGCUUUUACCAUGAUUCGGAUCGGAGUAGGACUUGGGUUCUCUCUCUCGCAGUGUGCAUGUGAAUUUAGCCUCUGUAUCCUUCAUAUUUGCUCCGUGCUUCUCUCUUCCCCCACCUCAUCUUUCGAUUUAGCUUAUAGCCUCUAUCUCUCUCUCUCGUCCACACUGAUUUUGCCAAUGUAACCUCUCUCUAUCUCUCUCCCUUUCUUUCUCGUGAGGUUCAGAUGAAAAAUGUUCAUAGUAUUGGCCCUUGACUCUCUCUCUUCUUAGACCCUGUUUAGAAAUUGUUCGUAGUGUUGGCCGCUCUUGACUCUCUCUCUCUCGUUAGACACUCUUUAGAAAUUGUUCAUACUUCAUAGUGCUGGCCCUUGACUCUCUCCUCCCCACCCACUUCUUCUCCGUUGCCCUGUUUUUUUCUACUCCUUACGCCUCUCUCUCUCUCUCUCUUAUAGACCUUUUUUUCUUCUCUCAUGCCCCAUCUCGGCCAAUACCCUACUGCAACUAGAGUCAGAUACAUGAUUUUUGCUUUCAUUAGGGGCAGAAAGCAGAAAUCAUAAUUUUGAAAGUGAUUUAGGUAGGGACCUUAAGUAAAAUACAAUGAUAUGAUUAUCAGUGGAAGAGUAUUGAUAUUAUGGGACAAGUGGAAAUUAUAAAUAAGGCCGGUUAAUCUAUUUUUUUUUUCAAAAUUGUCUUUUUUUAUUUUUUCUUUAGUAAGACAGUGCCCAAAGGUUUUUUUUAAAAAAAACUAAAAAAAUAAAAAAUAGGGUUCAUUGGGGAGCAAUGUUGAAAAAAAAAAAAUGAAUUGACUGACCUUUUUUUUUUUUUAAUUCUGCUUAUAAGUGAUUUAUUUCUUAUUUUACCAAAAAUUUUAGGAUACGUAUGUAAAUCACUCUAUUUUUGACAAGUGGUAUCCCAUUCGGUCAACUUGUGCAGGAUAACACUGUGUAUUGAGAAUAAUAGACCCCCAAUAGAGGCUUUCCGCAAUAACACAUGGAUAUUUUCUAUAGACAGAUUAAAUUUUGAGUUUCUAAACUGACUUUCCUACAAUUCGAACUGCUCUAUUAUUUUUCCAUAUUGUCCCAAAAAACUUAAUAUUCUUUUGGACUUAUGAGAAAUUUUAUUACUAUAAAGCAAAACAGAUUGUCCACUAAUUAAGACGUUACACUUAUGGAUUCUUAAUUUCAUUUAUGUGGUUUGUGCCUCUGCAGAAGCAACUGGUCCCUGAUGAGAAUGGGCGUCUCAGGUGGGAAGAUGUGCAGGACAAAGGAGCCGGGCCUGGGCUCUAAAAGUUUCAGCGGAUAAUUUUACCCAAGAAGAAGAAAGAAAAAGAAAAAAGCUUAGCGGAUAAUAAGAGCACAAAGAGGGGUUUGUGACACCCAUAUAUCUCAUUCCCUCCUAAUUUUGGUGUCCAAACAUGUGCCCUGGUAGUAGAGGGGGGAAUUUUGGUAUCAUAUUAAUAAUAAGUAUAUGAUUCCUUUAAUCGUGGGGGGUGUGGUUUGAUACCAUAGUAAGUAAUAAUAAUAACAAGUGUAUAAUUCCUUCCAAUUUUGGUUUGCAAUUGUUUUUUCAAUUGUUAAUUUCACACUCUCCUCUUCGGUCUCGUUUGGCUAAUAUGUGGGGAGAAACAUUAGAAGAGUUACUUUUGGGAGUAGGCCAUUUUACGUGGAUUUAAUACUACAUGAUAUGUGAAUAACACUCAAAGAAAAAGAAAAAAGAUCAUGAUAUUAUGUGAAAGAUGAUUUCUAGUAUGCUUUCUCUCCCUGUUCUAGAAUUCGAUCUUGUAUGUUGGUUUUGUAGAAUCUUUAGAAAGAGAUUCAUCACUCAUGUUUUAGAAAAUGGAAGAGAUUUAUAAUUAGGAAGGGCAAUGAGGAGAUUAUCCUAAGGCAUUUCAUUCAAGGAAAAAGGUUUAUAUAAGGAUGCAACCUUAUAAUCUGGAACUAAGGUGCACAUAAAAAAUCCAUUGUAAAUUACAUGAAGUUGGAAAACCCUCCGAUGAUUAUCUCAAUAUCAAGAUGCAUGAAUAAUAAAAAAAUAUAUUUAGCGUCUAAAAAAUAGUGUAUCUUGCAACAUGCUAUCUGUACCAUCCAUUUUCAAGAUUUUCACUUUUCUAUAGAUCUACUUGAUUUGAGCCAUUUUUGAAGUCUAAAAUGUUGUAAUUAGAGAUGAAAGCGGAUUCUCAACCCAUCCAAAGAAUUUGGUGAGAUAACUCCCACUAAAGUAAGAUUUAUCUGUCCAAAUGAGACUAAACCAAAAAAAAAGUGAAGAUGAAGAGCUGAAUUAUAUAUAUAUAUAGUUGUAUAAUCAUAUGAUCCAACAACCUUCAAAGCAUGUUAUGACCAUUUUGUUAGUACAUUGGCAUGCAUGUACAUAUCGACAAUGAUAUGCCAUUUGGUUCCCAUUUUGAGUGCCUUAUUAUUUUCCGUCUUUCAUUUUGGCUAAUUUAGGCAAAAAAAUUUAAAAAUAAUAAAGAAAAUUUACUUUAUGUAAAAGAUAUGGUUACUGUGUAUGGUUACUGUGCGGGCACGGGCCAGCUGCUGUUGAACUUAUUUGGACGGUAAAGGUUAAAAGAUAAGCUUUCAAUCACCACCGUUCAACUAAGUGGCUGAACUUCAUAUGCCCGCUUAUGAAAUUUUUCCUUUUAUAAAUAAGAUCCGAACCAAGUGGCGGGCUACACAAAUGAUUACAAUCCAAUACCUAAAUCAAAACUAAGCACUCAUUAACUAUAGUUAAUAAAUGAUUCUCUUUCAAAAAGAAUUUUCACUUUACCCAUGCUUAAUUACCUAAUGUAGUUUUAGAUGAAAAAGUUACUACACGGUAAAAAAAAAGUAUCAAGUGUCCAAAAUAUUGAGUACCAUAUGAAAAUAACCAUAUGUAUGAGUACCCUAAUUUUUUCUAAUUAAAAAGUUUGAGUACAUCCAAUAAUUGUUACAUCUAGAAUUUAUUAGUCACUUCAUUGAGAGAUAAUCUGAGAGGAAAUAUAAAGUAAAAUAGGACAUCAAUCCCGCUUAUACUUUUCUGUUUUUUUUAAGAUAAUUUAAUGGGAAAGAGAGGCCCAAUCUUAUUUUUUCGAGAGUUAGCUUUUAAAAAGUAUUAAUGAAAUGGAGUUAGUGGUGAAAACGAUGAAGCAGUGAUUACGGUGUGAGGUGGUUCUUUUCCUAUCCCGCUUACCCUGUUGGCGUAAAUCAUUGUGAGUACGAUUACUUUCAUUUAUUUAUUUAUUUGAACGGUAAAACCACUUGUUCUCAAGUUCAAUCAAAUCACCUUUCAUGUAAUAAUGAAGCAGAACGAGCACCGGAAUGCGAGGCUACAGCGAAAGAAGAAUUUGCAAACGUCAUAAAGAAUUUACGUACUUCGUUAGAUAUUCCAUACGGAAAAUUAUAGAGGUCUCUAAUUUGUAUUUUCAAGAUAUUCUCUCUAAAUAUUUUUUAUACCACACUUUUAUCCUCAAUAAUAUUUUUCUAUGUAACCACCCCCAAAUAAAAAGAAUUAAUAUUUUUAAUCAAAAUACUCGCCAUUUUAACUUAUGUUUUCAAAACAUGAUGUCCAAUAUGUGUCGGUUUGGUACAAAAAUGUGUCGGACCGGCACAAGUUGAAUAUCAAGCCGGUGUGACACAAAAAAUGCCGGACCAUCUUCGUAAAUGUUGUGCCAGACUGGCUUAGUGAGAGAAAGCUGGAAAUGUGGCCAAAAAAAAUAAAAAAGAUUAUUUUGAUCCCAAAAAGGUUACCUUUUUUUAUUUCGGGAGGUCUGAAAAAAUAAAAAAAAAUAUUGAAGUUAAUAGUAUGGUAUCAAAGUGUUGGGGCCGAAUCAAAAGGCGUACGUCUAGAAAGUACAAAUCAGCGGAUAUCUAUAAUUUUUCCUAUUCUAUAAACCAAUUAUUUCAAAACUAGCAAGUCGACUGGGAACCCACCGAGUCAACUAGGGACCGGCAAGGUUCUGGGACGAGUCUCACCCGGACUUCAAAGAAAACCAGAAAACUAUGUAAUUUAACAGCCAAAAUUUGAUUUUUAGGUCUACAUUUGUAUUUUCAUUUAAAAUCAAUGACUGCCACUGCUAUUUAACCCCCAAUAUCAAUCGUUUUUGUCCAAAACUAGAUUAUUUGGAUCAAAAUAAUAUUUGAUCGUUUUUAUCCAAUUCUAGAUUAUUUGAAUCGAAAUGAUAUUUUAAUGAGGUUUUCUCAUCCAAAUCUCUUAAUUCUUCAUCCCAAAAUUCCAAUGCUCCUUUCUUCCAAUUUCUCACUUAAUUCUUGACAAAAAACUUGAAAUUUGUUUCCAAGUAUUUGCGGAUAAGCUCUCUAUCAAACCCCUAUACCAACUUGCAGUAUCAAAAAUCAAAAUAAGAGAAUUGGCUUUUCAAAUUUUGGGGGGUUUUUUGAACCCCAAAUAAAAAAUCUUUGAUUUCUCUGCCUUUUUUUUUUGCCAAAUUCAUUUAAAUAUGUCCCAAAAUGUUCCCAUUACAUUGCUCUACGAAAUCCCUAACAAAUUUUCUUGGAUCAAAAAACAAAAUAUAGAAUCUAUAAUUUUUUUUAAACCAUUUUUUCCACCUUUUUCUUUCAAUUUUUUUUUUUUAGUUUAUAUUUUUAUUUUUAUUUAUGCUUCCAAUCGUAUGAAAUCAAAUUAUUUAUUUCGACUUAAUACAUUUUUGUCUUUUUCCUUGUGUUGUUUUUUAUGUUCUUUUGUUUUUUAAUAUAAACUCUUGUUAUUAUCUCCAAAAUAUAUGUUGAAAUUUAAUAGGGAAACUGUUAUUGAAACAUAACUACCCAACAUCAAUUUCCGUAGUAUAAUGGUCAUUUCCUUAUGGUUUGCAUAAGGUUGCAACCUUAAACAAUCCAAAUAAGGUGCACCACCAAAUUUUAUUUAAAGUUGCAAUGUUGGUGUCUAAAAUUCUUAGGAUGGCCGGAGAAUCUAUUUUUAUCUCUGAUUAUAAAAUUUUAAAACUCCAAAAAUGGUUCAAAUCAAACAGAUCUAUAAACACAUCAAAAUAUUGAAAUAGAUUCCAAAUAAUUUAUUGUAAAAUGACUCUUUUAAGACUUGAAAUCUCUUUUUUCUCUCUAUAUCUAUACAUCUCAAAAUCGAGAUGAUCAAUUCAAUAUUUUUUCAAUAUCAAAACAAUCUUUACCAAAGGAUUUUAGAGGUGCCUUAAUUCUACAUAUUAAGGUGUGAACCUUAUAUAAACUUUUUCCUUUCUUCAUAUCUCUAAAUAAGGAAGGAAAAGUGCUACAUGGAUUCGGGAACAAUUUCUUACAUUUGCAUCCCCCGAGAUAUAAACCAUCAUCCAAAGAUGGGAUGUAAACGAUGGUCCCUCCAAAGAAAAACUAAAAUAAAUAGUUUAAAUAUUUUAUUAAAAUGUCAUUUUUAAUUUUUAAAAUUUAUUUUUAUUUUUACACAUUAAUGAUGUCCAUGCGAGGAAUUAUAUAUUCCUUAAAAUUAAGGCUAAAAUCUAUUUCAAAAAUAGAUUAUCACGGGGCUUGAAUUUCUACACAUGAGCCCAAAGACUCGUAGAAACCUUGUCCAAUAAAGAAAUAUUUACAAUGAGACCAUUCAUUUUUUAUAAGGUGCGGUUUUUAUAAGGUUGCAACUUUAAACAAUCCAAUUAAGGGGCGCUUUCAAAUUUUAUCAUAACAUGUAAUUUUGUUGUAAAAAGUUUUUAGGAUUGUCUUAAAAACUAUUUUCAUAUCUAAUUAAAAAAUUUUAAACUCCAAAAAUGGUUAAAGUCAAGUAGAUCUAUAGACAUAUGAAAAUCUUGAAAAUGGACGGUCUAGAUAAUGUGUUGCAAGAUGCACUAUUUUUGGGACUCAAAACCUUUUUAAUUUAAUAUUCAUUCAUCUUAAUGGCGAGAUGAUCAAUUAGAGGGUUUUUCAACAUUAAAACAGCCUUUCCGAUAGAGUUUUGAAGUGCAUAUGUGAUUUUACAUUUUAAGGUUAUAAACUUUUCCCUUUUUUAUAUAUGAAGGUCAUAUUCAUUUAUUAACCAUUGAAUUUGAAAUUGGCUUGUCAGGGAUGUGACAUUGAUUGAACACAAAGUCCACAAUCAAAUUUCUCGAAUGUUGUGACAUACUUCAAUAUAUUAAAUUUUGCAGCCAAUUACUAAAAAAAUUGUGAUUUUCUUAUAUCAAAAGUAAAUGGUCUCCUAGUAUACAAUUCAUGUGAAAAAUGGUCAAUCAAAAGUGGUACACCUCGUACUUAUUUCUCAUAAGUCCCGACCUGCUGAUAGAACAAUGUAAAACUAUGUAAAUGGACGUGAUAACAGGCUGAAAAGAUAUAAUGAUAGUGAUCUUAUUCACAAUAACGAAAUUUUGUGUACAAUUGAAUAUUUCAUGCAUGUAUAAGGUGAUAUACUUGAUUUCCAAUGUUCAAUCAUCUUUAUAAUAAUUUUUGACGUAGGAAUAAACUCAAGGCAUUGAUGGUUAGAAUAGUGGAUACCACAACUUAAAUGUCUUAAGUUUCAUUCACCAUGGGUAGGGGAACCCUUCGCCAUGGAUUUACCCCGAAAAAAAUCCAUAACACCUUGAAUUGCUUGUGAUUAUGCAAAAAUAAGGGAGACGAGGUCUUGAUUCUCCGGGUGAGUAGUCAAAAUGCACGAAAGCAACCUUCAAGAAAAUGUACUGUUUUAAAACUAGCAAGGAAGAAAAAAAAAAAAACAAGUAUAUCAUAGAUAAUUACAUUAAUAUGGAUUAAAAAUAGAAUAAUCGCUCAAUUUUUUACUACAUGGACUACUACUUCUGAGUUGGUUCAAGUGGAGGGUUCAAAAAGGAGCAAGGGUAUAAAAUGACAUUGUUGGCAAUAACAAGAAAAUAUAUGGAGACUUAUAACAUCAUUGAGGGUAUUGUUGGGUUUAUGUCGCCUUUAAAGGCCUUGUGAGUGCGUAAUGAAAAACAUUUGUUAUAGUGGAACAUAAAUUCAGUGGGAGUGUGGUCCAUCGAGGACCAUACUAAGUAAACGUUGUUUGUUGAUACUAGACUGUGCUUGUCGAUCUAGGCCAGUCAGUUCGAAAACCCAAGGUACCUGGGCAUAAAGAACAAACCGAGAAGAGUUUUGGGUUAGUCCUUGAUGACGUCAGACCUUAUGCUUGGAUGCGUGAGUCGAGGGACUGUGUGACCCUUGUGCAUGAUGGUAGGCCUACAGAGAUGGGGGCCAAAUCCUCAUCCAUGUUCCAUCACACGGCAUGCAUAUCAAUAGAUCGUUCGGGAAAGUCAGUUAUACACCUUUAGGUGACGCGUGUGCAUGUGUGAAAGAUAUCUCUAUGCACCAUAAAGCUGUGGGCGCAUCAGGUCGUGGUGACAUUGACUCGUCUUUAGGGGAAGACUUGUGAUCCACAAACUGGGAAUGCGACCCCUUGGCUCAUCGGCCAAACUUUGAUGACCCGUUAAUGUGCGCUUGGAUUGUUGAUCAUGAAAAACACUGAGUCGGUUUGAUAAAGCAAGUGUGGUCUGUAGUCCACAGUUGAAGGUGAAGUACCCCACGAUUGUUGAUAGAAUUCAUGGAUCAUAUAGAUCCACUUUCCAUUAUAUUAAUUUAAUUAUGUUCAUUUUAUUAUAGAAAUUAUUUUAGAUUUAUUAUUUGAAUUUUUAUAAAUAUUUUAAUAUUUUAUUUAUGAUUUUUUUACUCAUAAAAAUAAAGUUAUUGAUUUUAAAAAGUUAUAAAAAUUCAAAUAAAAGUUUUAAAAUUUGUUUUUGUUAUUUUAAAAUUACAUGAAGGCCUAUAGUGCACACGAGCCCACCAUGUGCCAUGUAGGUGGGGACCACAUGUGUCACUUGAGGGUUGCAUGCCCAACCCAUUAGAUUCUCUUUUGGUUUCUUUAUAUUCAAGAAAUUUGUAUUAUGGAAAAUAUGUUUUACGGGAUAAGGUCAAUUUGGGUAUAUAGUAAACAUUAAACCUAUCUUAUUUAAAUAUGGUAGCAUAUAUUAACUUGAUAAUAUUUGACAUAUUCUUAUAGAAUAUAUGAGAUGGAACGUGCUACUUUAUGGAAUGAACAAUAUUUUAUUAUAUUUAAUUUAUUUAAAUAUAUUGAUGAGAAAUGGUUUAAGAAAAGGGGGAUAAUGGUUCAUACACUUAUCAUAAUGUUGAUGGCCCAUCUAUGGAAUAGAUGACUCAGAUCUCUCACCCCACAAGUCAUCUUGAUCAACGAUCCAUAUUCAAUCUCAAGAAAGAUGCAAAUUACAAGAAACCCUAAAGAAACCCUAAACCUAAAAUUCACUAUAAAUAGGGGUGUUCUUCCCCCCAUUUAGACACACCUCUUUCUCUCCCAUAAACUCUCUCUCUCCUACCUAGGGGCCACGCCCCUCUCUCUCCUCUCAGGCUUUCUCUCUCUAACCCUCUCUCUCUCUCUCCUAAGACUCAUAAGGGGUACACCCCAAGCCUAGGGUUACUUCUCUCUCUCUUGACCUAAAGAUACUAAUAGUUGGGAAAAUUAGUGCUUGAGCCUAAUUAUUUUGAAGUUAGCGUUUUGUAGAGAUUUAAGGGUGGUUACAUAGUUUGGCCGAAAUUAGCUUUCUCGAUUUGAGAUUGAAGCUAGACCGUUGAUCCCAUGCCAUUGGAUGUGGUGACUCGGUCUGAGGUGUAAUAAGCCCGGUUGAGGUAAUCUCCAACAUCUUCUUUUUUACUUUCUUGCUCUUUUAUUUUAUAUUCUCAAGCAUAAUAUUAAGUUGUAAAAAUGACAUCAAGUGGUUUAGCUUUAUUUUAUUGUUGUGCUGCUUUAUUUUGAAAUAUUUCUUGAUUGUAAUAAAACCAUCUAGAAGUGAUCUUUUUGCCAAAAUAUAAAAUGGGUCAUUAUUAUUAUUAAAAAAAAAAAAACUGUAUUCCCCGGCUAAAGAUCGCAUAGGUAUUUCUUUCAGGUAUAGCCUCGAUAAAGCAUAAUGGAGAAACAUGAUUCGUGUAACCGACUCCAAAUAGUUGGUAAAAGACUCUAAUGAUGAUGAUGAACCAUUGCUUUUUAAUAUUUAGGUAUAAAAUGUAACUCAUAACAAAAAGAAAACUUAUGAUAGAGGAGAUUACUGAUAUAUGGUAGAACUCAAAUGUGGAUGUGUACAUAUAUCCUUUCCAAUUAUUGAAAACGAAAAAACUUUAGUAUUUAAGAAUUUAAAAAGAUUUUAGAAUUGAUAUUUUUUUUUCCAAAUACAAAUAAUGUUUUUAUUUUAAAGACUUAGGAAAUCAUAAGAAAUUACUACACUUAAACUUUUUUUAAAUUUGUUAUAAAUAUUUAAGUAAGGGUGUGGUUUUUAUAAGGUUGCAACCUUAAACAAUUCAAUUAAAACGCGCCUCUAAAUUGUAUCGUAAUUUUGGCGUAAAGAAGUAUUAGGGUGGUUACAUAGUUUGGCCGUAAUUUUGGUGUAAAGAAGUAUUAGGAUUAUUUGAAAUCUAUUUUUAUAUCUAAUUAUAAAAGUUUAAACUAAAAUAAUGGUUAAAAUCAAUUAGAUCUAUAAACUUAUGAAAAUCUUGAAAAUGGAUGGACUAAUUUUUUUUUUUUCAUAUUCAUUCAUCUCGCUGUCGAGAUGAUCAAUUAGAGGGUUUUAAAACAUUAAAAUAACCUUUUCCGAUAUAUUUUUGAGGUGCAUCUUUACUUCUAUAUUUUAAGGUUGCAACCUUAUAUAAACUUUUUCCUUUAAGUAAUUAAAAAGUAAGACACUAUGGAUACCUAUUACUUAUUUUCUUAAAAAUACAACAUCAAAGUCGUGCAAUGAAACACAUACGAAAAAAAGUCCUUAAGAAAAUGAGUUAAAUAAUACCAACAAAUGAAAAUCAUUGGUAAUUAUAUAAAAGAAUACGCUUUGUAUAUUUCUAAAGUCCUUAAGAAAAUGAGUUAAAUAAGUCAUCAACGGAAUUUUAAAAAAUUAAAAUCCGUAAUUUGAAAUAAAAAAGGUUUUGAAACUAAUUUUCUAUUAUAUAAUUAUAAUUUAAAUAAGUCUUAAACUAUUGAAAAGGAAAAAUUUGUCAAAAUCCACAACUUAGUGAAUAUAAACACUUCUUCAAUCACUACAGUUGUUCUUGAAAUGAUUAUGUAACCAAGCCUUAUGGAGCGUUUAUUGCACGGAUAAUCGUUUGGUGCGUCCAAGCACGCACUUGUUAGAAUGCGGGCUUGGAGAUCUACAAUGUCCACAAAAAUUGGGUCCCGUAAAUAAUAGACCUCCAAAGAAAAAAAAUCAAUGGUUCAAAUAUUUUUUCCAAAAAAUGUAAUUUUUAGGUUUUAAAAUUUAUUUAUCUUUACAAAUUAAUAAUCUGUAUGUUAAAAAUUAUAAGUUCCCUAAAAAUUAAGAUCAAAUUCUAUUUUAAAAAUAAAUUAUUAAGGGCCCGCAUUUCUACAUGUGAGUAUGCGGACUCAUAGAAACAGUGUCCUUAUUGCAAUACUGUCCAAUCAAACACUGAAUCCAGGCCAUUGAUUAAGUUGAGGGCCCUUCCGAUGUUUUAAUUGAACCGAUGUGAGUAGGGAUUGCAAUGGGCUGUGUGACCCAGCACAGCCCGGUGCACCCGGCCAUGAAAAAUAAGGGCCUUAGGGUUUGGGCCACAAAAUGUGGUCUGAGUGUUGGGUUGGGCCGGGCCUAGACUAGGGCCAAAACAUGGUCGGCCCAGUUCAACCUGUCCCAACCUAGUCCUUAUAUCUUUAUCUCUUUUUUUUUUUUGUUUUAAAUAGCUUGGCAUGGCCCAACCCAUACUGGGCUUAGGCCUCUUCGGCCCAUCUGGGCCAGCCCCUAAGGGGAACAUGGCUGGACUUGGGCCUGGGUGGGCUACGCUUGUUGCUAGCCCUAUACGUGAGAAUGGAAGGUUGAAAUUGAAUGAGCUUGUGGGAAACCAAAUAAGCACACUCAUUCCCAAGAAGAGCAAGAAGAACUUCUAUCGGCUGAGAUCUAAAAAAUAAGGUUGCAACCUGAAACAAUCAAAGAGUUGCACCUCCAAACUUUGUUAUGAGAAGCAAUUUUGGUAUAAUUUUUUUUUUAGGAUAGUGUGAGACUCUAUUUUAAUAUUUAAUUACGAAAUUUUGAAGUAAAAAAAUAGUACAAAUCAAGCAGAUCUAUACAUGCAUCAAAAUCUUGAAAAUGGACGGCCCAGAUAAUGUGUUUCUUGAUGUACUAUUUUUAGUACUUUAUUAUUAUUAUUUUUUGUUCCAUAUAUACACAUCUCAAUGUCGAUAUUAUCAAUUAGAUGUUUUUCCAACUUCAAAACAACAUUUUUGGAAAGAUUUUAGAGGUGCAUCUGAAUUAUACAUUUUAAAGUGUCAACCUUAUGUAGACUUUCUCUUUAGAAAUAACUAAGCACACUCAAUACGAGAGUAGGUUUGAAAUUAGGAUCCAGGUAGUUCCCAUCCAUAGAACCCCGGAAUCACCUGAGCUUGUUAAUAUUUCUAUCCGUUUUUUAUUAAACAUGCCCUGAUCCAACUCUGGAAUCUCCAAAUUCAGAUCACAAGAAUCUGAAUCAGGCACAUGCCAAUUCAGGGCCCGAUUUGGAUCUUCCGAACACUCUCUUUGGCCAUCUAAGAGAAUCCCACCAAUGCUUGUGAUAUCUAAAACUAACCUUUAAAGCACCAUAUGCAUCAAGCUUCAAUGAACAACGGGUGGAAGCACCCACUUGAUCAUUUUUGGCAUUGAGCCAAGUCUCAUCAAGCUGUAAAUCCACUAUGAUUUUUGGCAUUGAGCCGAGUCUAAAUAAUAUGUGAAUCCACUAUGAUUUUAGUGUCCAAGGAUAGGUUACCUCUAUUGUGGGUGCCUAGGGACGAGUUCCACCAACCGUUGGAGAACAAAGAGAGCUAGUUCCAUCUCCCACUAAGGAGUGUGAGAUUGACCGGCUCUAGUCAAUCACCAAUUGGAUCAUAAGAUACUCUCCAUUUUUACACUUUUUAGAGAUGCAAGCUGGAUCCGAAACCUAAAUUUCGGAUCCAGGUAUGGAUCUACGGACCUGAAUUAAUAAUUUGGAUCAAAUUUGGGUAUAGGUGGAUCCGAUAUGGAUUCGACCCAGUUAAUAAUAUAUUUUUUAUAUAUAUAUAUAUAUAUAUAUACGUAUGUUAUACAACAUUUUUGUUAUAUUAUUUUAUAGAUAUAAAUAAUAUAUAAAAGAAUUUUUUGGAUCCAGUUGGAUCUAGAUCCCAUGAAUAGUAUUCGGAUUCGGAUCUGAAUCCAAAUAUUCUGAAUCCAAUCAGAUCCAAAUCCAGAUACAGAUCUCAUGUAUACUUUUCAUACGAGUCUAUGGAUCCAAACCCGAUCCGACCCAUUCUCAACCCUAGUUUUGUAAACCCAUCAUAUACAAAAUACAUGUUGGAGAUAUAUUUUAGAUUUUGUAUGUCUGCCAUCUAGACCACCACAGUCAUGAAUCUUAAAUAAUAAUAAUAAUAAUGAUAAUAAUAAUAAAAAUAAAAAGAAAGAAAGAAGAAGAAGAAAAAGAAAAAGAGAAAGAUGGAGAGGAUUUUGUACUUCUAGUUUAUGCUUAUCAUUAUAAUUCUUCAAAGACAUCAUAUCAAUGUUGUUCUUGGAGUUCUUGGAAAAUAGAUUACCCUGAUUUCGGGUGUACUUCGUGAUCAAAAUCAGGCCAAAUCACCGAACACUUUUCCUUCUCCGUUAUCGGAAUGUACGAUUCUGUACUAAUAGAAAUUAUAGAAGAAUGAGUUUACUAGGUUGUCACCAUCUAAUCAUUGGAUGGAUGGUGAUGGAGAGUUCAGCUUACCAUAGGGUCUUACCAUAUUUUGCAAGAACCCACUCUCCUUCGUUGUUGUUCAUUGAUUGGACAGUGAUGAACCAACAGACUAUCAUUUUUCUGUGGUUUAUAUUGUUUCUAAAUGCCCCUGAUGCAUAGUAUCUCCCGUGCGCCCAUGACAUGAUAACAUGCAGCACGACCCUUACCAGAAACAAUUGGAUAUAAUAAGGGGAAAUUUAUCAAAAUACAUAUAAAAGAUCAACUAUUUUACAUUUUAUUAGUGUCUUUUAUUCUGAUUUCAAAAUACCCAUCAAAACUUAUAUACAACCAUAAAUUGGAAUAGUUAAAAAAUACUAGACUUUUAAAAUGCUAAAAAGUUAGGUAUAUUUUGAUAAAUUUCCCUAUUAUAAAACUGACCUAGGAUCAGUGGAGUCUAGAUGAGCCCAGCUCAUCUUGACUGCAUUUCAUUAACAAGGAUGGCCACAUAGAAAACGUGGGUCCCACUUGUUUGGGUUGCCUGAUCAUUCUUGCCAUGAAAUAAUAUCAGUGCAGAUGACCUGGCUCAAUCAAACCCCAAUUAGCCUGGCUCAUUGAAUCACUUAAAUGAAUAGACGAUUAUAAUUAAAUAGACCAGCCUUAUGGCUAUAAGCUCAAACAAUACAUAGAUUUGUUUUUUUGGGUAAUUCGGUUAGGAAGAUAUGUAUACCCCUACCCGUUUUUUCAUAUAGAUAAGGGAGUUAGCUUUUUUUGAAGAUGUUAGUAGAUGAUGUCCGUAAGAUUGAAAACCACAACGUGGUAACUAGAUAUUGGGGGUAUUACCACCACGACCCGCCCCUUCCUAAACAAUGCAUAAAGUGCAACCCUAUAUUUGAGCAAUGGGUGGGACCCACACUACGUGAAUGGACCUCAGCCAAACUUAUGAAAGCCACGUAAGGUUCGGUUUUAUAAUCAUCUACCCUAAUCAAAAGGGGACCUGGUUUCUACACGGCCAAGCCCACAUAUGUAAAAAUGCGGGCAUCUUAAUAAAUCUAUUUUUGAUAUGAUUUUAAGACUUAAUUUUUAAGGACAUGUAAUCUUUAACAUGGAGAUCAUGAAUAUAAAAAAAUAAAUAAAUUUUAAAAACUAGAAAUGAUAAACCUAGAAAUAAAACAUUUGGACCGUUAGUUUCCAUUCCAUCUUUAAGACGGAUUCUUUAUACUUUCUGGACAGCAUGUGAAGAAUGAAACAAUUUUCCAUCAAAGGGUUAGCUCAUUUUGAGUUUUUCAGUAUAAUUAACAGUCACUUCAAUGUCCACUUACCUCACAAAAUGCAGCCAAGGAGGUCGGUAACUUAUUGUGGCACAUGCAAUGCAGGUGACCUGGAGCGGCCUUUUUUCUUUUUUUUUUGACUUUUGACUCUUGUCUCUUGUAUUUUUCAAUAUUUUCUAAGCUCCUCCCAUAGUAGCAUAUUGUUUAUUUACUCCUUCAGGCAAAACCCAAUAUAGGAGUAUGUUUAGGACCUUAACUUUUGGGGGUAUGGCUUCUUCAACAGAGUUCUCAAUAUUACAAAGAAAAAAGAAAAAAAAUCAAAUUAUAUUUUGUAUAUGCCUGAAAAAAAAAAAAAAAAGGCUCCCAUGUUUGCAAUGUGAGUGAAAUCUAUGUAAUAAAGAACUGAAAUGCAGAUAAUUAUAAGAACACAAAUGCAAAUAAAAAUCCAGUGAUUCUUAUGUGGAUCCUAGAUUUUCAUAUAUAAAAAACAAUUCUUGCAAGUAGCUCUUUCGCCUAAGGGACCAAAUGUACAAUAUGCUCCCCUAGGAGCAUAUAUAGGCACUCUCUUUAAUUUAAGGAUUUCAUACUUACUAGUUGAAUGGAAAUGCACGCGUGUUUGAAAGCAUUACAUUUGUGUCAAAUAGAAAUAUAAACAUCGGAGUGAACAAACAAAUAAAGGAAUUUCUUCAAAGGUAACUAAGGUCAAAAAAUGUAGGCGCCCAGCUUCAAAAUGUAAAGGCAAGAGAAAUAUCGAUCAAACAGUCAUAGAAUAUUAAUAUAACAAUGCAACUACAUGUUUGGCAUCACCAAUAGAUAAAUAAAUAUUUGUUUGGUCUUUGAGCAUGAUGAGGUUGUAGAUCCUACAUGAGAUCAUAACCUAUAGUGCUCUUGAUAUCAUAUUUAUCUAUUUGGUUUUUAAUUGUGCCUGCCAACCCUUGUAGAUACCUUCUAAAAUUUGUAGAUAUCUUUAAUUCCUAUAAUAUAUCUCUCGCUCACUCUUUUAAAAAUUCAUAGGGUUAGUUUAUCUUUUAAUUUUAAAUCAUAUCUAUCAUGCACAAAUUUUUGGAGGUGAUCAUAGGAUUUUAGAGGGAUUCUUUGUGAUACCUUCUAAAAUUUGUUGAUAUUUUCUUUUUCUAUAAGGAUAAGUCAUCUCUCUUUACCUCUCUCACUCACGAACCCACCACAUUAGGACUUUAAUAACUACCAUAUCGAUUUCCUCCAAAAAUAAAACACAUAAAUUGUGGGUCAAAUUAAAUAAGAAGCUUAGGAGAGUGAGAGGCUAGUGAUUUUCCAGGGGAGAAUAUUUAGGAUACCGCGAUUUAAUUUACAAAAUUUUAAAAAGUUAAGUAUAUCUUUCCUUCUUUUAAAAAGGGAAACACCACUAACAUCUAAAGUUCAUAAAAAAAUCUCAUGUAAAUCUCUUAAAAUUUAGGAUUUUUAUUGGCUUUCUAUAAACCCAUUCCCUAAGUAACACCCUAAAUCUAGGACUCUUUAGGAUGUCUUCUCUCCCAUAGUAGGGUCUCCCUAUAUUCUUCCAACAUAUGUCCAUUCCUUAACUCUGUAUUAAUAAUGUAGUAUAUAUAUAAAUAAAACCAAUUAUUUUGGUACAUGAAAGUUAUAUAGACCAGUAACCAUCAGAAAUGAAAUCCUAUACACUUGGGGUGUGCCACAAAGUGUAAAAAUAUGUUGUGGACUUUGAAUCCACCCGAGCAGUUUCAUAACGAUGAGUGUAAUUUUCUUGUAUUAAAAGUAAAAGAUCUUAUUGUUUUUUUCUAAUUUAUUAAAUUAUCUUAUGAGAGUGCUAGCCCAUUAAAGAAGUCCAUUAAAAAGAUGUAAGUUGACCUAAGUACCUAGCUUUUGGUGAUUGGAAUGGGUCAUGAAAGUGGCACCGGCAUAUAAUUGAUAGAGAGAAUCAAGGAGCCCAAUAGACGGUUACUGUUGUCGCGUUUUCUCUAUGCUUCAACAUUCAUUCAAAAUUCACAAAAAGAAUAGAGAAGAAGUUUUUUUUUUUUAAUGUGUUAGAUGAGAAUGAAAACUUAGACUUUAGUUGGGACGCACUUGGUGCUACCACCACGACCCCAACCCAUCCUCGUAGAGAAGAAGUUUCUCUUCUAAUCAUAAAAAAAAGAGAAAAUUGCAUAAAACCCUCAAAAGGAGACUAUAGACAACCUAACCUCAUCAAGUUGUUUUAGCAACUUUUAUCCCAUGUUGAGCUUUCUUAACUAAUACCCCCAAGUCAAAAAACUUAUAUUUUUAUUGAUAAAAAUGCCCAUAGUACUGAACCGCUCCAAUUUUGUGUCAGACUGCAUGCUUUCCAAAAGCCCAAAGUGCUGAACUGCCUCCAUUUUGUGCCAGACCGCCCCUAUUUUGUGCUGGACCGCAUGCUUUUCAGAAGCAAGGGGCCGGACCGCCCCCGUUUUAUGCUGGACCACAUGCUUUCCAGAAGAUAUUUUGGUCUUUACUUUACCGUUAUUUAAAAAAAUAAAAUAAAAUUUGAGGUUAUUUGCUAGGAAAGUUAAGUUUGAGAUACAAAUUGCUAAAAACCCUUUGGUUGGGGGAAGUUGUCUAGAAAGGAUGAUUGGGUUUUUGUAUUUUCCCCUAAAAAGAAGAGUGAUUUACGUAGGGACUCUAAAUUUUUUACUAAAAUACGAAAUGUUUUAUUUAUAGGUGAAAAUCACAAAGGUCGGUCACAUAAGUGAAAAUCACAAAGGUCGGUCACAUAGGUGAAAAUCACAAAGGUCGGUCAACUCCUCAAAGCGAAAAUCCACAUCCAUCUCUCUCUCAUUCUCUCUAAAAAUCCAUAUCCUCUCUUUAUCUCGUUAAGAACCCAUAUCCUCCCUCUCAUUCUCUCUCUAAAACUAAAAACUUAUAUCUGGAUAUGAUUUUUUACAGAGAGAGGAUACGGGUUUUUAGGAAGAGAAUGAGAAGAGGAUAUGGGUUUUAGAAAGGGAAAGGAUAUAAGUUUUUACUUUGGAAGAGAGUGUGGGUAGAGAGAGAAAGAAAAGAUACGGGUUUUUAGAGAGAGAGAAAGAAAGAAAGGAUAUGAGUUUUUACUUUGGGAGAGAGUGUGGGUAGAGAGUGAGAGUCGUAUGAUUCUAAAAGGGAGAAGAGAGAAAAGAAAAAGUAAAAUAAGGGCAUUUUUGUUCUAAAUUAUUAAUAUUUUUAUUUGGCAAGUGGAUAAAAUAAAAAUAGUAUUGCGGUUACAAAAAUUUUGAGGGCAGGAUGUUUAGAAAGUUGAAUUUGGGUGGUAUUUAUAAUUUUUCGUAAUUUCUACCUAUAAACAAAACAUUUCGUGAUUAAAAAAAAAAUUUAAGGACGGCAUGUAAACCACGCUAAAAAAAAAAAAUUGUGUGAGAGAAAAUUUUUUGUCAUUUAAAGAUUUUUAUCUCAUGAGAAAGUACUUUGUGUACUUCUACAACAGCGUCCCCUAACGCACUAAACAUCCAUCUACAAGAUGGAUGUUGAAAAAUGGUUGUCCUUAUCGACGUUCCGAAUUGAUGGUGUCAGAAGUAUAUCCAAAAAUGUAAAUUUUUAUUUUCAAAUUUAUGUUUUCAAAUUCUUAUUCAUCAUGGUUUAUGAUCUAGAUUUUCAGAGUUUCAUUUUUUAAAAUUUAAAUCUAAAAUAUAUCUCUAAGAUUGAUUUUGGAGAGAGGCUGCAUGGAAAUAAAUGAGUUGGCCGAUUCAUAGAAACCUUGCUCUUAUCUUAUUGAGAGAAGCGAGAUAUUUUGUCUUAAAGAAAGAGAUAUUUUGCAUCGAGAACUAAAAAGAACUUACAUUGAGGAGAAGUUUUGAAAAGCAAUAAAAUUAGAGAUUAUAUAUAAGAAGUUUAUUUACCUUUGAAACAAUAAGAUCAACAUUACUUAUAAACAUCAGAUGUGAAAUCUGGCAGUUUAGAUGUGUUAUAAAUUUAGAGAAAAUUUCGUUUCAAUUUAAGCUUAGUGAAUGAAAUAAAUAGAGCCACUCAUAUUUAAUGGUCAACAUUAAUUGUGACCACUCUGUAUCAAAGAUAAAUAUCUUUUUGCAUAUUUUUUCAUAAAAUUUAAAAAAAAAAUGGUAGACAUUCAAAAACUUCUAAGAAUGCUGGUCAAAAUUAAUAUUGGUCAUGUGCGGACUUUGACAUCCAACAAUUCUUAAAAGUAAUAUUUUUUAGUGUUUUUAAUAUAAAAUAUUUUCACGCUGAGAGAGAGAGAGAGAUUCAUUUGAAAGAAAAAAUUUAAAAUAAUAAAAAGAUAAAAUAAAAAGAACUCUUCUUUGACAAAAUAGAGAAACAUCCAAGGAAGUGAACCUCCCUUUGACCGAAGAAGAAAUUGAAAUCAUGAUUUCCAGCACUUGUAAGCCGUCACUUCUGAAAAUGAAGUAGUAAAAUUUUAUGAAGAAUGGUGAUAAAAUAAAGGUUAAUGUUGGUGUCCCAUGGGAUCAAAUAGUGCAUUUGUUCCCGAGGGCCAAGCACCAUAUUGUGGUGGGACUAUAUCUGAUCCCAUGGCCCUCAAAAGAUCAUCUUUAUUCUUCUCACUAUGAUAUAUAUAUAUAUAUAUAUAUAUGAGCUCUUUAAGGCUCCAAAUUAACCAAAUAUAUCUUUGAAGACUUUUGAGUUCAUAAAAGGGCAUAUAUUUAAAAUUUUGCAACUCCCUUCAAAAUCGUGAGUAUUUUCAAGGGGCAAAAAAAAAGCUUUUUAUUUAUGAAGUACUUGUGAUGCCCAUAUCUUGGUAAGACCAGGCUUGGAUGCCGUAUGGCUCCAAGUGCCUAUCGGCGGGAACUAGGCUUGACUUGGUUAGUAGUAACUCCCUAUUCUGUCUCUUUCGACGAACGCGGACCAAGAAAUGCCUCGACGCGCCGCAGCCACUAGGGCGGGACCAUCAUACACCAGCACAGGAGUAGAAGCAUUAAGCAAAGCAGUCUGGUCAACCAUCAAUGCGAUAUUUUAUACAUCACUGUGAUAAACAUCAGAAUUAAAGGGGAAACCCACAGUUUUCCUAUUAUUUUUAAACAUGUUUAGAUGGGAAAAUUAGAAAAAAAAAAAAGGGGUAUGAAAAGGAAAAACAAGGUGGUCCUAAUUGGUCCUCAAGUGAAGACUCAAGAAUUUCUUUCAGCUCAUGAUGUCCAAUUUGAGGAAGCAUGAACAAAUCGUAUUGUAUACAUAGUCUAUCUCUGUCUCUAUCCCUAUCUCCAUCUCUAGGGAUUGAUAUAAAAGUCCCAUUCACCCCCUCAAGGACCUGUCCAUUUUGGCCCUAUAUGGCAUAUUCCCCACUUUUGAGAUAACCCAUGAGGCACAAAAAGGCACCGCCCAAAUUUUUUGAAAUAAAGUAUUGUAGUGCCACAACAUGACAUCUAGAAUUUUAUCUUCAUUUUGUUUUUCAUUAUACGUUUAUGCGGACGGACACAAUUUUGCGCCGGCAGGGCUACAUGCCUGCAUGAAACAUGAUACGGUUAUGCGGUAGACACACUUUUGCGCUGGCAGGCCUACAUGCCUGCAUGAAACCUGGACGGUAAAGAUUGCAGGGCCAUGGUACAAUCUACACCAUCAAAUUGAGUUGGAAAACAUAGGUGUCAUGGGGACAAUGUUGGCCGCACGUAUAAAACAAUUUACCUUGUUUUUAUUAUGUCCAAAGUUAACACUAACAAAAAAUAUUUCCAAAACGUUAUUUCAUACGGGUUAUUUCCUGCCAUAGCCAUUGCAUAACUCAACCAAAUAGCCAUGGAAUGAGGGGCAAAAUUGUCAAAUUUUUGGACAGCCAGAUGGCCUCUAUUAUUCAAGUUUUAGGUGAGGUCGUUUACCUUAUUUAUCAUUUUGCAAAGUUGAAGUUUACACAAUUAAUUUCUAACUUAUUAUUUUGGAAAAUGGUUUUAAAGGGCUGUAACCCUAUCAAAAAAAUUAAAUUCUCACCUCAUAACUCAUCAAAAAAUGCAAGUUAAGCAUCAGAAAACCUUUACAUUGAUUAUCUCGGCUAGAACAUUUGCGGAAAAAAAAUAUGUAAUUUCAAGCUUUAAAAAUAUUGUAUCUUAUAACAAAUUAUCUAGACCAUCAUUUUUGCUUUAAAAAAAAUUAAAUGUUCAUAGAUCCGGAAGAUAUGUACUAUUUUUUUAAUUUCAAAAUUUAUUUUAAGUGUUGGAAAUUUAUUUUAGAGCCAUAAUAGAGUUUCCAUCGCCAAAAGUACUUUCUAGAUGAGGAUUUGAGGUGAGGUUUUAUUUUGUUUUCAUAAAGCCUAGGCCUUAUAGAAACAUCAUCCUAUUAUUUUUGCAUUCCAUAAGUUAUGAGUCUGAAACAAUCUAUAAAUAGAUGUAAAACAUUCCCAAAAGCAGGGAAUAAGAAGGAAGUAAUAAUCAAACAUGAUAUCACAUUGGAAUUUUGGUUCAUUGUGGCAAUUAUAGGUAGUGAUAUUUAUGCAAAAAUGAGGUCUAUUGGCCUUUAGCCUUCAUGCGUGUUGUAGUGCUCAUUCCACUUAGGGCUCUUUCCCACCUUGUUUCUCUAGUCUACGAGUUGACUUCACAUGCCAAAAAUGAGGUUUAGGACUUCAUAUGUAAGCAUGAUUCUUAAACCAGAAACCAACCUAUCCCCCACCCACUCACACCUAGAGAGAGAGAGAGAGAGAGAGAGAGAGAGAGAGAGAGAGAGAGAGAGAGUCGUCGUCGGUUGGUAGGUAGGUACGGUACGGGUCGGGUCGGUCGGUGGUCGUAGUAGUGUACGGACCGACGAACGAAACUAAAACUAAAUUAAUUNNNNNNNNNNNNNNNNNNNNNNNNNNNNNNNNNNNNNNNNNNNNNNNNNNNNNNNNNNNNNNNNNNNNNNNNNNNNNNNNNNNNNNNNNNNNNNNNNNNNNNNNNNNNNNNNNNNNNNNNNNNNNNNNNNNNNNNNNNNNNNNNNNNNNNNNNNNNNNNNNNNNNNNNNNNNNNNNNNNNNNNNNNNNNNNNNNNNNNNNNNNNNNNNNNNNNNNNNNNNNNNNNNNNNNNNNNNNNNNNNNNNNNNNNNNNNNNNNNNNNNNNNNNNNNNNNNNNNNNNNNNNNNNNNNNNNNNNNNNNNNNNNNNNNNNNNNNNNNNNNNNNNNNNNNNNNNNNNNNNNNNNNNNNNNNNNNNNNNNNNNNNNNNNNNNNNNNNNNNNNNNNNNNNNNNNNNNNNNNNNNNNNNNNNNNNNNNNNNNNNNNNNNNNNNNNNNNNNNNNNNNNNNNNNNNNNNNNNNNNNNNNNNNNNNNNNNNNNNNNNNNNNNNNNNNNNNNNNNNNNNNNNNNNNNNNNNNNNNNNNNNNNNNNNNNNNNNNNNNNNNNNNNNNNNNNNNNNNNNNNNNNNNNNNNNNNNNNNNNNNNNNNNNNNNNNNNNNNNNNNNNNNNNNNNNNNNNNNNNNNNNNNNNNNNNNNNNNNNNNNNNNNNNNNNNNNNNNNNNNNNNNNNNNNNNNNNNNNNNNNNNNNNNNNNNNNNNNNNNNNNNNNNNNNNNNNNNNNNNNNNNNNNNNNNNNNNNNNNNNNNNNNNNNNNNNNNNNNNNNNNNNNNNNNNNNNNNNNNNNNNNNNNNNNNNNNNNNNNNNNNNNNNNNNNNNNNNNNNNNNNNNNNNNNNNNNNNNNNNNNNNNNNNNNNNNNNNNNNNNNNNNNNNNNNNNNNNNNNNNNNNNNNNNNNNNNNNNNNNNNNNNNNNNNNNNNNNNNNNNNNNNNNNNNNNNNNNNNNNNNNNNNNNNNNNNNNNNNNNNNNNNNNNNNNNNNNNNNNNNNNNNNNNNNNNNNNNNNNNNNNNNNNNNNNNNNNNNNNNNNNNNNNNNNNNNNNNNNNNNNNNNNNNNNNNNNNNNNNNNNNNNNNNNNNNNNNNNNNNNNNNNNNNNNNNNNNNNNNNNNNNNNNNNNNNNNNNNNNNNNNNNNNNNNNNNNNNNNNNNNNNNNNNNNNNNNNNNNNNNNNNNNNNNNNNNNNNNNNNNNNNNNNNNNNNNNNNNNNNNNNNNNNNNNNNNNNNNNNNNNNNNNNNNNNNNNNNNNNNNNNNNNNNNNNNNNNNNNNNNNNNNNNNNNNNNNNNNNNNNNNNNNNNNNNNNNNNNNNNNNNNNNNNNNNNNNNNNNNNNNNNNNNNNNNNNNNNNNNNNNNNNNNNNNNNNNNNNNNNNNNNNNNNNNNNNNNNNNNNNNNNNNNNNNNNNNNNNNNNNNNNNNNNNNNNNNNNNNNNNNNNNNNNNNNNNNNNNNNNNNNNNNNNNNNNNNNNNNNNNNNNNNNNNNNNNNNNNNNNNNNNNNNNNNNNNNNNNNNNNNNNNNNNNNNNNNNNNNNNNNNNNNNNNNNNNNNNNNNNNNNNNNNNNNNNNNNNNNNNNNNNNNNNNNNNNNNNNNNNNNNNNNNNNNNNNNNNNNNNNNNNNNNNNNNNNNNNNNNNNNNNNNNNNNNNNNNNNNNNNNNNNNNNNNNNNNNNNNNNNNNNNNNNNNNNNNNNNNNNNNNNNNNNNNNNNNNNNNNNNNNNNNNNNNNNNNNNNNNNNNNNNNNNNNNNNNNNNNNNNNNNNNNNNNNNNNNNNNNNNNNNNNNNNNNNNNNNNNNNNNNNNNNNNNNNNNNNNNNNNNNNNNNNNNNNNNNNNNNNNNNNNNNNNNNNNNNNNNNNNNNNNNNNNNNNNNNNNNNNNNNNNNNNNNNNNNNNNNNNNNNNNNNNNNNNNNNNNNNNNNNNNNNNNNNNNNNNNNNNNNNNNNNNNNNNNNNNNNNNNNNNNNNNNNNNNNNNNNNNNNNNNNNNNNNNNNNNNNNNNNNNNNNNNNNNNNNNNNNNNNNNNNNNNNNNNNNNNNNNNNNNNNNNNNNNNNNNNNNNNNNNNNNNNNNNNNNNNNNNNNNNNNNNNNNNNNNNNNNNNNNNNNNNNNNNNNNNNNNNNNNNNNNNNNNNNNNNNNNNNNNNNNNNNNNNNNNNNNNNNNNNNNNNNNNNNNNNNNNNNNNNNNNNNNNNNNNNNNNNNNNNNNNNNNNNNNNNNNNNNNNNNNNNNNNNNNNNNNNNNNNNNNNNNNNNNNNNNNNNNNNNNNNNNNNNNNNNNNNNNNNNNNNNNNNNNNNNNNNNNNNNNNNNNNNNNNNNNNNNNNNNNNNNNNNNNNNNNNNNNNNNNNNNNNNNNNNNNNNNNNNNNNNNNNNNNNNNNNNNNNNNNNNNNNNNNNNNNNNNNNNNNNNNNNNNNNNNNNNNNNNNNNNNNNNNNNNNNNNNNNNNNNNNNNNNNNNNNNNNNNNNNNNNNNCCUAUCCCCUGUGUGCCUUGCCUCCCACGACUGAGAGAGAGAGGUGCUCCCUUUGGGUAGGGUUGACAACGGGUUGGGUCGGGUCUGGGUCUGAAUUGUGGAACCGGACCAGACCCAAAAAUUAAAAUAUUUAUGUAUUUUACUAUAUUUAAAUGUGAAAAAAAUUUAUAUAGAGCCGAGGCUCUAAACAAUCACAUUAGAGCUCACAUCAAAAAUUUCUUUAGAAGAGGUUGUUUUGAUGUUCAAAUAUCCUCAAAUUGAUCAUCUCGACAUCAAGAUGCAUGAAUAAGAGAAAAAAAAUGGAUUUCAUGUUUUGGAAAUAUUGCAUCUUGUAAUACAUUUUUGGACCGUCAAUUUUCAAGUUUUUAAAGUUUUCAUAGAUUUGCUAGAUCUACACUAUUUUUGAAGCUUUAAAGUUUAUAAUUGAAGAUGAAAAUAUAUUUUAAGACUACCACAAAGAUUUCCAGUAUUGAAACCAUAUUUCUCAACACUAUUUGAAGGUCAAAUAGUGCACUGUAAUUUGAUUUGUUAGAGCCACGGCUCUAUACAAACCUCACCCUUUAAAUAUACCUCAUAAAGUGGGACCCAAAAAAUAUUACCGGAUCUGGACCUGGACCCACCUGUGGUCGGGUCUACCCUUCAGAUCCCAGUCGGAUUCGGGUCUGGGUCCAUUGCCAUCCCCUCUCUCUCACACCCACCCGUUUCCCUCUUUCUCCUUCCUCAGCCUUUGCAAAAUCACGGCCGUUUAUUUUUCCCCAUCAGAGCACCUUUUGGCUAGUAUUUCUAAAUUUUGGGUCUUAUGUUUAGGGUUUGAACCCCCUCAGACACACCCUAUCUUUUUAAAUACAUGUUUUUUUUUCUUUAAAUAACAAGGGUUAAAAAAAUCUCUAUAGGGACCUCUCGUGAAGAUGUUGUUCUAAAUGAAAAGCAUGUGUAAGCAUGUAACGGAGAUGUUUUUUUUAUUUAACUCUAGUUGGACUCAUGCAAGUUACUCCGAUUCACCCGAAUCACUCACCUCGACUAAGUGGCAAGUAACUUUGGGGAGUCCAAUCCCCAUACCUAAUUCGGAGCACUUGUCUCACUAUGAAAAAGGAAGAGUUUAUAUAAAAUUAAGGUGGGCUUCAAAAACUCACUAGAAAUGGGUUGUUAAAAAAAUCCUCAAAUCAAUCAUCUCGAUCGUAUGGACAUGAGAAAAAAAUGGAUUUCAAUUUUUGAAAAUAAUACAUCUUGUAAUGCAUUUUUUAGACAAUCAAUUUCCAAGAUUUUCAUGUCUUCAUAGAUAUGCUCAAUCUACACUAUCUUUAAAGCUUUAGAUUUUAAAAACUGCAGACGAAAAUAAAUUUUCAAGCCAUCACAAUGAUUUCCAAUACUAAGACAACAUCUUUCGAUACUGUUUGAAGGUGCACGUUACUUUGAUUGUUUAGUCCUCAGACUUAUACAAACCACAACCCCCCUGGUAAAACUCGGGUCCGUGAGAGAGGGAGAGAGACUCUAGUCUUUCUAUGGGAAGGCUAGUGCGCCACAUUCCCAUUUGGAGGGUCAUAUCAGUAGAGUCUUGGAACAUUCUAGAGAGAGAGGUCAUAUCAGUAGAGCCUUGGGUCAUUUUAUGAGAGAGAGAGAGAGAGAUCAAACUGUAGAAAGACUUGCUGAGCAGCUCCACCAUUGGAAGGCAUAUCCAUGGAAUAUCCGCUGCCAUGCACUCAAGCUUGAAGCCAUUUGUUGCAAGGUUUGAGAGGCUCCCAUUAAAGGAUGCCUGGUCUCCACUCACCACAGUGUAUUCCUCGUACCAUUUUUAGUGAGAGAUUUGUGGAUGAAGAGAGAGAAUGUUGUUGAUAGGGACUUCAUAUUACAAAAAAUAGACGUUUUCCCUCUCCCACACCUUAAAAAAUAUUUGUGCCUGUGAUAUGUUCCGCGGCAAGUACUAUAAAAUUACAGAUCCCUCCCUCAACCCCAUAUUUUUAGAUGAUGCCGACGCACAAAAUUAUUUAUUUUUAGACCCACCUUUAGGUAGAAAAGUAGUUUCUUUAUAAUGAAAAUACCCAACAUUUCUCUUGCGCCAACCCCUUAGUUUUUUUUUUGAAAAUGAAGCCGGUUUGACACAUUAUGCUGUACUGGCUUUUGGUCUUAUUAAAGCUGGUUUGGCACAAACAGGUUUCAUUUUAAACAAUAAAGCUCCAACACAUGGUGUGUCGAACUGGCUUCUGGUCCUCAUUAAAGUUGGUCCGGCAAUUAACGUGUCGGAUAACUUUUGAUCCUUUCUGAAGCCGGUUCGACAUUAGCUUGAAGAGAGAGAGGAGAUGCAAAAAAUGUAGGUUGCAACGGCAUAUAGGUGGGCUGGUGGACGGGCCCAAGGGGAGGGAGUAAUCUCUUAGAAAAAAGUACUCUUUUUUUUUAGGGGUGGGUGCAAAAAAUAAAUGGUGUUAAGGUUUUAAGUGUCACUUAAAAAGUAAAGGGAUUGUAUACCAUGAUACCAUUUAUCUUUGGUCACGAUUACUCCCAACCAAUGGUUUAAAAACCGGAUCAGUGACUCGGAUCGGGCUUUUAAAAAACCGAUUUGGAUCGGCGAAUCGGCGAUCCGGAUCGGCGAAUCGGUGAUCCGGAUCGGAAUCGGGUGAAUCGGUCAGAAUAAAGCUUACAAAAAAAUCCGAAAAAGUUAUUAAAAUUCAUUAUAAAUAUUGGUUUUUAGGAAUUNNNNNNNNNNNNNNNNNNNNUUACAAAAAAAAACAAACAUUUCGAUCAUAUAUUAUAAAACAUUCGAUCAUGGAUUACAAAAAAUUCAAUCAUAGGGUUACUAAAAAAAAAAAAAACAAAAAAAUCGAUCAUGGAUUACAAGAAAAGAAAACAAACAUUUCGAUCGUGGAUUACAAAAAAUUCUAUUGUGGGUUACAAAAAACCAAAAAAUUCGAUCAUGGAUUACAAAAAAAUCUAUCAAGGAUUAACCAAAAAAAAAAAAAAAAAAAAAAAUAACCGUACGGAAUUGCCGAUGCACUGUUCGGACUCCCCGAUUCCGUACAGUGAAUCGGCGAUUCACUGUACAGAAUCGUCCGGUUCUCUCUAGAACCGGACGAUUUCCGAUUUUUGGGCGAUCCGGUUCCUUUUUCACUAUUUUCGAGUCGAACCGGGCGAGUCCGGUUCGACUCGACGUUUUUUAAAACGCUGCUCCCAACUAUUAAAUUUCAAAUUGAAUAGUUGAGAUAUAUCACCUAGUUUGAUAUUUUUUUAUUUUUGAAUUAUGAAUCUAAUUAAUGAUGCUCUUACAUCCACUCAAUUUGAAAUCUAAUUUAAUGAAGUGAUGAUAACUUCCUUAUACAAUUUAAUGAAGUGAUAAUAACCUCUUAUACUAAAAAUAAAUAUUGUGUUUGUGAACUUUUUCCUAAGGAAUGAGGGUGGGAAUGCUCGGAAAGUUGGGUCCAUGAAGUUCUAAUAUUUCCCUAUAUUUCUUUUGAGUUAGAGAGAAGAAAUGCUACAAUAAGCCAAAUUUGACCUUCGUGAAGAGAAGGAUAAAUAAGGACUUGCCCCCUCCUCAAAGCACUUGGGGAAUGAUAUUCAUAAAAGCCGAAAAAGUCAAAGUUAGCGUAGGACAGUGGGUUUUACUUUAUAAAGUAGCGGUUUAAGUCUAGGGGUGGCCGGCCGGAUAGAUCCAGAUCCGAAUAGUAUUCGGGCCUACUCGUCGGGUCUAAAAGUUGGACCCAUACUCGUAUCCUCCUGCUCUCAGGUAUAUCUUAUCGGGUCGUAGGUCUGGUCAGGUCCACCCUCGCUAUGAACUUCUUUUAUUUGUUUUGCUCUUUUUUAUCAUCAUAUACCUAUAUUACAGACAACAAGAUCACAAUUAUUUGCCACGAGAUUUCAAACUGUCUGAUUUGUAGUUUAAUAGAUAAAGAUGAUUACGGGCUCUUAUUGUACACGAUCACUAAUACACCUAAACGAAUAGGGCUUGAAUUAUUUUACCAUCAACGGUUUACCGGUUUGGGUCGAGUCCAACCGGACCCAGACCCGAACUCAAAUAGUGUUCAGGUCCAGGUUUUGGAUCCAAACCCGACCCAACGGGUCCAAAUGUUGGACCCAUACCCGGCCCUACGUUGGGUAUACUCUGCGGGUCUCGGGUCGGGUCCGGGUCUGGGUCCAUUGCCACCCCUAUUCAAAUCUUUCAGUAAAUAGUUUUCGGAUACGGAAAGAUCAAACUGAAAUGGAUUUGGGGCAUGGUAAAUAAAAUUAUUUUUUUAAAAAAAUAUCAUCAGAGCUUUUUUUUUACUAUUUGGAUCAACUACACGAAUUCUGAUCUAUUAUUCUGCUCUAUAAAAAUCCAUACUUUAAGUGAGACUAUAAAAAGAUGAUAAUAAUAAUAAUAAUAAUAAUAAUAAUAAUAAUAAUAAUAAUAAUAAUAAUAAUAAUAAUAAUAAUAAUAAUAAUAAUAAUAAUAAUACAUCAUCAUCAUCAUCAUCAUCAUCAUCAUCAUCAUCAUCAUCAUCAUCAUCAUCAUCAUCAUCAUCAUCAUCAUCAUCAUCAUCAUUUCUAAUGCAUUAUUUCAUCAUCAUCAUCUUUUCUAAUAAAUUAUUUCCAUCACUUAUUUUCAUAGGUUCACAAAAUCCAUCAAAUCUACAUUAUUUUAGAGCUUCAAAUUCCAAGUCAAAUGUUAACAUUGAUUCUCAAGCCAUUUCACCUAUUUUUUUCACACUUAUGCGCGUAAUAGAUUUCACGUAUUUUGGAAAAAUCUUUUGCAAUUUAUUUCCAAUUUCUUACGGUUGAAUGUAUAUGGUAAAUCUCAUAUUUUCUUAUAAUAUAUUUUAUUGUAAUAAAUUUUCAAGUACCAAACAACGCUAUAGUAUAAUAACUUUUUGUUCAGUGGUAUUUUAAAGAAUGAAAAAUUCCGUAUAGAACCCUAAUUCAUCGUAUUAUUUUAUGGUCGACCCUUAUUCUGUUUUUUUUUUCAAGCAGCAUAAGAAAAUCCCUAAAGAUUUCAACAUACCCCAUCAUCUUUUAUCUCAUUUUUUUAUUGACUUUUGACUAUAAAAAUUAGCCUCAAGAAAUCUUUUUAUAUCAUUUCAUCUCAAAAAUUUUUUAACCAUCUUUUUCUUUUUUACCUAUUAGAAAAGUUUUUGGAUUGAAAUGGUAUAAAAAUAUUUAUUGGGGCUAAUUUUUAUGACAAAAAAAGUCAAUAAAAGAGGGAGAUAAGAGUUGAGGGGGUAUGGUGAAAUCUUUAGUAGUUUUUUUUAUGCGGCUUGCAAGAAAAGCGGAAGGAUGGUCUACCAUAAUAUAAUAUGAAGGAUUAGAGUUCUAUACGAAAUUUUCUCUUUAAAGAAUUAGUCAAUUGUAAAGUAGAAAUUCUUAAUAGAAACAAAAACAUUUAUUAACAAUAAUGGACAAUGAUUUCAUCGUAUGUGACACCACCAAAAAAUGCAUUAAUUUUUUUAACUAUUAAUAAAAUGAGACUAUUUUUUAUAAAAAUAUCUAUUCUACCCUUUUAAAUGACAAAAAAUGCCCAUACUUAAAAACUUUUGUGAUAAAAUAUAAUUCAAAUAAAUUAAUUAAUAGUCGAUGAAAACGUGAGGGCCCAUGUCACGCGUAAAGAAUGGUUUAUAUUUAGAGCAAAAGAGAUGCCACUUUUGGGAAGUGGAUGCACUACAUCUGCCCUAAGGGCUUUUUACUCCAUCAAUAUCAACUUUUAUUUUUCAAAACCAUUAUUUUGAUUUUGUUGACAUAAAGAAUAUUAUUUUUUCCUGAUUUGUGGACCACUUUGCUUUAUAAUUGGGUGAAUAGAUGCAAAUAACGGACGUACAUGAUCAUUGGACACCCUACAAAGGGAACAAAGGCAAAAUUCUCAAAACUCGUUGCAGUGUCUAAAGACUCGGGCGAGUCCACUUGGACUCGGGCUUGAUAUAGGCGAGUUCAUGGGGCUAACAUAUCCCUAUGAAAAAUCAUUAAAAACUCGCAAAGUUAGGUAAAAACCUUCAAUAGGUGACAUUUUUAUAUGAUUUAUGUGAACGUUAUGAUGAUUUGGGAGCUUUUCUUAUCACAUACUUUUUCUUUUUCUUUUUUUCUUUUUAAAUUUCUCUGGAAUAUUUCAAGAUAUAAAUCAGAAUUUUCAAUAGUCCAUUUUUGAUAUACCUUUUUUAACUUUUACAGACUUUUAAAAAAUUAUAUUAUUUCUUCCUAUUUUAUUUAUUUUUAACAAAAAAUUUAUAUUUUAUAUUUUUUAGCUUUUUUUAAUCUUGUACAGAACUUGGCUAAGUCCACUUGGACUUAAGUGAAUUACUCGGCUCGGGCAAAGUCCAAUGCCCGGGAACCGAGCUUGAAAACAGUGACUUUUAUUAAAUGAUCAAAACAGCCGUUGUCAUUUGAAUUGAAUAUAAAAAAUAAUGUAUUUUGUGCAUCAUAGUAAUGUCCAAACCUAUGUCUAUUUCCGUUUGCCUUUCUAACUCCUCAAAUUCGACUUAAGGGUGUGUUUGUUUGUACAAAUGGGGCACUUACGGGUUGUUUGUUUUUACAAAUAGGGCGACCUAGAGCUACAAUACUUAAGCAGGGUGCCCAAUUAAUAUUUUUCAAAAAAAAAGAAAAUGGUUUCAGUCCUAAAGAGGUUUGUUUGAUUAUAAAUUUGAAAUUUUUUAAUUGAUUUUUUCUAAUUGUCAUCAUCAUUGUCAAAUUUUUUUCUCAACCUAAUUGGGAUCAACUAUACCAUCUGUUGUGUUGCUCUAUUAAAGGCCACAUCUUCAAUGAGAUCAUAAAUCUCUAUAUCUUUUUUCACUACUUUUAAAUAUUUUUUUUCCAAUUGCAAUACGAGGAAAUGACAUUUGUUGUAUAGAAGCGUUCAAUUGGUUUCUCCAAAUUGCAAUUGAGAAAUGUUUAAAUUGAGUGAGUUGUUUGAUUGUAAUUUUCCAAAUUAUAAACCUAAAAUGUUCUUUUUCCAUUUAUUUGUUUCUUUCUCAAUACUGACUUUUCCUAUACAUACAUAAUGAUGCAUAUAAAUACAAAGAUAAUGAUGCAUAUAAAUACAAAGAUUGCACGUGUAGACUCCAAGUAGCCUGAAUUAAAAUGAUUAAUUACCUCGCUUAUUUUGGGUUCCAAAAAUUUGCAUUUAAAAAUUUCUUAAUAUAAUUUGAAAUCCAGAAUAAGCAAAUACAUUUUUGGCAAUUAUCGAUUGCUAUUAUUGGUUAAUUUACGAAAAUUACCCUUUUAUUAAUAAUUUGAAACCCAGGGCUUGUAAACCAUUUUUUAAAAAAAGAUAAGUGAGAAUGAAGUGGAGUUAAAAUGAUGCUACUCUAUGGGGGGAGGUUUGUGCAAGGUUGCACUUUUAAACAAUUAAAGUGAGGCACACCUCCAAACUGUCAUAAGAUAAAAUUUUGGUGUCGAAAUUUUUACGAUGGUCCGAGGAUUUAUUGUUAAUCUCUAAUUAUAAAAUUUUAAAUUUCAAAAAUAGUUCAAAUCAAGUAGAUCUACAAAAUGAUGCUCCUCUAUGGGGGAGGUUUGCGCAAGGUUGCACUUUUAAACAAUUAAAGUGAGGCACGCCUCCAAACUGUCAUAAGAUAAAAUUUUGGUGUCGAAAUUUUUAGGAUGGUCCGAGGAUUUAUUGUUAAUCUCUAAUUAUAAAAUUUUAAAUUUCAAAAAUAGUUCAAAUCAAGUAGAUCUACAAAUACAUGAAAAUCUUCAAUAUGGAUGGUCUAGAUAAUGAGUUGGAUGAUUACUCUUUUUUGAGAUUUAAACUCUUUUUUUUUUUUUUUUCAUAUCUAUAUAUCUCGAUAUCUCAAACUUCAGACUAAUUUUUUUGGAUGGAUUUUUGAAAUGCACCUUAAUUCGAGGAUUUAAAAUGUCACUCCAUAUAAACUUUUUCCAUUAUAAUAAGGACUAUUUUGGUGAAAUAUUUGAGUUUGAUUGAUUUUUUGAGAUGGUCUACUAUUUUAAUGAUAUUAUUCUACCAUAAAUUCCCAACCAUGCUGUGGUCUAGCUUCUGAAUCCACUUUCUCACUCUAUAAAUACCUCUCCUCCCCUCUAUCUCUCUCCAUAUACAAAACCUCCACUUUCUUUUCGUUCUUUACACACGUCUCACUUUUCUCCCACUUCAUUACUGCACUUCUUCCUCUCUCCUUCCAUGGCCCCAUCCUUCUUUACUGUAUAACUCUUCUUUCUCUCUCUCUCUCUCUCUCACUUUCUAUGAGAUGCAUGCAUUUCACAAACUUUGCGGUCAAUUUUGAACAUCACUCCACUUAAUAUUCUCUCUAUACUCUCUAUAAAUUGAUGCUUCCUAGCCCUCCAUCCCUGCAACUGACAGGUUUCCAACACUAAAGUAUUUUCCUUCCCUUUGUUGGUUUUGAGGCCCCCUUUGUAAUUUAUUGCUGAUUUUUCCAGUUUCAAUGAGAAACGCAGUAGGAGUUGAUAAUUCUUUUCCUGAACCUGAAACCCCCUUCUCUGUUUCAGUGAUUUUGCCUCCUCCAUUAAUGGACCUUCACAAGGUCCCAACCCCACCUUCCAAAACCACUUUUGAGGUACUCAAAAUCCGGUUUUCCGAUAUAUUCUUCCCUGAAAACCCAUUGAAACAAUUCAAAAACCAGAGUGUUUGUAGAAAGUGGGUUUUGGCCAUUCAAUAUCUAUUUCCCAUUUUUCAAUGGGGGCCCAAUUAUAGUUUGAAGCUUCUAAGGUCUGACAUUGUAUCAGGAUUCACCAUUGCCAGCUUGGCUAUACCUCAGGUUCUUUUAUUGCGUCAUAACAUUUUCUUUUUUUUUCCUUCUUUUUUUUUGGUUUUUUUUCUUUUUCUUUUCUUGAGGUGAAAGGAGAGCUUUAGCAAGUAGCAGAAAAAGGAAUGAAAAGAAAAGAAAAGAACACAGGGCUUUGUAGAUAUUUGAAAAGAAAGAGAUGUGGGGUUUGUAAUUAUCAGGAACAAAAAGAAGAUAUGGACUUUUUAUGGUUGUAAAAAGAAAAAUGAAAAGCAAAAGGGGUUUUGUGAAUGGUUGUUGUAUCGAAAAGGGGUUUUCUGGAAUCUUAUUCUGGUUUUUUGGGUUUUUGCAGGGUAUCAGUUAUGCAAAGCUGGCGAAUUUGCCCCCAAUUAUUGGCCUAUGUGAGCAUUUUAUUUUUUUAUGCUUGUAAUGUAGUUUUUUUUAGUGGAUUUUGUUUUUUUAUUCGAAUUGUAAUUGGUCGUAUUAAGUUAAAAUUAUAUAGGGAAGAGAUCAUGUCAGGGCCGAUGGAACAGUGUACGCCCAACCCAACGGCUUACAUUGAAUUUGGACAUAUUAAAAAAAAAAUUUCUCUCCAAUAUCUUAUGCAUGAGAUAAUCUCUAUGUUGUCUCUUGAUUAAGUUUCAAUGUACCAGUUAAUGCGAUUUGUUCUUGUAGAAUGAUUAGAACAUAUUACUCGUCAUUUUUUGCUGCAGACUCCAGUUUUGUACCACCAUUGAUUUAUGCAGUGCUUGGGAGCUCCAAAGACCUGGCAGUGGGACCAGUUUCCAUUGCAUCUCUGGUUAUGGGAUCAAUGCUUAGAGAGAAAAUCUCUCCAACUCAAAACCCUAUUCUCUAUCUUCAGCUUGCUUUUACAGCUACCUUCUUUGCUGGUGUUUUCCAGGCUUCAUUGGGUCUGUUAAGGUAAGACACACUCUCUCUCUCUAACACACACACUCUCUUUCUCUGUCUAACACACUCUCUUUCUCCCUCUCAACAUGUGUGUUAAUUUGGUGAAAAGGAUAGUUGCACGUAGUUUCAAACUCACAAGUGUCUCAACUGGACUCGGGCCUGAGCCUGGCUAGCUUUGGUCCUUUCCUUGUCCUUCACUCUAAAGGGCCGAGUAUGGGAGGCCCAAGGCCAGCCCUGACCGUAUUAGGGUUGGGCUGGUCCGGGCCAAACAUAAAUAAAAAAAAAUAUCUAGGCCUUGCCAUAGUCGUACAUUUUUUUAAGGCCGGGUGAGUUGGCCCGGCCCACCUGGGCAUUGCCGACCCUAUCCAAAGUGAUUGCGCAAGAAGGGACAUACUGGACUAUUGCUCACCGGAAUAUUUUGGCAUGCUCCUUUGAUAUAUUACGAAAGUAUGUCAUGCAUCUGAGGAUUAUACAAAAAUCAUAAUCCUCGAGGCAACCACCUUUCAUGGCAGCAAACGGAGUGGGAACCCAUUUGGAUCUAUCAAAUGAGUAUUCAGAAAGAUGAUUCAUGUAGUCGAUUUUAAAUAAUUGAAAUAAGAUUACGAUGACGGUGACGGAGAAAUGAUUUGGGGUGUCUGUGAUAGCAUAUUUCCCAUUUGCUCUCUGGUAUAAAACCCAUCCUAAGGUACUUUUAGGACCCUAAAUUUUGAGGAUGUAUUCUCUUAAACGAAACAAUCAAUUUCAAUAGGGAAAAAAAUAAAGGCACUCUUUGUGAGCGAAAAAAUUUGCAUUCUAAAAUUGAAUGUGGACCGUCCAAUUUGUGGAUAGGAAGACUAAAGGUUAAAAAAUCUAAAAAACUGAUUUUACUUAUUUAAAAUAAAGGAAAUUUAGCAGAAUACGUAUGAGAGAUGUGAUCAUCAAUAUUUUGCACAUUUGCAACUUUGAUGGGAUUUUGAAAUUAAAUUAAACAAUAUGAGUGAAAAAUACUGAAUAGUUCAAAUAACAUUGGUAUUUUGAUCAAUUUCCCUGAAAAUAAUGAGGCGGUGAUUUUAAGGUGGGUAACAAAAUUUUAGUUCCAAAAAAUCUUCAUAAAGUAGCUUUCACACCCAAGAGAGAGUAAGGGGAGAAUGUGCUCAUGCGAGAUCAUAUUAUAUCACUAAAUUUAAAAAAAGAUAUUACUUUUGGUACAAGGUGGGUUACCAUAGGUAGGACUCACAAUGGGCCGGGUAGCUCGGUCCAGCCCUGGAAACUACAACCUAGGCCACAAAAUGUGGCCCGAGGACCAGGCCACCAUGACUUGAGGUUUGGGUUGGCUAUACAUUUUUUUUCUUUUUUUCUUUUUUAAAUUUUUUUUUUGUGCUCUAUGCACAUUGAGUGCAAGCCAGGCCAAGGCUGCCCAAUGGCACUCGGGCUGGGCUUGGGCCAAUGGCCCAAGCCCAGACUAUUGCCUAUCCUAAUAGCCUCUGUAGGGUGCGAAUGAUCUCAUUGUAAUACUCUCUGUUCAAAUCAAAUCGUGACUGAAGAACCCCUUAUCUGAGUAAACUUCGUACAAUAUUUUCAUUACAUAAACUCCAUAUAAGAUCAUCAUUAUUUAAGAAAAAAAAAAAAAGUCACCAAAUUUUUACAAGGCAAAAAAGAAUUUACCUAAUUAAGUGGUGUACCCUGCAGGUCUACCAUUCCUCGAAUGGAUGGUUUAGUCUAGAAAGGGAAUUGAUUUCGUUCAUUUUCUUUAAGUUCUAAUUUUAUUUUAUUUUAUUUUUUUGGGGUCUGAAUUUAUAAAUGAAAAAAUCCCACUAACUGUGUUUUUGGCGGGCUCUACAACGUAACGUGGUGGGGCCAAACCCCUAAUAAGUGCUCUUUUUGCAAUAUUGAGAAAUUUAUCAAAAUACCCAUAAUAAACAACUAUAUAUAUUUAUCCACCUGCAACUAUUCCAACUCGAGAACAUGUAACUUUUAUGGGUAUUUCGAAACUAAAUCAAAAGAUAGGGGUAAGGUGUUAAAUUAUUCAUUCUUUAUAAGUAAUUUGAUAAACAAAUUUCUCCAAACUAAUUAGUAACAUAUUACAUAUUUUGAUAUAUUUCCACAUAAAUUCCCUCCUUCGGCUUUGCAACACAAAAUUAUUCCAUCCAGCAUUCUAAAAAUGUGACCAAGGGUAAUAUAGGCAUCAACAAAAAAAAAGUGGGGGCUGAAGUUUUUAUUUAUUAUUCAUCACAAAUUUUUAUCCAUAUUGCUCAUAUUUUCUGAAGUUUAGAAAUUAUCCUCAAAAUGAAAAAAAAAAAAAAAGGUGAAAAAUAACAUAGGGUAAACAUGGGAAAUUACAGGUUAGGUUUGAUGGUGGAUUUCUUAUCUCGACCAACCUUGUUGGGGUUCAUGGGCGGAGCGGCCAUCAUUGUCUCCCUUCAACAACUAAAAGGAUUGCUUGGUAUUGUUCACUUCACCAAGCAAAUGGGAAUUGUGCCUGUUUUAAAUUCUGUUUUCAGCCAUACAUCUGAGGUUUGUAUUUCAUCCAUCUCUCUUGAAUGUUAUCUCGAAUGUUGCUAUAUUCGCUUUGGAAUUUUUUUCGAUUUGGUGGAAAAAAUAAAACAAUUCAGUAUUUCGGAUUCGAAUAACUCGGGGGAAAAUAUUGGAUUUUUUAAAAUUUAAUAUAAAUAAAUUAGAUAUUUUUAUAUAAAUAUAUAAGAUAUAAUAAAAAAAUUAUAAUAAAAAUUUCAAAAAACCGAAUCGGCCGGAAGCAGCAGCAUCAGACUUCAAUUUCUGAAGACCACCCAUAAAGCAAAGUUGAAAAACUCUCUCUCUUUCUAGAUUUAUGUGGGGAGUUAGGCCUGCAAAUAUUAAGUUACUGUAUCUCUGGAAUGUGAAUGGUCAAAAUGUAUUAAACUGUUUAAAGUUCACCUUAUAAAGCCUUGUCAAGCAAAUCCCAUUUACACACAAUCAUACUGACAAAUCUCUUAUUAAAAAAUAUCAUAAAGUUAACAAAAAAAAAAUACAAAAGAUGAAAGUUGGUAAAGGCAAAUAUCCUCUUUUUUUUUUUUGUUAAAAUGUAAUCUAAUUAUUGGUCUCUCUUCCCCCACUAACUGAUGAAAUUAUUGAUUCUGGUUUGUAGUGGGCAUGGGAAACAUCUCUCAUGGGCUUCUGCUUUUUGGGAUUACUUCUCGUAGCAAGGCACAUUGUAAGUUCCCUGUUACUCUUUAAAACACACUCUCUCUCUCUCUCUCUUCUCUCUCUCUCUCUCUCUCUCUCUACUCUACUCUACUACUACGUACUACGUACUACGUACGUACGUACGUACGUACGUACGUACGUACGUACGUACGUACNNNNNNNNNNNNNNNNNNNNNNNNNNNNNNNNNNNNNNNNNNNNNNNNNNNNNNNNNNNNNNNNNNNNNNNNNNNNNNNNNNNNNNNNNNNNNNNNNNNNNNNNNNNNNNNNNNNNNNNNNNNNNNNNNNNNNNNNNNNNNNNNNNNNNNNNNNNNNNNNNNNNNNNNNNNNNNNNNNNNNNNNNNNNNNNNNNNNNNNNNNNNNNNNNNNNNNNNNNNNNNCUACUAGGUCGUUCGUUCGUCGUUUUCGGUUAGUUACGUUACUUCGUACGUACGACGACGACACUAUAGUUACCUCGUUACUCUUAACUAACACUACUCUCUCUCUCUCUCUCUCUCUCUCUCUCUCUAAAUAAUCUAUUUUUGCAGAGCUCAAGGAAACCAAACCUGUUCUGGGUUUCAGCAGCAGCACCAUUAUUCUCUGUUAUUCUUUCAACUUUGUUGGUCUACAUAUUCAAAGCUCAGCAUCAUGGGAUCUCUAUAGUAAGUGAAAAAAUCCCACCCAUAAAAUUUAGAGGCUCACUUUAUUAUCAAUUGCCUUUUAUUUGCAAUUUGACAUAAAAAUAUGGUGUAUCAUGGAUAGUGCAAUCUGAUUGUGUUUGCAUAAAAAUGUGAAUAGAUUGGACAACUUCAAGAAGGAUUGAAUCCACCUUCAACAAACCUUUUGUGUUUUCAUGGUCCUUAUCUAGGCCUUGCUAUCAAAACUGGGAUUGUGACUGGGAUUUUAUCUCUAACAGUAAGUACAAGACUCUCUCUCUCUCAUUCAUUGAAACUUUUGCAAUCUCUAAUGGAAAGGACUUGCUAAAAUAAAAUGUUUUUCAUACUUUAGGGGCACCAUAAAAAAUAUUGGAACUCUUUGUCAUUUUAACGUUAUCUUGAUUUAAUGUUUGGUUCGUGUGAAAAUAUUUUUUAAGAAAUAUUUUCACAUGAAAAAAUUCUUUCAUAUUGUUUAAUGUGAGAAUAUUUUCACACCAAUACUUUAACACCUCAUCACAUGAACACCUCAUCACAUGAGUGAAUUUUUAAUGUAUUUUCAUAUGAACGAAACGCGCCCCUUAGGAGUUUUUUUUUUUUUUGUUGGCCUGGUAAGAAUGAGCCCUUUACCCAUGAUAAGAAUAAAACUUAAUACGUCAUGUUGUAGUACCCUACCAUGACCUCCUUGAGCCGAUUCCCUCCCUUUAGGUAUUAUUUACUAUUUAGAAAGAAGAGUUUUGGCUAUUGGUUAAGGGCUAAGUGGAAAAUCUACAUAUAAUAAGAGAAGGACAUUCUUCUUGGGGAUUGCAUUUCACAUAGCAUGGGUAAAGUUAAUAAUAAAGGGCAAGGAUAUUUAUUAUUAAUUUAAAUAAACUUAAAUUGAUUUUUUUCUGCUCUCCCUCUCUUCACUCCAUUAUGUUUAUGUACUUCUUAUAUCCUCUCUCCUAAUUUGAUUUUAUCUCUUACAUAAUCCAUCCCUAAUCGCACAAAGGACUCAAAGAAAUUUUCAAAGCACCACCUAAUAGGCACACAUGCUCAAGUUUAUUUAGUAUAUUAUUAAUUUUCUCUAUCUCCUUCUCUUGUUUUGUAGGGUAUUGAGAGAGAUGUAUCAAAAGGUCAUAAGGCUGCAUGCCAGAUAUAUUAAAAUGUAAAGAAACCUUGGGGGAGUCCUAAUAUUAUUGUGAAUUUCAUAUUGCUCCUUUAAUAUAGAACACUUCCUUAUUUUACUUUUUUUCAAUAUUUUUUGGGUAAUUCAGUGAAGAAGUUAGGCCUUUACCCAUUUUUUCAAAUAGUUGAGAAGUUAGUUUUUUAGAAGUAUUAGUGGGGUGGUGUCAGCAAGAAGUAUUAGUGGGGUGGUGUCAGCAAGAAUGGCAUAAGAUUGAAAGCAAGAUCAAGUAAAAAAAAUUAAUAUUUUAACAUGGAUGUCAUGUUGUGGAACCAGCCACCCAGAUCACUUGUACCUAGAUCCCAUUCCCACUAAAUCAAAUCAAAUCCUCACCUUAAAAUAUCAUAUUAUUAUUUUAUAUAGUUGGAUAUGAAAAAUUUUAGGCUACUGAUUCAUCUCCUUUAGUCAUGGAUGUGUAGUGAGGAUUCAAUAAUUUUUACGUAGUCUAUAGUUAUGGAGGUUUUAAUUCACCUGUGUGUGCAUUUAGGGUAGUUGGUAUAAUGGUUGGGGGCAUAUAUGAAUACUUGUACACCUAAAAUAAACUUUUCUUUUAAGCGAAACGAUUUCAUGCUCAUGCAGAAGUACACUGCCUAUUUACUCCCUCAAGUAAAACCCCAUCUAAGAGUAUAUUGGGCUCCAAAUUUUGUGGAUCUAACCCCUUCAAUUCAUAGACUAACCUCAACAAAAAGGAUUUCUAAAUCACACUCUCAAUGCGGUUGAAAAAAAAUAGUGUCUCAAGAUGGAAUAGAGACCCUCCAAUUUUUUGGAGGGUGGGAUCUAAGUUAGAGAACUCAAAAUCCUAAGUUCUUUUUUGUAUUAAAAAUAAUCCUCUAGUCAUCCUUAGGUGGUUUUCAAAAUUUCAAAUCAGAAAAAUCCUCCCAAGUAGUUCUUCUGUCUAAAGGAGUAAAUAUACAGUUUGUUCCAGUAGGACCAUAGUAUACAUGCUCUUUACUUAUUUGCAGAUAUAGUGUGUGAUAUUGCUCCUUUGGUGAAAAAACCUUUAAAUUUGUUUUGUUUGCGGCAACAUACGUGCUGCAUCAAAAGUGAUUUGGACCCAAUCGAUGUUAUCAAAUUCGCAUCGCGAGGCCAAACUCUUCGGAAAAUUUUGCCUAGACCGAAGGAAGCGAAGCUCCGGUGCAUCUACUUAUUACGCUUGCUUGAGGCCGCUAAGGCUUGGUUAAGCCUCUUCGUCCAAAGCACAAAACUGCCUUUUAAAAAGACAAUUUUGUGCUUCGGCUUGUUUGGGUCUAACUUGAUCUCUUUGGCUGAAGCAAGAAAUUGUCUUCAUUGUAUUAUUUUUUAUUAAUUUUAAAGUUUUUUACUUUUAUAAAUUUUAUUAUUUUAAUAUAAAUAUGUACUUUAUUUAUGUUAUAAAAAUUCAAAAUUUUGAAGUCUUCCUCAUAAUUGGCCCAAGCAUUGAAUCGCUUCUUUUUUUUAGCCAAAACCAAAUAAGGCUCCGAUGCACAUUUCCCAUCAUUUACACCUAAAUCAAACAUGAAAUUUUUUAUCUUUUUUAGGGUAAAUAACAUGAAGUUUUUUAUCCCUAACAUGAAAAACAGCUUUCACUAAAAGGAAAGCCACAGACUAUGGAAUGACACAGCAAGUUUGCCAUUAGUGGUGUAAAUGAGCUUAUUACUGAAUUAUUUUGUUUUUUUUGUUUGACAAUAAUUUAUUUGCCAUUCAUAGGAGGGAAUUGCAGUUGGGAGGACCUUUGCUUCCCUGAAGAACUACCAGGUUGAUGGGAACAAAGAGAUGAUGGCAAUAGGAUUCAUGAACAUGGCUGGUUCAUGCGCUUCAUGUUAUGUCACCACAGGUCUCUCUCUCUCACCCUUAUCACCAUCAAUCAUUAAUGUCGUUGAUAUUUAAAUCUCUAUGCACUAAUUUUUUUUUUUCAGGCUCCUUUUCGCGGUCUGCUGUAAAUUACAAUGCCGGUUCAAAAACUGCAGUAUCAAACAUUGUGAUGGCGGGAACAGUAAUGGUGACACUGCUCUUCCUUAUGCCACUGUUCCAUUACACGCCGAACGCCAUCCUUGGAGCCAUAAUAAUAACAGCAGUGGUUGGUCUCAUCGAUCUUCGGGCCGCUUAUGAAAUAUGGAAGGUGGACAGGUUGGAUUUCUUUGCAUGUCUAAGUGCCUUCUUUGGUGUUCUCUUCAUCUCAGUUCAAAUGGGCCUUGCCAUUGCUGUAAGUAUAGCCCUCUGUUCUUUACCUUUACAAAAUGAGAAGAUAAUUAAGUUGGAAACAUGCUAUCUUUUUUGUUAAGGCCCAAUUUAGGUACGAGUGGGUGAGGGAGAGAGAGUUCCCUUUGCCCAUUGGGAAGUAUGUUUUAGAGUUUAAAGAUCAAAAUAAUAAUAAUAAAUAAAAGUAAACAAAAAAGCACGUUUUAGAGUUCUUUGUCACCCAAAAAUGUUAGGGGUUUUAUCCGGUCAUAAUUCAUUUCACAAUCGGUUCAAAUCAAUUGGAAUAGUUUUUGGGAGAAAAAAAAAAGGUGCAGUUUAAAAUUAUGAAUUACAUGAGUAAUUGGUUCACCUUAUUUAGCCAUCAAAACAAGCAAAUCUGAUUUACCAAAAUUAGUCAUACAUCGGAUUUGAUGGAUUUUUAACCCAACUCAAUUUUUAUUUUGUAUUAGACUGGCCAAGUCACAAGUCCAGUUGUCCAAAUGGUUGGGACGCCUUAUUUUAGUCUAGUCUUGAUAACGGCAUUAAAAACCCGAGUAACCUACCCAAAAAGUAUUUUAUGGGCAAGAUUAAAAAUAAAUCAUUUUACCAAUGUUGCCAGAAGUAUAAUUCUCGAGGCAAUAAGCAAUGAUCAUCCUUAAAUCCCAGAAAAGAAACCUUUGCUUUUGGUAUUUUAUUUUACCUAAAAAUUUAGGUGCAAUUUAACUGAAAAGAAGGAAAGAGUCAUGAAAUUUUCCCUUGAAUUUGCAGGUUGGGAUAUCUAUAUUCAAGAUUUUACUUCAUGUGACAAGGCCGAACACUGUUAUUUUGGGUAAUAUUCCUGCUACCAAUGUAUUCAGGGAUAUUGGACACUACAAGGAAGCAUCAAGAAUCCCCUCUUUCCUCAUUUUGGGAAUCCAGUCUCCCAUUUACUUUGCAAAUGCUACUUAUUUACAAGAAAGGUUGGUUUUGCUUUCAAUAAUCAAUAGUAAGAUAUAAAAUAUUAAGAUUGAAAAGAAAUUGUUCAAUUAUCAAAUUGCCAGAUCUAAGUAUUUAAAAACUCAAAUUUAAAUUUUGAUUAUGAAAAUACUCAUACGGUGAUUCUAAACCAGAUUCCAAAAUUUGAUAUUGAUAAAGAAAGGUAUACAAGUUGACUAUUUACUUUUGGUAAAAGUGGUCACAAUUAUUCUUGUUUGUUAAGCUAUCCAAUUAACAUCUAAUGCCUAAGAAUAAUUGCGAUUUUUUUGUAAAAAAAGAUAUAUAGACUCAUUUGAUAUCGACAAAGAAAAUUAUGCAAAGAGACUAUUUACUUUUGUUAAUCAUUCUUGUCUGUCAGAUUUCACAUUUGUCAGAUUUCAAAGAUGUGAAAUCGGAUAGCUGUAAGAGUGUCACUGACAAAGUUCAAAAAAGAUUGUCGCAUUUGACUUUCUUGUAAAAAAAGAUAAAUAGUCUCAUUUGAUAUCCACAAAGAAAGUUAUACAAAGAAACUAUUUACUUUUCGUAAAAGUAGUCAUAAUCAUUUUUAUCUGUCAGAUUUCACAUUUGUCAGAUUUCAAAGAUGUGAAUCGGAUAGUUGUAAGAGUGUCACUGACAAAGUUCAAAAAAGAUUGUCGCAGCACACCCUAAGCUUUCCAAUUUAACAUCCAAUGCUUACAAAUUUAACAUCCAAUGCUUACAAAUAUAACAUCCAAUGCUUACAAAAUAGUUGUGACCUCAUUGUAAAAAAGACAUAGUCUCCAUAAAAAUUGGGUAUAUUGCCACAUAUUAACACGAAUGGUGGGUCCUUUCAUAUAAAAAUUGAUUUAAAAUUGGAUUUCUCUAACACCAUAAAACAAUUUAGACACGGUUUGUAUGAGUCCUAGGGAUUCAUGUGUAGAAAUAAGUUCCCUCUUAAAAAUUUAUUUUUGAGAUGGAUUUUAGUCCUAAUUUUUAAGGGUGUGGUUUGUAUAAAUUUGCAAACUUAAACAAUCAAAGUAUAGUGCACCUUUAAACCAUCAUAAGAUGCUCGAAAAUGUAUUUUUAUCUCAAAUUAUUAAAUUUUGAACUCUAAAAAUAGUUCAAAAUCAAGCAUAUUUGUAAUUACAUGAAAACUUAAAAAAUGUAAGGUCCAGAUAAUAUGUUGCAAGAUGCAUUAUUUUUGGGACUUUAUCUUCUUUUUUCUGUAUUCAUGCAUCGCAAUGUUGAAAUGAUCAAUUAGAUAGUUUUCUAAUGUCAAACUAACCUUUUUCGAUGAAUUUUUGAAGUGCACCUUAAUUCUAUAGUAUCAAUUAUCAACCUUUUAUAAAAAAUUUACAAUUUUAGAAAUGCAUCAGUAGCUUGGAGAUCACAAAUAUGUAAAAAUAAAUAAAAAUUUUAAAACUAAAAAUGAUAAUUUAUGAAGAAAACUUUAGACCAUCAGUUUUAACUUCUUCUUUUUUCUUUUUUUGAGACCACCCAUUUGCAUCUAUCCAAGAUGGAUGUUUUAUGCCUCAAAGCGACGCAAAUGUAGGAUGCGUCCCCCGACACAGAACUUUCCAAACAAUUUAUAUCACAAUAUUUUAUUUUUCCAGAUAUUAUUUCUCGUACCUUAUGCCACUUAUUGACAUAAAAAAUAUUGCCUCUUUUCAUAAAGUUAAUUGAAAUUAUAUUCUUUUCUCGAGCGCGUGUACUAUGCUGCUACGGGAGCAAAGUGUACAUCUACUCUCUCGGUCAGAAAACCUACUUGUGGAUUUUUUUCAAUUUGAAAUUUAAAUUUUGAGUUUAUUGAUGCUUAGACCUUGCCGAAAAUUGGACGGUCUCUAUUCAAUCUCACAUAAUUUUCUUCAAGUGCAUAGAGGGUGCAAUUAGAAAGUUUCUUUUAGUGAGGUUGGUUUAUGAGGAAGUGGCUACAUCCCCAAAAUUCCAGUUCUAAAACUAAUCUUGUAUGGAGUCUUAGGAGUAAACAGACAGUGUAGUCCAGCAUAAGCAUAAAAUUUAUGGCCCUCUCUAUUGCUAAUUAUUCCUCUUAUGAUUUUCAUUAACAUAAGUGUUCUGCAAACUGAUUGUAUAACGUAAUAAAGAAUUUGUGAAUUUAACCAAAAAACAGAUGUUUAUAAAAAAUAAGUAAUUUAAAUUUCCCACUAGUCAUUUACAAAAGUUAGUUUAUCUUCCAUUGUUUUCUUAAUAUUGGGAUAAUUUGAAAAUUGGCAGGAUCAACAGAUGGAUAGAAGAAGAGGAAGAUAGAAUUAAAAACAGUAGGGACCUCACCCUCAAAUGUGUCAUAUUAGAUAUGACAGGUAAAUAUCAAUUAUUGUUUUUGUCGCAUUAAUUUAUGAGUUAUGUUCGAAUACUCACAUUAUGAAGUAAUUUAUUAUUAUACUCAACGAAAUUAUGACAUAUAUAUACCUUGUUUUGUAUAUAGAAUUUCUUUUUAGUAAAAUGUAUUUAAUGUGACAUCACUAAUGUCGCACUCCAUGUGAAUGAAAUAACAUAUCUCUAAAUAACCAAAAGUCUCUUUAUUAGUACAAAACAUUUAUUAGUACAAAACAAGGACAUAUAAAAGUUCAAAAUUGUUGAAUAUAAUGAUAAAUUAUUUCAUAGUGUGCGCACCUUAACAUAACCCUUUAUAGUUAACAUAACCCCUUAUUUAUUUGUUUAUUCUUAUAAUUACAUGAAAAUUAAUGUGAGGUAAUUCCCUUCCUUAUAAGAAGAUUUUAACUGGUGGAUUUUGCAGCCGUUACCGCAAUCGACACCAGCGGUAUCAAUUUUCUUGCUGAGCUCAAGAAAACAUUGCACAAAAAAUCGCUUCAGGUGAUCUCUUUCUCUCUCUCUUUCUGCACAGAAAAAGAAUACAAAUUCUCUCUCUACAAACACACCCAAUACAAAUUCUCUCUCUCUACAGACAGACAAAAAGAGUACUCUCUCUCUCUCACUCUGGAUGAUGUGGGUAACAUUAUUUUCCUGUGUUUCAUUGUCUUACAGCUUGUGCUGGCCAACCCAGUAGGAGAUGUGAUGGUGAAGCUCCAAUGUUCCCCAGCAAUGGACGCAUUUCAGUCGGAUUCUUUGUAUCUAACGGUGGCCGAGGCCGUUUUGGCCAUCUCUUCCAACUUCAAGGAUUACCCAUAAUAAUCUGUCGGCAGGGGCGGCGGCGGGCUUUUUCGAACAUAUCUCUCUCCCUACCGUCAGACAUUAGGCAAACAUAACGAGCUCGGAUGCCGCCUUUUAUAUGGUUUUUUUUUGUAACGACAAAAAUGUAUGUUGCUUAGACAAAUUUGAGAAAUACAAAAACCCAUUGCGAGUCAUUUUUCAAAGAGAUGUACCAGCAACAGAUGAGUACAAGCAAAAAUCAACGGUGAUUUCGCCUACCUUCAUCACUGUACAAAGUUCAUCAUGCGGUCACAAUUACCUCGUAGUAUUUUUUUUUUUUUUUUUUCUUACAAAUCGAAAUAACCUGAAAUUUUAAACGUGUAUUCAUCAAAAAUAAAAAAAUCUUCGAAAAUUAUAAAAAAAAUAUUUAACAUAAAAAAAUUAACUAAAAUACCCUUAAAAAAUUUUGAGAGUAUUUUAAUCUAUUUUUUAUGAAUAAAUUUUUUUAUAUUUUUAUUAAAUGCAUCUCAAUAAGAUGUACAUACCCGCAAAAAAAAAAUUUAUAUUUUUGUUACGUGUGAGAGAGAGAGAGAGCAUCAUAACCGCAAAAAAACAUUUUAAAGCGUGAGUGAGAUAGACCAUCAUAACAGCAAAAUCAUUUCAAUCAUUCUCCAAUCACUGGAGUAAAUGAUCUACAGAGGCUUCAGGCCAUUCAUUCGAUAGAAAAGAAUGGUAUAGCAUUAAUCAAGAUGGCAAAUAGCGAUUCACCAUGGAAACCGGCUUCAAAGAACUUCACCGAGAAAGUAACUCAACCUGAACUGGCCUCUGAGACUAAGAUUCUAAGAAAUGAUCCCCACACACUGAUCAACUCCAGCCAUUGGCAUGCUUUGCUGAAAAAACAUCACACAUCUGCACCCAAAACACACUGAUUUUCAGAUUUAAAAUCUUCAUAUGAAACGCAACAGAUAAUGCUAAUAGAACAACAUAAAUUAGAACAUGGCCGGAUCUAUCUCUCUCUCUCUCUCUCUCGGGAUAAAAAAGUAUUGACAUGAGUAACAUGAAUGCAAAAUUCGUGAUUGGGCAAGUGGAACCCUAUUUCUAGUUGAUAUCUGUUAGAAUCAGACUUCAGGUUAAACAAAACAAUGACUAUUUUUAAGCCCAUGUCUGAAACCCAAGUAUAUGUCCAUGCAAAAAAACAUAUAUUCCAUCUUCUCUGGAUGGACAAAAAAACACCGAAAUAAUGAGUUUAUGCGACUUUAGGUUCUUAGGGUCUAUAAUUCGACAGUGGGAGAAGCCGUGCCUAGUGGCAACCGAAGAGGGGACUCUCUCUCUAUCUGUCAUUUGAUAGAUCAGAUAAAAGAGUGUCAUAUGGCGAAAGGAGCUACCUAUGUAGAAAUUUCAAUAUAUAAGCUUUGGGUGAAGAAUUUCAGUAUAUAAACUUUUCUUUUGCCUUUCUAGGCUUUUGUAUAGGGCACCUUUCUGUGGGUAGCCUAUUUUUUUGGGCAGAACCCAUUUGUGGGUAUCCAGUCCCCUCCUUACUUUCCUUUUGUACUCACUUUUAGUUUAAUAGAGAGUUAAAGAGUCCUCCUUUUUGAGGUGCCAUGUGGCUUUCCAGUCCCCCUCCUUACUUUCCUUUUGGGACUGGUUUGAAGUGAGUACAAAAGGAACAGACCAUUACUUUCCUUCUGUACUCACUUUGAACUCGUUAAAGAGUCCUUGCAUGAAACUUAUUAAAAGAGUCCUUGCCUUUUGAAGCUCUCUACUUCAUCUGAACAAUAAUCCCCAACCUAUGAACCUAACAACUUUGAUCCCAACCAACAUUAGCACAAAAAGAUUUCAGGAUUGCCGCCAUCAAAGUAACAACUAAACCACUUUUACUAUCCAGAUGAUUCUACAAGUUGGCCCUUGUUUCCAGAGAAAACCAACAUGGCACUAGGAUUGACCUUUGCUGGACAAAUACAAAGUACGCUUCUCAGUGAAGAGGACAUAAAUGGUGAAUCCCACUUUUUGUCUUUUCAAAAAUGAAUGGAGGAUCAUAAUUCCUCUCAAAAAAAUCCAUCAUCUCAUCAAAUGGUAAUGACGCGAGUGGGGCUUUGAGUGCACCAUACCCCAUUGGAUUCUCUAGAAAAUCUCAUUUCUUAUCAAAAGAAUUACGCUUCUCUCAAUGAACCCCAAACUGAUUGAAAACCCAAAACUGACCUUGUUCUUCCUCCAACCGAACAAAAUGGCAUGAAGUGUUCAAGCAUAUGCAUUAAUCGUUCCAAGUUUCGAAACACUUAAUCUGUAUGUCUAUAUUGGGAAGAAUGAUUUUCUUUAGCAAUAUCACUAACCAUUUUCGCUGGGGAUCCCCAUACUUCAUGAACCAUUUCGACCGGGGAUCCCCUUAGAUAUGUUUGGGAUUCGUGAUGGUUAUGGGCAGGGGAGAGAGAGAGAGAGAGAGAGAGAGAGAGAGAGAGAGAGAGAGAGAGCAUAUAAUAAUCAAAAGAGGAAAGGUUUUACUUACUUGAGCGCAGUCGUGUGAUGGGAAUUUCCCGCAACUCACGUCUAAUACACAGCCACUCCCCAAGCAAGGCCAUCACCGCUAAACCAGUUCCAUUAACAACCCACCAUGUAAGAGAAGAAGGCCAGCCCCCAUAUAUGAUAGAUAUAAAGAGAUGGAUAAUGAAGAGGGUGGCUGAAAAAUCUAGGCAUUUCUUAGCCCUCUCAAUCAAUAGAAGCAUAUAACCAGCUCUGUUCAAGAAGCAGUAAAAUAAAGAGGUUACUAUACUACAAAACAUUGUCCAAGUAAUCAACGAGUCAACUAUCAGUGGAACAAAGUUGUCAUAAUUAUAAAUAAAAAAAAAAUUACAUUAUUUUGUUUUAAGUUUGGAACCAUUGGCAUUCACGCAUACACAUGUAUAUGUCUAUCCAUCUACCCAUAAUAACCAAGACUAGACCAAACCAGUGGCCCGACAGGUUGGAUUGCGACUGGUGCCUUGGCCAAUCUAGUCAAAGUAAAAAAAAAAGUAUAAUAAAAAACCAGUCAAAACCGUUGUUUGGCUAGUUUUGACCAGUUAGACCAGCCGAUUAUUUUAUGCGGCUCGACCAUCUAAAUGAAGUUGGGAAAUUUUUUUAAUAUAUUUUAUGCUUUUAAACUAUUAUAUCCCUUCUUUCUUUCUUUUUCUUUUUUUUGAAAUCCAGUCUAACCGGUUUGUGUAGUGAUUGGACAAAUUUUGACUAGACCAAACUCUUAACCGGUUCAAUGGGUAGUUGUAUGUCUGCACAUACAUACAAAUAUCAAGUGAAAACAUUCACAUGCACAGUUUGAGAACAAAGAUCUUGUGGUUAUGUGUAUAUAAACAGAGAAGAUUCCAAAGUCAAGUACAAACUGUACAUUACAAAAGAUAAGACAUGUCACUCCAUGAAGAUUUUUUUUUUGUACACAAUGAAACUUUAAUUGUAGUAAGAAACAAGCACAUGCAUCUGACAGGAGUACCAAGAGAGAUAAAAAGAUCACAUCCUCAAAGGCUGCACGGUGACAUGGCACAUCAUCAUCAGCAAGUGUGUUCCAUUUCUCCCCCUUAAUUCAAUGUUAACUGUAUUAAAAAAAAAAGAAGGCAUACACAAUUGCAAAUGUACCUAUUCCUGCCCAAGGUGUGGCAUAGACAUACACACCAAGAAAAGGAUGGCAACAGAAGCCGAGGUAGCAGAAAUCACCCCAAAUAAGUAUAAGACAAUAGCCCACAUUGCCCUCUCAAGCCUAAAGCAUAUAAGGCGAUGAUACACUGUUUCUUCAUCUUCAUGACAACAUAAUGCACAUAUCCGGAUGCACCAUAUCUUUUUUUUGUAGGUGAUUCACCAUUAAUAUUGUCAAGAUAUGACAUAUGAGAAACUAAUGGGCCUAACUCAUGCCUGCCUUCCUCAAUAGCCUUGAAAGCAGCCCCAAAAGCAAUCAAAACAAAUUCAACAGAUAAGAGGGUGACAACGCAAAAGAAGGUUCGAUUGGAAGAAAAUGGCUAAUGACCCACAUUCCUUAGAAACACAAAUCUCAAAUAGAGGAUAAAAUAAAAACAGAUCAGAGAAGUGGAGGAUUUCUAGUUUUGCAGUAGAAUGUGUAGGGGACAAAACUUGAAGCCACUACAACAUGAGCAUUCAUGUUGAUUUCAUUAUAUUGUGAGAACAAUCUCUCAAGAAAUUUACAAAUAAUAAGCCUCUAAUGUAAAUUAGGGACUUAAACCUUCAGUCCCUCAAGGCUUGUUUUCUUUUUGAUAAGUACAAGGGCCCUUACCAUGUUACACUUACGUAGAAACCCAAAAUACUCCUAGAACUUCAAUCAUUCAUACCUUGGACUCUUAAGACGUGAUCAGACAUGGGAACCCUGCCCAUACAUAAAGAUGGACAUACAUGUUUUUUAAAAAAAAUUCUAUAAGAAAUGAGAGACAAAAAUAAAUAUAACUCAUGUGUCAACCUACAGAAAGAAGGUGAUCCCAUAUUUGGUGAUAUUCAAGUAAUCCACAAAAUAUUAGUUUUUAAUUAUCAGAAGAUAGCAGUGUUAUUGGAAGAGCUUCAUCCAUGAUCAAGCCCCAGAUUUCUUAUUAUUGAAAUCUUUGACUUCCUUUGUCAGUAAGGUUAUCAUUGUCCCUGUUCCCUUUCACUUAUCUUAACAUGGUAUCAAAGUGUUAUCUCUAUUAUUUUGCAUUCUCAAGAAGUUCCAAAGCAUUAUUCAUUGUGGACAAUAUAAUUUCAGAGGUAUUGUUGCACAAUAUGUAUAAGGACAUGAUUGAGAAGCAAAUUACAGCAGCUCCAAAUAUUGAUUGAAGCUUUGCCUCAAUCUACCAUUAACUAAAUUUGUAAACUUAUAUUCUGUGAUAGGCUAACAGAAUGAACUGGCAAACUAUUUUCUAUAAGUCAAAACCGAUGCUCUGACUCCUAAAAGGAUACAGUUAAGUUCUCUAGAGCCAAUUGGAAGCAAUUAAUCGACACAGUACCAAUAAAUCAUAAAGUGUGCGCAUAGUGUGCUCCCGCAGGAGUAGGUUCUACAUCUACUCCCUCGGCACUACCCACCAUUCAUUAAACAGAACUGCAGAGAGCAUCCCAAUGAGAAAAGGGAAACUGGGGCAGCCGGUUCCCUUGUUUGACAGUAACAAUAAUAAAAUAUUAUCCAGAAUAUGUACUGAUUUUAGAUAGAACAGUCUCAUCCAAGAAAGUUACCUGCCAUCCAAACAGACCCUUAGCUUUUUAACGAAAUGGGUGGUUUUCAAGUGAACCUGUAAAAGAAAGUGAUAAGAACCAAAGGACUGUCAAAAUUACACUCUUUUUGUUACAGAGAAGUAUUUUGUAAAGCCUCGGCUUUAUACGCCUGUAUCCAUAUCCUUCAAGUCGAUCAUCUCCACCUCAAUAAUCAUGGAUAUAAAAAAUCUAUGGAUUUCAAGCCUUAAAAAUGGCACACUGCCCAUGUAAACUAUUCACAAAUCCUCAAGAUUGACACCAUUUUUUGAGAUUCAAAUCCCUCAUACAAAGGAAUUUUCAGGCCAUAUGAAGGUUUACGGUGACAAAACCAGGUUGUCCUGCAGUUAUUGAGAUUCAGCUUUACCAAAUUCCAUAAAGCCGCAGCCUUACCAAAACCCCAUGCUUUUGCUAGCAUUAGAUUUGGGUCAACACUUAACAGGGUUCCAAACAAUGUCGUAAGAUAGAUAUUGGUCAAAAUUCUUGUGUAAACUCCAAAAGCAGUUCAACUACCCAGCUCAUCUCUGAACUAUGUAGUCCUGUGGUUCGCACAGAGACAAGUUGUAUUUAUAAUUCAGAUAAAUUUUUGCCAAAAUUGAAUGCAAUAUAUCAUACUACACAUUGGAUGACCAGUAAAAACCAACUAUACUUAACCAACUACAAAGCUGGCCAACAAAUCUUGUUGCAAUACAUUUCUAAGGAUGAUUUACAACAAAACAUGUAUGUCUUAUACUACAUGGCAAUACCAACAAUACAAAUAAAUCACAAAAACAACCCAUUUUGUAAUACUGAUCAUGUCAACUGCUAAUCAACGCUCAAAUCUACCAAAAAAGCAAUCUACAUAUCAGAAAUUAGAAAAUACUCAGCAUUCAUCAUUAUUGAUAACAAUAAUAAUAACAGAAACUAUUAACAGACAGAGAAUUCAACCACCAAAAGGUAGGCAGAAAAGAAAUGCAAUGCCGUUACCCAGAGAACGCGCUCAUGAGAAACGAUGCAAUAACGCACCAACCGGUCACAGUUGAAGCAUUAAGUGCAGAAUAAUCGAAGAAGUAAACAAGGGUAAGGCGAGGCACUCUUGCCCCAACAAGAACCCAUAUGAAGAACCCAAGAGUCAUAUAGUAAAGGCAUUGAAGACACACAAUUUGGGCAACAAUAAGCCAAGGGUCCCAAACUACUGCCCCAUAGAACAUGACUCUAACCCUUCGACUAAGCCCCCCGAAAAUAAAUCCUAGAAAAUCGCCUGAAGCUUUCCAAGGCCUGGAUUUCUUCAACCUUAGCCCAAAAUACAAAUCCCACCACACCUUGAAAAGGUGGGGGACAUAGAAACCACAAAGGAACCCAAUUUCUGCAAAUUUCAGGAAAAAGAAACCCCAAAUUUGCAACUUCAGAUAUUCAAUAGGAAAAGAUAAAAACCCGGUUUCUGCGAAUUCAGAUACGUCGAAUCCAAUCACCAGUUAAUGAAUUCACCCCCCAAAUUUCCAUAAUCAAAACCAACGAAAACCCAUAUCAGAAUCGAAGUAAUUCAGAUGACCAAGACAAACAUUUCUUCCAGAAAUCGGGAGACACACGCCAAUAAAAUCCAUUUCUGAACGGUUUUCCACCAUGCAAAAGAAAGCUUUUUCUCCAAGAACACACCAGAAAGAAUUCACGAACGAGAUUUUACAAAGAAAAUCAAGAAGAAGAAAGCCCAAGCUAUGGUAAAGUUGAGGAUCUAGUGAAACAUUACCAGUUUAGGGCAUAGAAAAUCUCCAAUUCAGAUCCUAAGAGCCAGCACUUUUAUUGAGCCUUUAACACGAAUUCGAUUGCUCGCUAAAAUAUGCCGUACAAAUCCUCCUUUUUGGGCCGUGGUAAAUUCCCAUUCUGUUUCGGGUCGGGUUCGGUCUGUACUGACCCAAAGAAGUAGACGCGACUCAAAAAUUAAAAUUUAUGUGUUUAACUAUAUUUAAAUAUAUUUCAUAUAUUGUGAUCCAAAAUAUAUUACCAGACCUGGACCGGCAUAGUGUCUGGGUCCAAUAUUUCAACUUGAACGCGAUCAGCUGGAUUCAACUUUUGGACCGAUACCUGGACCCGAAUUGAGUCUAUCCCUUGGGUCUUGAGACGCGUCUGCAUCCAUUGCCACUCCUAUUUAGGGACAGUCGGAUCUUAGAAAGGGGUUGUAUAUUAUAAGACUAUUUAUCUUUGAAAUAAGGAGGUGACAAUUAAUCCUAAGCAUCAAAGAUCAAAUUAGACGAUCACACAUAAUUUACUAUUUUUUAACUUUGAGCUUGAUAAAUGAAACCUUUUCAGUUAUCCAAUUAAAUUUAUUAGACAAAAGUAAUUGUCACCUUGUUCAAAAGUUAAACGGCCUUAUCAUAUACAUUUACGAUUAAAAAUCAAUGAUCCUGAUCGAGAAUCGGAUUGAUCCAACAAACAAUCAAUUGUGGAAUCGAGAUUUGGUUUAAUUGGAUAGAAAUUGCAUAGAGCCGUUUAUGUUAGUGGAAGUGGGGAUCCAUAUUAACAAGCCAGGAUAUUAUUCUUUUAUUUUUUAAUAUAUUUAGGCCCCCAAAAAUAAAUGAUCUAGAUAAGAAAUUACCUAUCCAAAUCGGUACAGUAAAGUGAGGAUCCAAUAUCUAAUUCUGAUUUUUUAAAUGUUCAAUAAAAGUAAUCCAAAAAUAGUUAUUGUGAGAAAAAUAGUAUAACAAUUAGGGCUUAUUUGGUAAGUACGAAAAAAUUUCCCGAAAAUAUUCUCAUGUGAAAACUGUGUCAUAUAUAUUUGAUUAUUAACGAAUAUAAAUAUAAAUUUGGGGAUCAUCUAUAAAGAGAUCACUUAUCUUUCAUACAUAGAUGUACUAAUUAGUAUUGUCCUUUAAAUUUCAAAAUGGGACUACCCCCAGCCCCGACCUUAGUCCGUCCCUGAAGCCCUCACUCUCUCUCUCUCUUAAAUCUUUGUAGAAGCCUUCUUUGAAACCACCCCUGACCCUACUGUAUCUGUCUCUGAAACCCUCACAAAGCCCAAGCCCCAACCCUCUCCCUCUCUAUGAAUGAGGCUCAACCCCCCCUCUACCUUUCUCUCGCACCCUCAGAUAGACCUCUUAGCCCUCUGAAACCCCAGAGCUCUCUCUCACAGUUAGUUAUCUUAGUAAUUCUUCACUUGGAGCCACACAGCAUUGCACAAGACCAUUCACAUAUCUAAAUUAUGUAUAAUGUUAUGGGAUUGUAUACAAUGUGACUAUUUACCUUUUGGCAUCAUAAAUGGAUUGGUGACUCCCCACUUAAGUAUUUGUUUCUUUUGGUUUACUAGCGUAUAGAAAAUUUUGAUGGUGUUGUCGUUGACAUCUUUGUCUUUAGAGGAAAUCAGGUUGAUUGAAAUAUUGUCCUUCCCUAUAAUAGAAUCUCCGAAGUGGUUUUCAAGAAUAUGUUCAACUGCUUGCCCUCUUACAAGAAGUCUAUAUCCUGCAAAUUGGCUCAGAUGAGGUAAUUUGGGAGCAUGCUUACAAUGGAGUUUUCUCAGUUAAAUCUAUGUGUAAUUUGCUCUUUCAUAACCGAUGGAGAUGGCCUAUACCGAAAAUUGCAGGAGUGUGGAAAUAGCCUGUACCACCCAAGGUCAAAGCUUUUUUGUGGCCGGCCGUGCAAGAUAAGGUACUAACGGUUGAUAAUCUCAUCAAACGAUGUAAGAUUUUGCCAAAUAUCUGUUUAUUAUGCAAGAAUGAUACUGAAACAGGGGCCCAUUUGUUCUUGCGUUGCCCUUUUACACUACAAAUUUGGCAUUGGUUUUUUGUCCAAUUGGGUAGUACUAUGAUAAUGCGUGCGGCUGAACAAGGGAUUAUUUCAAAUUUAAUAGUUCGGUGGCUGCCACCAACUAGUGUGGUUUUAUGGCAAAAUUCGAGAGGCAUUAUUCUGUGGGAGGUUUGGAAGGAGAGAAAUAGAAAGGUGUUUGAUGGGAUUUGAGUGUCUGUUGGCUGUGUGUUGGAUAAGAUCUUACAUUCCGUUUGGCUAUCUUGCUCUAUUACAAAAGUAGGUAAAGAUAUUCUUGAGAUGGAUGUGAGAAGGAAUUUUUCAAACAUCGUUCAAUUAAAACCUUUUACAUGCAAGCCUCAGGGGAGAUGGACACCACCUUUAUUUGGGGCUUUCAAACUCAAUUUUGAUGCGAGUUCUCUAGGAAACCUGGGUCCUAUUGGAUUUGGAGGUGUGGUGAAAGAUUGGAAUGGAGCAGUGAUCUUUGGUGUGGUGAAAGAUUGGAAUGGAGCAGUGAUCCUUUCUUAUGCUGGACCUUUGGGUGUUAAACCUGCUAAUUGUACAGAGAUGAUGGCUCUUCUUCAUGGGCUGAAAUUAUUCACUGCUAGAAAUUUUGGCGCGCCUUGUCUGGUGGAAGGGGAUUCUCUUAAUGCCAUUAAAUGGUGUAAGCUGGAGCAAAAACCAUCCUGGGAUCUCCAAUCUCUAUUGUUAGAAAUUUUGGACUUAACUAGAUCUGUCCUUUGCUCUUUUGUUUAUAUCUUUCAUGGGGCCAAUGGUUUGACAGAUUCUCUUACCAAAGGUGGAAUCACUUUAUCUGAGACAACAGUCCUUGACUCUGUAAUUUUUUUUAGUUCUUGAUCAAUAAAGCUUUGANNNNNNNNNNNNNNNNNNNNGAUAGCUUGGAUGUGCCACAAAGAUGGAGAAAAUUUCUUUUGAAGUUUGAGCUUGGUCAAUGGAGUAAUUGCAUGUACUCGAUUUCACAUCUUAUGGUCAAGAUUAUUUUGACCACCUUGUAUCAAAGGUAAUAGUCUCAUUCUAUACUUUCCCUAUUGUUAUUCUAGUUUUUUUUUUUGGAAAAAUAUAUAAUGAGACCAUUUAUCUUUGGUAUAAGGUGGUCACAAUUAAUCUUGACUAUUGGAUGAGAAAUUAGAUGGCUACAUUUAUUCUAUUGAACAAGCUCAAUUUUCAAAAGGAAUUUUCUAGAAUUUGUUGACACACUCAAGCUAUCAUAUUUCACAUCGGAUGGUUGUAAGUAAUUGUAACAUCUUUAUAUCAAAAGUAAAUGGUUUAUUAUAUAAAAAUCCCUCUUUUUUUUUUCAUCCAUGCCCGCAUUUUGUUAAGGGAAAUAUUUUGAUAGGGCUACCCUAUCAAAAUAACUAGGGCACAAGCCCUCCUCACCGUCCAUUAAUUUGGACAGUGCGGAUUUAUUGAGAUAAGUAGAGAGGAAACUGGUGCACCAGAGCCCGAGUAACUUAAGCCCCUUUUCAAACCUAUUUUUUUCAAGCCCAUGCCUCUUUAAAACCAUCUUUUAAAAAGAAAAGUAUACAAUGAAGCCAUUUAUCUUUGGUACAAGGUGGACACAAUUAAUCUUAACUAUUGGAUGUGAAAUUAGAUGGCUACAUUUAUUCUAUUGUCCAAGCUCAAACUUCAAAAGAAAAUUUCUCGAACUUUCUGACAUACCUAAGCUAUCAAAUUUUACAUCGAAUGGUUGUAAGUAAUUGUGACCUCCUUGUAUUAAAGGUAAAAACCCCAAAAUACACUAUUUAUGCAACUUACCCCCAUCCAAACCUUUUAUCUCACUUUUUUCCUCAAAGUAUAUUUUCUAUGCAAAUACCGCUCAACAAAAAAAGUUCAUUUUUUUGAUGGAAAUCCCUUCGCCGUACAAAAUGCUCCUUUUUGUUUAGGAAAAUGCACUCCGGCAAUCUCAAAGGGUGCUCUGGAAAUACAUGCCUGGAGCCACAGUGCUCUGGCAGUUGCAUAGGGCACUCUGGUAUUGAAGACACAGCGCUCCAACAGUAGCAAAAGGCGCUCCGGCAGUACACGUUCUAGAGACAAUGCGCUCCAACAGUCUCAAAGGGCGCUCCAGCAAUACAUGCUUUGGAGCCCUAGUGCUCCGGCACUCGAGAGACAUCGCUCCGGCACUCGAGACACAUGUGCUCCCGCAGUGCAUGUGCUCCGGCAUUUGCAAAACACGCUUUAACAGUGCUUGUUUUGGAGACGACAGCGCUUCGGCAAUUGAAUAGGGCACUCCGACGGUACUUGUUCUGGAGAUGACAGCGCUUCGGCAAUUGAAUAGGGCACUCCGACGGUACUUGUCCUAGUGUCACAGCGCUUCGACAAUAUCCAAAGGCGCUCCGGCAGUAUAUGUUCUAGACAGUGCGCUCCGACAAUGUAUUACUUGAGUCCGAUAGUCAGCACCAAUUGAUUUUUUUUGUACAGGAAGAGCAUUUCCGUCAAAAAAAAUGAACUUUUUUGGUUGAGGGGUAUUUGCUUAGAAAGUAUACUUUUGGAAAAAAAUGAGAGAAGGUUUGAAUGGGAGUAAGUUACACAAAUAGUGUAUUUAGGGGGGUUUUUGUAAUUUUCCCUUUUUUUUUAACGUAAAAAGCUAAGAAUCGAUCCCAUUUCUGAGCUUCAUCCCCGUUUUCUUCUCUCUUAGCUCUCUGACCAGGAGGCGAACUAUGGACCCCUGUACUCAGAAAGAAACCUAGCACCUUUAAUUGUGAUCCAACUCUCUCCUUCUCUCUUUGACUCUCACAACCAAUAAGAGUGAACCCUAGCCUCUUCAAUGGUGAGCGGAAACUCUCAUUCUAUGGCAUACGUGGAGUCUAAACUAUAGCAAGUUUUCGUUAGAACACGAUUUUUUCAAAGAAACAAAAUUUGAUUUUUUGAAAUCGAUUAAGAACUAUGAGUUUUUCAAAAAUCUUCAAAAAAUCGCUUUUUUUUUAAUAGAAGAGAUAUAAAUCCGUAUUUAAUAUUUUUUCAAAAAAAAUUCAAAAAAACUUCUUCCCAUAACUUGAUUUCUUCCCAACUUAAGUACUCAAUUUAUAUGAUUCCAUGUAGAAAUGAGUCCCCUCUUAAAAAUAUAGUAUUGAGAUUGAUUUUUUUUACCCAUAACUUGAUUUCUUCCCAACUUAAGUACUCAAUUUAUAUGAGUCCAUGUAGAAAUGAUUCCCCUCUUAAAAAUAUACUUUUGAGAUGGAUUUUUUUUACCCGACCCGACUUAUGAAACAAUUAUCCUUAAGUACAUGUUAUUGAAUUUUGGUUUGGAGAUAAGCAUAUUAACUGUGGAAGUAAAGUAAGAAUAUUAAUUUAACAUAAAAUUCCAUAAAAAAAAUCAUCAAUAAAUUCUCUUAUAUGAAUAAAUGAAUAAGUUUUAAAAUUUUAAAAUGAUAGUUUUAUAAAGAAAACAUUUGGACCAUUGUUUUCAACUGUUUUAUUUGGACCGCCCAUUUGCAUCCAUGUUUAAAAUGCAUGUUUUAUACCUCGGGGGACACAAAUGUAGAAAUGCAUCUCGAAAAUUAUGAAACAAUUUUCUUUAAGUAAAUCUUAUUGAAUUUUGGUUUAGAGAUAAGCAUAUUAACUGUGGGAGUAAAUUAAUAUUACUUUAACAGAAAACCCCGUCAAAAAUUUCACCAAUAAAUUCUCUUAAAAAGUGUAUAAAUAAAUUCAAGCAAUAUAUUCCCCAAAACGUUAAUGUUCAAUGGCUUUAAUGAACCUACACAAUAACUGCAAAUCAUAAUCCUAUAUUAUGUUAUCGUUUUACAUAUCCGAUUUUUUCACUCCAUUUUUUUGAGCCAAAUCCAAAAUAUUCAUAAGCCUUUAACUUAUUAUAUUUUUUGGUGAUCUUUAUUUUUUAUUUGUAUUUUUUUAUCCAAUUUUUAAUCUCGAAUGUUUUGGAGUAAAACCGAAUUCUUAACAAUGUUUUGCUUUGCCGAUAUAUUAUUACUCCCCAACUUGCUAACUAUGAUCUAAACGUAGGGUUUUGGCAACGAAUAGAAGCUUUAAGAGUUUUCUUUUGUGUCUACAGUGUCUUGUAUACGUGAAUUUAGACAAUAUCUUCUUUUAGGAUUUGAGACAAGUCGAUGAGAAUGGGUGCCUUUUUUCUUUUCCACUAAAGUAAUUCAGUGGGAUAGAGGCCCUUUUCCAUUUUUGAAAUCAUUAGUGAUUUUUUAAGAUGUCAGACGAGCAUGAAAGCCUAAACCUUAGUCAGGGCUCAGGGUGCUACCAAACGACCUCACCCCCAUUUUCAAAUGAAUGGGUGCUCAAUUAGUUUAGGAAUCCGACCUCAAAAGCUCAUGGGGUAAUUAAAUUGGUUUGCAAAAAUUUCCUUAAAAACAAUAGUAAAAGAACCCAAUGGGCCUCCCCUCACAGCCCAAGCUUAAAUCUACCUAUUUAUGUGGGUUAUGUGUGUAGCCACUCCCCAUUCCACUUCAUGAAGCCUUAGACCAACCUAUAUCAAAACAAACCUCAAAACCAAAGAAGCUACAUUAAUGCUGUUGGAUUCCUUUUUGACAUAAAAUAAGCAAAAAGAUUUCCUUUUCCCCAGGAGUAAGUAGAUACUAUCGAUUUACUCCCCCAGGUAUAACACAUGUUAGGAAUACAUUUUAAAUCUCGAAUUUUGGGAUAUGCGAUCUCUAUGAACGAAUAAAGACCAUCUAAUUUUUUAAGUGCUAGAUCUAAGUGUCAUAAAACUCAAAAUUAAAAUUAUUUCUUUUGAAAAUAAUCAUCUAGUAGUUCUUAUGUGGUUCCCAAAAUUUUAGGCUAAAUUAAUCUUUCUAAAUAGGUGUUCUCUACGAGGGAGUAGACCCACAAUAUGCUUCUUAGGGAGCAUAGUAUACAAGCUCUAAAAUAAUGAUGGACAUAAGAUUUUAAUUAUCUUACUUCGAAGUGACCAAAUUUUCUUUUCACUUAUUUAUUGACAAAAACUAUGGUCUCCUAAAUGGGUCUUUAAAUUUUUUCUAAAGCGUCUAAUGCUUUUUUAUGUCCCCAAUUCCCAUUAUGGCUUUAAGAUUUUAGAGAAUAGGUGGAAAUUGGGGUCUAAUUUUGAAUGUUAGUUUCAUUUCUUUCAAUGCUAAAAUCAAACUUCCGUUUUUAUAAUCAAAAUCAAGUCCCCACAAAUUAGGUUAGAUGCAAAAUAGAGUGUCAAUUUUAAGGGUGACCCUCAGACAUUUCGACAACUAUAGUAACUUUGUCUGGUUAACCACGACGGAGAACAGUCAUAUUGAGGAGUUGCGCCGAUUUGUAUGCUUCUGGGAUGACUGGCCCGGCCCGCAUACGAGAAUUUGGUGUCGGGUGCUCGUGAACCCGCUCGUCUGAAGGGUUUUUUGUCUGCAAAAUUAGUCUUUUGCUAACCCUUUUGGCCAUACUUAGACCAUUGGUGUAGGGUAAAUGAGACCUGCCAUUGGCAUGCAGUCUGGCUCUUCUCAACGACAUAAUAUAGGAGGUGUCCAUGUCCAUGUCUAUAACAUGGAAUAGGGACUGAGUCCUCAUGGUGUAAACGAGCAAAUCUUGAUCGUGGGUAUGUUUAGAUUGUCUAAGUUUGAGCUUGACUUGAUUUACAAUCAUAUUAACCAGAUGGGUUUUGUUAGACUUAUCGAGUUGAAAAAUAUUGCUCACGCUUGGCUCAUGAGGAGCUGAGCCGAACCAAGCAAGUUAGUUCGGCUUGUUGUCAACCCUAGUAGGACUCAUGAUAGGCUGGAGCAUAAGGAAUGUGGUUGGAGCAUCAGCGGUUGGGGGGAGGCGGACGCCUCAACAUAACAUUCCACCCUCCAUUCCCAGUGUUAACAUAUUAAAAAAAAAAAUGAUAAGUUGGAGGAGACCGAGCUCCAGUUUCAUUGUUCCAAUUAAAAGUGGCACAACAAAUAAUUUGUGCCUCCAAACUAGCUUUAAGCCCUGAUUUGUUUUUAAGUUUAUGAUGAAAUUGGACCUCAAUAUAGGAAAAUUGUUUCAUGUAGCAAGGAUCACAUUUCUACAUUUGCGGUCCCUGAGGUAUAAAACAUCUAUCUUAAAGAUAAAGAUGGAUGCAAAUAGGUGGUCCAUCUAAAAACAAUUGAAACUAACUAUCCCAAUGUUUUUUAAUAGAAUUAACUUUUUUAAUUUUUAAAAUUUAUGUACUAUUCCAUAUUCAUGAUCUCCAUGUUAGAGAUUACAUGUCCUUAAAAAUUAAAUCCAAAUAUCCAUCUAAAAAAUAGAUAUUUAAGAGAUAGACUCAUUUACGCAUAGAAACCGUAUCCAUCGAUGUAUGAACAUGAAAUAGUAUAUUAUAAAAAUGAAAAAUAAUAGUCAAGUACAUUAUUACCAUUUAUUUUGGAGAGAGAGUGAGCCCAACCCAACCCGAAUAUAUGGUAAAGUAAGUGUUAGGUUCUACCCACUAUCCAUCACCAUCCAUUUUAUCAAUGGAGAGGGGUGACAUAAUGGACUGUAGUAUGAUGGCCGUACAAAAACACCAUCAUCUUCGUAAAAAAAAAGACGUCUGUGUAGGGAUAUCAUCAUCUUGCAUAGUUUUCCAGUUCCAAUCAAGCUUAUGCAUGCUCAGAACUCUAUAUGGAGAUCAGCGUUUGACUACUCGGUUUGAGUCCAAGUACUCGGUCUAAGUAGUCAGGUUCACCACUCUAGUGAGCUCGAGUUUUCUUGAGUUAUUAGGUUAAUAAAAAAAAUUCAAAACAAUAUGAAAAAACUUAAAAAAUAAAGAAUUUAUUUAUGAUAGGGUUUUGUUAGGGUACACCGGUGGUGUAUAUCCUUUAAAUCCUCAAUAUUUUUUGACACUUAAAUACCCUUGAAUUGUAAUACAAAAUUUUUUAAAUAGAGGCAUUUUUUGUCAUUUAGAAUGGUAGAAUGGAUAUUUUUAUAAAAAAAUAAUAACAUUUUAUUAGUAGUUAAAAGACAAUUAAUGUAUGUUGUGGGCAAUGUCAUACACCAUAACGGUGAUGUGAUUGUCCACUAUUGUCGAUAAAUGAUUUUGUUUCUAUUAGGAAUUUUUACUUUACAUUUGACUAAUUACUUAGAUACCUUUAGACAAAAAGUUAAUGCACUAUAGGAUAAUAAUAUCUAAGUGUCCAAAAAUAUUGAAGACUUUAAGGGUAUAUACUACCCAGUGGUAUAGCUUAACAAAACCUUCUAUGAUACGUUAGUUUUAUAUUUUCUACCAUUUUCACAAAGAUUGAAAAGUGUUUUGGGUUAUAAAUAUUUAUUUUUACAAUUUUACAUUUUUCCAUAUUUUUAGAUUCUUUCUAAAAUACCUUCAGUCACAAGUUGACUUUUUAAAAUCUAUUUUUUUUACUACUUUUUUAACUUCAUUUUGAUGUGUUUUGCAUAAUUCUACUUAAAAUAUACAUUUCCUAUUUUUUUAGUUUUUUUGUAUUUUAUACCCGUUUUUUGUUGCUACAAUACUCGGGCCGAUUACUUAGAUCUGGCAUGGACUGAGUACUCGCCCCGAGUAGGUUUCGACCACUGAUGGAGAUAAUGUAAGGAUUUGGGUUUGAUUAAGUGUUGGCAGUUGCAGCACUACAUCCCAAGCAUUGUUUUCAGGCAAACCAACUCUGACUCACCUGAGUAACUCAUACUUGCCACCCGAAGAAGAUCAAAAUUAUUAUUUUCCGUCACAUUUCAAUUCGGUUGGUGGUAAGAGUGUCAUUCACUAAACACAAAGUUCAAAUAAAAAAAAAAAAAACUUGAACUUGAUUACACAUCGCAAGCUUUCCAAUUUGACAUCUAAUGGCUAAGAGCAAUUGUCACAUCUUUAUAACAAAGAUAAAUAGUCUUAUGAUAUACAAUCCCUUAAACAAUCAUCGAAAAAUGGCUGCAUGACUCAAAUUUGGGGCUCAAUUAGCCGAAAUGAGCCCCAAAAAAAUGCUAAAGUAGUAAACUUUUGAGACGGGAAAAGAGGCCUUUCUGUUGGACUCGGCCGAAUCCUUGUAAAGGAAACAUAUAUAAAAAGAUCAUUUACUUUAGGUAUAUGUUUGAUAUCAAGUGGACAUCCAAAGUUCAAAACGAAUUUUCUCAAACCUUGUGACAUGUUUAGAGCUGCCAGAUUUGACAUCUGGUGACUAAGGGUGAUUAUAACAUCCGCAUACCCCGUGUAACAUCAAUUCCUUAAUAAAAAAUUUAUAGAAUUUUUGAAUAUCAAACACAUACAUUUCGUGUCAUUGCAUUUGGAAACAUGCCAAAAAUCAUGAACAAGGAGUCCAAGUUACAUGUCAACGAAAAAAACAUUUGCUUGAUAUUUCUCUUUACUUUCCCUUUUUCGUUUUUGGUAAUUCAACAAUGGGAUUUGAAUUUGGGAUUGUCUACAAUGAGACCAUUUAUCUUUUGCACAAAGAGAGCACAAUUACUUAUAACCAUCCGAUGUAAAAUAGGAUAGCUUGGAUGUGUCACAAAUUUCGAAGAUUUUAUAUAUAUAUAUAUAUAUAUAUAUAUAUAUAUAUAUAUAUAUAGUUUAGAGUCGUGUACAAUAAGUAAUAANUACGACCUACCCUACCUUAAUUUAUUAUACUAGUAGUAUAUAAUUAGUUAGUAGACGUCCUACGUUANNNNNNNNNNNNNNNNNNNNUAAUAACUUAACUAACUACUUAAAACGUAAGUAAGUAGUAGUCGUAGUGUGUCACUAAUUACGUAGAUUUAUAUAUAUAUAUAUAUAUAUAUAUAUAUAUAUAUAUAUAUAUAUUUGAGCUUGGUCAAUAGAAUAAAUGCAACCUCCCAAUUUUAUAUCUAAUGGUCAAGAUUAAUUGUGAGCACCUUGUACUAAAUGUAAAUAGUCUCGUUGUAUAUUUUUUCUUUGAACUUGGGAUAAGUAUAUAAAAGCACAACGACAAAAGAAUGAGCCAAGUAACUCGGGCGAGUCUGAGUACUCUGCUCAAGUCCAAUCAGGUUCUGGCAAGCCAAAAAGUGUUAAAAUUUUUAAAAUAUACAAAAAACUCAAAAAUAGGAAAAAUAUUUUUAAACUAAAAUUAAACAAAACACAUCUAAAUGAGGUUAGAAAAAUAGUGAAAAAAAAAAAGAUUUUGAAAAAAUCUACUUGUGAUGGGGGUAUUUUAGAAUAAUCUAAAAAGAAUGCUAAAUGUGAAAAUGAGUAUUCAUGGCCCAAACACUUCCAAAUAUUUCACAAAAUGAUAGAAAACAUAAAAUAAAAUAAAAAAAUUACAAAUAAUAAUUUUUAUAAAAGUAAAUAGUCUCUUUGCCAAUUUUUUAAACCCAAAACACAGUUUUUAAGUCAAACACUUAUUUUUUCUAAAUUGAAAGAAUAUGAAAUUGAGGCUUUUUAUUGAAUUCUACCUCGGCAAGCCUCUCAUAUAUUAUUCUUUGAUUUGUAUAAGUUUUCAAAUAUCUCAUGAAAAAAAUACAAAAUGAUGUAAUGAAUCUUCACAAAAGCUAAUAAUAUAAACCAAUUUUCGCAAUUUUUGACGACUUUUUAUCAGGGUGACUCGCAUAGCCUUGCGGAUCCGACUCGGGACUCAUUAAGGUGACUUCCCCCAAAAACCAAGCGUGCACCCAGAGCUGAGUUCGAGUUUUUAAACACGGUUUCUUUGUUAAAAUAAAAUGACGGACCAAAAUUUAUGUAACUAAUUAUAAAAUAGUUUGAUGCUCCGAAUAAUAGAUGGAAGACAACUAGCAAGACCAAGUGAGGACGAAUUUGUCCCAUUUACAGAAUUUGGUCUAAAAUCUUGGUCAAAAGCGAAUAUAGACUUGAAAUGUUAAAAAGCAAACCUUUUAUAAGAUUAUAUUCUCUCCCUUUUCUCUCUCAAGAUGUGUCCAACAUUUAAAAAGUUGAAACCCUAUCUCUAAUAUAUGCAAAUGUAUCCGAAGGAUAAGAUUAGGUAGUCCGCGAAACCAAAUUAUAAUGAGGCCUAAAACUCCCAAAAAUAUUGUUACCACACUAAUGCCAAUUUAAGUGAAGUUGUAAAAGAAUAAUAUGGAACUCAAAAGUUGGUCCAACUCAAAAUACUUCUAAGAUCAAAUCUAGACCAGUCAUUUGGAUGGAUCUUAACUUCAUUGAAUAUAAGCCCCAAAUAAAUAAUUUUCUUUGAAUCAGUAUCAUGCUGCAUGGAAUGUAAUUGGAGUUAAUUUUAGGCCACACAAAUCCCCUACAUUUUUCGUCAUGUUGGUCGGGCCUCGCUCUGGCUCCCUCGGGGACCCGGGUUCGAUUGGCCCCCUCUCGAACAACCGCCUGACCUCCCGAGCGCGUAUGCGGCUCGUGUGUCACUUGCGGAUAGGUACAUCCAACUAUGAGAGGAUUUUAAAGCGAUGAAGAGAUGGACUCGAGUACCUACCUCACCAUGGUUUAACUUCGUGGGAUAAGCUCGGGCUAUAGCCCUCUUAGAUCAAUGAACGAGAGCCCUCUGACUGUCCAGUAGUGCGGUUUGAAUUUGAUCACAUCUUUAAACUCAACACCUCACCUGGACUCUCGCUUGAAAACUGCUAAUGAAAUCUAAAUAUAAUAUAUUAUUCUUUGAUUGGCUUUAUGAGUUAAUGGUUUUAGUUUUGGAGGUAGAGUAGUUAAAGAAUUAAGAAAUAGAGGGAAGAAAGAAGAGAAUAAGAAUGGGUGAAAGAGAACUUAGUUUAGAAGUGAGAACAAGAAGAAAGAGAUAAAGAUAAAAUAAGAAUGACCCAAAUAAAAUUGGGCAACCUUCCUGCGUAGCCUCUUCUAAAAGGUAUUACUAGAGACAAAGAAAAGCACCAGGCUUGAAGCCUUAAUACCCGGAGGGUGUGGAAAGUGAAGUUACAGGGCAGGGCCUAUAACUAUGUCACUAAACCAAAGAGUUCCCUAAAAAAUGAACAAGUGAGAGAACAAAGUGAAAGAGAAAGAGAGAGAUAUGAAAGCCUCUCACAACUCAAACACUGUGUCACUCAGUGGUUAGAGUUAUGAAAGGGUCAGAACUCUAAAGAAAGUUAACUCAGGAUGACCCCAACCUGAGUGACUGAGUGUAAGAGAAUCAGUCUCUUAUGACUCGACUUCACUGUACGAGCUGAUGCUUAGAAUAACAAUUUGAGAGUUAGAACCUAGGGCACUAUCUCAGGAUGGCCUCGAGUCGAGUGCUCAAGAAGUGAGAGAAGCAACAAGCCAAAAGAGAGAUAAAAGAAUGAUGUAAAAACAAAAUAAGUGAAUGAGAAACUAAGAUAUGACUUAGAGAGAGAA